Molecule: long non-coding RNA, 96376 nt
Filed under: Malus domestica (apple)
Lineage: Eukaryota; Viridiplantae; Streptophyta; Magnoliopsida; Rosales; Rosaceae
Description: long non-coding RNA (MDOM_LNC001086)
Source: RNAcentral
GUCGUGUAAGAAAUUGCCAGGUCUAAUGUAAUAAUGUUAUAUGUUAAAAAAAUAUUUUUAUUAGCACUAUAAAAUCUCAUUGUGCAUUCUUUAUAAGUGUAUUUUUUUUUCUAAAUAUAAAAGUUUAGAGUGUACAAUAAGAUACUCUGGAGUGUCAAUAACAACACUGAAAAAAAUGAUUUUUUUUUCCAAUUUUAUUGUAUAAUAAUGCUAUAUAUUCAAGUGAAGCUUUAAAGUUAGAGUUUUUUUUAAGCUUCUUUUUCCUGUUUGGUUGUUUAAUAUUGAACUGGUUUUGUCACUUAGUACUACGGUUUAGUCGUAUUCCUCAUCACUUGUAAGUGAGAGAUCUUAAGUUCAAUUCUCACCCAAUGUGAAUUUGAACCACAUCAUUACUAGCCCAUUGUGAGGCUAAGCGUACCCCUCCCUUUAGUGUAGAUAAUAUUGUUUGUUGAAAAAAAUAUAGUGAACUAGUUUGAUUAUUUAGUGAAGAUUACGUUUGUAGCUCUUUUUACUUACUAUAUAAUAACAUUUCUAAACUAGUUAGUGAGUCCUAAAGUUUGUUUUGACUUAAGUUAUUACUUUCUAACAUUAAUACAUUGUCGUACUUUUUUUGAAAAACUAUCUUAAAGAGUUAAAUUUUGAACAUGACUCCCGAAAUCUUAGAGAAAUGCCUGGUUAUUACACUUAACAUUAGCAGCUAAUAGCUGAUAGGAGAUUAUAUUCACACACCCCAAAUUACUUCUCUCACGCCCUUUUAAUUUUUCUAAUAUUUUGCUAUCAAGUGUUAGUGGUGUGUAGAAAAUAUGAAAAAAUUAAAAAGGUAUGAGAGAAGUAGUUUGACAUGUGUGAGAAAUAGUUUGACAUGUGUGAAUAUACUCUCUCUCUCUCUCUCUCUCUCUCUCUCUCUCUCUCUCUCUCUCUCUCUCUCUCUCUCUCUCUCUCUCUCUCUCUCUCUCUCUCUCUCUCUCUCUCUCUCUCUCUCUCUCUCUCUCUCUCUCUAUAUAUAUAUAUAUAUAUAAAGAUUGGGGUCUGCAAGUUGUUUACAAGUUCUUGCAUAAAGUAAAAAUUCCCAUCACUUCUGGAGAAGAUGUAUAAUUUGCAAUGGCCACUUGCACAGAGAUUUCAGCAUGAAAACUAGUAGAACUUUGGGGACCAACUUGAUCUAGACUUCUAGUACAUGAAACAUCUAGUGGGGCUAGAGCUUAGUAGAGCCAAAUGGCUUUGAAAACAAAUAACUAAACACCAUAUUAAUGAAAAUUAAUUAAUUAAUAUUAUGUUUGACAAAACAAUGGUAUCCCUAAUCUGUCCCUCUUAUCUUUCAACCUCGAUGUUUGCCUCUUCAGUCUUCAUGGAGAUAACAAUAUAUAGGUAGUGGGGGAGCCUUUCUAUUUUUCUUUUGACUCUUUGAGGGCUCGAGAUUAAUAUAUAAUACUUCCAAAACACAGAUUAAUUGAUUGAAAGCCUUAUUUAUAAUCUCGUUAUAAAGUUACAAACACUUGGAUGCCAAAAAUCCCGAAGUGAUUAAGAUAUAGAUGUUAAAUGUUGAUCACAAUAUGUUUAGUCAAAUGAUUAUAUUUUAAUUUUGGAAACACAAACAACUCCCUCCUAAGAGCAACUCUAACCCUAAAUUGUCCCACCUAUUCAGUGAUUAAAUCCACCAAUUCUUCCAAAUUUACUCCAACUCAUGCCAAUUGCCCAACCUAUAAGGUGGGCCCAUCUUUCACGGACGAAUAGUCAGGCGAGAAUGGCUUGAGGUUGUUUAACGUUAGUCUGAAGUCACCCACAUUAUCAAUUUUCUUUCUACAAGGUGCACACGCACGUGGGUGUGACUUGUGAGUCGUCUGACAAAAUCCAGGCGGCACGCUGUAAUAGUCUACAAAUUUUGGCCAUUGGAUUUCCCAAAUCCCACGGUCCUUUUUAAUCUUGAUUUUAAAAAUUCAAAAUAUAUAUAUAUGUAAAAGAUAUUGUUUUCCACGUGGUACAACUUGGACUCUUGGAUUGAAAAAAAAAAAUCAUCCAACAACCCAUAUUAGUUUUGUUAUUAAAAAAAUUCGAAAAUUAUAAACAAAUACCAAAAAAAAAAAUUAAAAGAAUAUGAACGGUGGCGUGACCGGGACUGAAUUGUAAUUUCGGAUAAUAAAACGUGAUAUGACAUGAUUAGCUAAAAGUCUUAUUCGAAACUAAACAUAAUAUUAAUUUUUUUUAAAUAAAUUUUUAAUGUUAAUUGCCCAAACAAUUUAUUUACAGAUGAAAAUACGACAAUUACUGUUCACUAAAUAAUAAUUGCCAAUUGCCCAAAGAGCCAGAUAAUAAUCGCCCUAAGACGUGGAGUUGCCCUAAUGGCAUUUGCAAACCCAUCACUAUAAAGAAAAUUUCAAUCAUUAUAAAGGCAUCAGAUGUUUUCCACUUUUGUGCAAACCCAUCACUAUAAAGAAAAUUUCAAUCAUUAUUAAAGGCAUCAGAUGUUUUCCACUUUUGUGCGACACAUUUUUCCCACUCUUGCAGUCUUGCUUUCGAGAUCGUUCUACAUGGCAUUAAUUGAAUACAUGAAAAUAUGCAACUGAAACACUAAGAUAUAUUUUAAACCUAUCACGUAUUGUUAUGUAUUUCAACUGAAAUACUAAGAUAUAUUCUAAAUCUAUCACAUAUUGUUAUGUAUUUUAAUUUGCUAACGUGGGUGCACAAAUAUUUACAUGUUCCCUACCCCAACUUUUCUUUAAAAAGUUAUAGUUAUUUUCUUUAAGUACAUUUUAUAUUCAGACUCGGAUUUGAUACUACUGGAGGACACUAAACUGUUUGACAAGAAAUGCAGGUAACCCUAUAGUCAAGUAGGUGGUUUUUACUUUCUAGGUUUAUGUCUGUGGUUGGAACUAGGGUUUAUAGAUGUGAAGAAGAUUGAGGAAGCUGAAUUAGGGGAAACAAAGUAAGUAUAUCGGAUUUAGGGUUUAGAAUUCCUUUAAGUUUGUAACAUAACUCGACUGCCAAUUCCUCCGUCUCCAUGUGAAAAAUGUGUUUGCUUAUACUUACAGAAAGAUCUAAUGAUUCAGUAAUGAGUAUUAAUUAGUGCAAAUCAUAAUCUAAUCAAUAACACAGCACUUUAAUUACCAUAUUUGAUUAAAGCUAGCAAAUGACAGCAUCAUCGUGUUAUCAUGCUGACAACAUUAUUCACCCUAGCUCACUCGAUCACUAAUUUUGACUAAUUCAAACUUACAACUCGUUAGCCAAAGCUGCAGCCUCAAGUAGAAACACCGGCGAGUCUUCUAGUUUCUGGUUACUCCCGUCGGCACCACACACUUGAACGAUAAACUUGAUGUUAGAAGUGCCAGAAGUGACUGCGAGGUCAUCGACGUAAAAAGCUUCCACUCGUGCCGCUCCAAGAUACUCAUGCACCCUUUCUAGCGCUGCUCCUUGAUGGCCAAGUGAUCCCUUUGCUAGCUUUUCAACAUAAAUAUUAUAAUUUGUGUAUGGAUAAUCGUUCCCGUCUUUCAACUUCCAAGUGAUUUUAAGACUAACGCUCUUGGAACCCUCAGAUCCUGUUGCCCAUUUGAUAUAUUCACCUUUGACAAGCCACGAAUCAGAAGGCGGAAAAUCUGAUUUCUGCCCACAAGUCUUAAUUGAAAUAUGACCAAGCACUGCAUAGUACUCUGUUGAAUUCCGAGUACCUUCCUCUGAUAUGGACUUCAGUCUCCUUUCGUCAAAUUCAGGCUUCGACCUGUAGCACAGAGCAUGUAUUUCUGUUAGUCUGUAUCCAUUCAUUCGGAUGCUACUCUUCUGCAUGACCCAUCCAGGGGAAAUUCCUGGCGUUUCAGGUUGACGUGUCAUUAUCACUUUAUCAAAUUUGCUUGAGAACUGGUUCAGGUUCCAGUUUACAAGAAGCACCGACUUUCUUUCGUUCACGGUAGAAGAAGAGAAUACAAGAUGCAAGCCUAGACGAGAAUUAUUCUCCGAUUUCACCUGCAUUAAUUGGAAUAUGCAUAGUUCAAAACUUGUCUGCGAGUGCACUAUAUGAAAAAAAUAAAAUAAAUAGAAGAUUCUAGGCACAUGUACAGGUAGUCUAACGACGAUUUGGACAACUUUAGUAACUUACAAUGCACGGAAGAGAUAGCUUACAGAAUACGUAAAGUGGAGAGGUAAAUCCCCCAAAAGAACAUCUCCUUGAAAGAGCCUAGUCGAGAAAUUAUCAGAGUCUUCAAGGUUUCCUUUAAAUGUGAUGUUUCCUCCUCCACUAUAAGAUGCUUCCUUGAAACUAUAAUUCGCCAACAUACGUUUGAAUGAAGAAGAAUAUCAAACAUAUCCAAAAAAUGUUCUUAAGUUUUUGCAAAGCUUAGGCACUGAUAUUCGGAAACCCGGUAUAAGAUAAUGUUUAUGCAUAAGGUCAAAUGUUUAGGGUGUAGGGUUUAGGAACUAAAACUUACUCAACAUGGACCUGGAUGCCAUCUGGGGUUGCAUUGUCACUAAACUCAAGGAACGGCUGUGACAUAUCAAUAGGAGCAAAUUAGCAUGCUUGACCAUGUCAAAGAUUUGACAACAAUGCACUGCACCUGCCCGCUAAUAGCAAUACGCACAACACACGAAAGGAAAAAAAGCAUAUUAACAUAAUUUAAAACCAGUAAUGUUUCGCAGAUGGCGACUGCAGUAAAGCAACAAUCCCUACUAUACACCCUGGUGCAAGUUCGAUCCCCACUGAUCCCCUUUCCCCCUAACAUUUAACAAUUUAACCCAUUAAUGCUAUCGUUUGUAAAAGAAAAGGGUAAUGUUCAUGCACAGGAUUGAACAUUCGAAUUUGUUAUUAUAACAUUCCAUACCACCGACACUCAAGCUCAAUGACGUUAGCUUUUUUUUCUUCUUAUUCCAAUUUAUUUUGUUGUCAAGAACUAAAACAAGGAAAUAAUUCAAACAUUCCAUCCACUAACAAGAAAGAACUGCCUUCGAACAGCUGGAACUUGGAAAAGAUAAUAAAAUUUGAUGAUUAUGGUUGGAUUUUAUUGUCAUGGCGAACUAUGAAAAUGCUUGUUUGAACUUGGCAGCUUAAGAUAUUAACCAACAGAAAGAAAAAAAAAUCUAGAUAUUGAACUUAGAAAUAGGCUUUGAAACUCUAAAAUAAAUUGAAAAAGUUCAAACUGCAAAUUUGAUAGUAAUCAAUGAAAAGAGUAGGGAAAUAAGAAGAAGAUGGAAACCAAACUGCAAUCUAACAGUAUGUCAUUUGACCAAGGAGCGUCUGAUACCACAAGGCUAUUUGGUCCAUACCUGAAACCCUUGGGAAGAAAUGUUACACCAAGAAGCAUCGGAUACUUGCCCUCCGUCGACAGAAACAUGAUAUCCAUAACCCUGAACAGUAAUACAGAAAAAUAGUGUUUAGGUAACGGGUAUAUGCAGGAUAUAUGAAGUUUAUGAACUAGGUCAUGCUUCCAACAUCCAUAAAUGGCCCACUGCAGUAUCAAUACAGUCACGGCGACCUGAUCAAAAUUUGUAUAGAAUGGUAGCACUUUCGGAUAAUUUUGUACCACUCCCCAUGAUUUUUCCACAAGGGACCACCAACUGCAAAACAAAUGAAUUUAUCAGGAGAAACUUCAGCAAAUGUAACAUUCAUACUAUUAAGAACACAACCAGGUCAUAUUCCGAUCUAAAUGUGGUUGAUUACAUAAAGUUCUUUUUUCCAACUAACCACGGAAGGCAGUUCCAAAAAUGUUGGCAUUCAAGACAAUCAAAUAGCGUUACAUGUAAAAGAAGUGAAGACUACGGUAUCAUCAUGCCAGCUUUUAUCAGGAGAUACUGCAUCCUUUUACUAGCUUUUGUUAAAAGAAGUGAAAAUAUCAUGCCAGCUUUUGUCUGUAAAUUAAUCUCUAUGAACUUAUGUAACUGGUACUGGAAAUCCGAAAUAAUAACUAAUUAAGUAUUACGGACAAGUUCGUAUACUAAUCAAUGGAACUACAAGUUUGUGAAACUUUGCAAAUAGGGGCAAGUCAGUUACUGAUUCUGAGCAAUCUGAAAAUUUGGUGGUUGAUUAGUCUCAUAGAUCCAUCCGGGAGCAAAUAUGGCCGUUGAUACACCAUCCUUCUUCAGCACAUCUAGUGCAACACUUGUCUGAUAUGCAGAGUUAUUAAAAAAACAAAGUUAACUACAAAAAAUAGACUCCCAGGAAAACCACCCGAAUUCUCCAUUACAUGGAGUUGUAAAAACAUUCAUCAUAAAGAGUUGCCAUGUUGUUCAUUUAUAAUGGCACUUAAAACACUCACUCGGCACAGUGAAACAUAAUCAACUCCCGGAAAGGUUCUCAUAACUCACGAUAUUAGUGUCUCACUUACAUUCCAUUGUCCACCACCGAAAGUGCCCCUUCCAAAAACAUCAAUUCCCAUGUAGACAUCAUACUUUCUGUCACCAGCAACAGCUGCGGAAAGCCUCGGAUAGGUUUCCUGCAUGCCACAUAGGUUUAACUGUGUGAAAGAGUAUUUAGAGAACAAAAACAAACUUCCAUAAGGAAGAAGUGAAAACCAUACCUUCCAUGUAUAGUUCACGAAAAUUCCAUCACAUAUAUCGAAGAAAGGUUUAUUCUUUUCAUUCAGUUGAUUUUGCCAGUUAAGUUUACCAUCAGUUGUAACACUAUCAUACCUGCCGAAUAGACAAUAGUAAGUCAAAUAUAAACUUUAAACGGCACGCUAUAUCAAAAGGGGCAAAAAAUUAAGUGACGGGAAACAUCAGUAAUAUCUCCAAACACUCACCAUAUCACCAAAGAACCAGGCACAGAGGAAUGCAUUGUCUGGGUUAAAUGGCUGACAAAUGCUUUCAAAUUAGGGAUUUGGUCCGAGUUCAACUCAACCUCCAUAUUGAUCUGCAAGUAGCAGUUAUCAUGAAAACUCAAUAAAAAGAGUGCAAUAGAAUGAAUUUCCGCCAAACAAAAUAACGGAAGAAAGCAUCAGUUUCAAAAUUGAAACUUCCCUAUUUCUCAUGACAUCCCUCUUUCCUUGAACUGUCGGAAACUUAAAAACUUCAACCAUGAAUACUAUGGCAGCUUGCUAUUUAACUUCUUGAACCAGCAGAACUGGAGCAUUCAUCUUUUCAAGAAAUACAACAAGUUCCCUCCGUGUCAUGCAAGUGUGUUACCAAAAAAUCGUAAGCCAGAUCAUAUGGCUGAUUAACAAAGCUAAAAUCUAAAGAGAACUUUAACGAAAAGUUCCAGAUACCGUUCAUUUUAUCGAAAAACCAUAUUUUUACAUGAAAAAAAUACAGAAACUUGAAAAAAAGCAUGCGGUUAGGGUGAACUAUAUACCAGCCAUCCGUCGAAGCCCAAAGCAACGACAAGCUCUGCCAAGAACUCGGCAUACAUUUCAGCAGACUCUUUGGUCGACAGCAAUUUGUUGCAAAUAAGCUUCCCUUCAUCCCAUUCUGUGAUGAAAGUCCCCAACACCUUAUAUUCCAAUAUAAAGAACCAACAAAGUUAGAUUCCGAAAUUCCUUUCAAUCAUUUGGAACUAAGAACGGCUCGAAAGAAAAACAAGUCUUAAUCCACACCCAAAACAUAAACAAAUCAAAAGUUCCCAGAAAAAAAAAAACAAACAAAGGACAACACUUUGUGUGUUUCCAAACUGAAAUUCUCAACCCGUCUUGAACUUACAAAAAGUCAACUCAUCUCCACAUUUAUCACCUGAACACACAAAUAUGUUUCCUUAAGAUCCCAAAAUCCCGAAAGUUUCAGAUUACCUUAACUCCAUGUCUGUGAGCAGUAUUAGUCCAACACGGAGGCGGAAGAGUGACAAGGCUAUGGGAAAAGUAGAUGAAUAUAUCGAUCAAAUACCAAUGCCAUAUCGCAUACGCGUUCGGAUUGGUCCCUCCCUGGAUCCACUUAUCAUCGCCAUAGCCGCCCGCCAUGUCAUGGCAGACAAUCACUCUGGGCCUGUCGGGCAGCGACAGGGAAGGCGACGCGGAUUGCAGAGGAACCGUGGAUUUGUUAAAAGGGUAGUGAAAGGACUCGAAGUAGGACCUGGACUCGAGGUCUUCGAGAGUUUUGAUCGGGUAGGAGAUGGGAACGGCGGGUUGGGUCGGGUCGAACGGUGGAGGAGUCGGGCCGGAGGAUUGGUGGUCCGGGGCGGUGGCGGGUUGGGACAUUUUGAAGAAGGGGAAGAAGACUUGGGCUUUGCCGCGGAGGAGACUGAGGAGAGAGAUUAUGGUCUGGCAACUAAUAUAGGGGCGAAGACGGGGAAGAAGCAUGUGCGCAGAGAGAGAGAGAGACUGACCGACUGAGGUCGUUGCUGACGUUGCAGUGGUUCUGGUUUGUAAUUGGUGGGAAAUUGGGAAUGUUUGAAAACAACAAAAGACGGACUUCAAGUUGAGGAGAGAUUUUUCAUUCUAACGGGACACAACUGGUAUUCCAUGUGUUUUAAUAGUAGUGAAAAAUUUUAAAGCCUGUUUGGUAUCCUAUUUAAUUUUUAGCACGCAUAUCAUACCAUUUGUAUAAUGACACGUGAUAUAUCAUCCAGUGUACUGGUCACAUUGAAAAAUUUCUUCUGUACCUGGUCAGGCAACGAUCAUAAAUGCCAAGACUUUUUUGUUUGUCAACGUCAACAAUACAAGAGUAAAACCUUGGUUACGCCCUACCAGGUCGGCUGACUACAACGUCAUCUGUUUGACACCUCUUACACAAGUACCAAGACUUUUUGUAUAUAGUUCUUGUUUGAUCUCACGCGGCUUCCACGUGAUGUGAUAUUUGUUCUAGUCAGACAUGCCAUCAAAAUUUUAUUGCCGUACAGUGAGCUUGUGACUAGUAGUUAAACAUAAUUAACCUUGCGUUCGAGUUUUUUUAUUUGAGUUCCCCUCUCAGCUUCGAUUGUAAAGAUAAAAAACUUAGCAUCCUGUUGGAACCAAAUUCGCCACAGAUCCCUAACUCUCAAGCAAAAAAUUAAGUGACUUUGGAACAUGGCUAGAAGAUGAGGUGUCCACACACAGACUUGUUCUCUUCGACUGAGAGCCACAAGAAAGUAAGAAACUAUUGAUAGAAAUGUUUACCACUCUUUGGAUCGAGUGGUCAUUACUGUUCAAUGUGCCAUGUAAUUCAAUACCAAACUGUAAUCAAAGUCGCUUUGAUUUUCUUCCGUCUGGUACAAUUAUCUGUUUCUGCAAUCUCUAUCGUACGAGCUUAACACGGUUACAAAGAGUGUAAAUCAAAUAAAACGAGUAAAAGGGACCCUAUAUCGAAAACUAGCAGGAGCAAACUUUCACCUCCAAAAGUGUCUCCCAACAAAUUUUGCUGCAUCUGUUAGUUUUGUCUUUUGAACAAGCUUGAGGAUGCCCUGGGUGCUUUUUGCUUGAUCAAAUAUGAUCCGCAUCCGGCUUGAAGGGCUCUAGACUUCCAAUCUUCCAUAUGUCUGGAUGCUUGAAAUCAUAUCUGUAUAUAUAUGCCUUCAAAUCAAGUCUUCUGUUCCUGUUAACUUUGCAAAUUCACUUUCGUCGAUGGCCCCCUUUUUGAGCUUCUUUAGCAAGCGGUAUUCUCUUGCCAACUCAUCUUCAUCUUCAGCUGUCUGGAUAGCACGCCUCUGCUUACCCGUUUUCUUCCUCAUUGCAGCAUCUGAAGCAUUUUGGAUCUUUUUGGUUUUUUGAGGUUUCGGUUCUUGCUGUUUUGCUUCUUUCUUCGAUUGUAGAUUCCUCUUUCUUUGCUUCUCGCGAGAUUUAUCCCUAAAUAAUAAACUUUUUCCUUUAGCAACGGUAGCUAGCUAGGAAUGAAAUUUUAUACCCCACUACAACCACAGCAUGGACUCAUAACACGUCGAUGUUAUACAACCAAACAGUUGGAAAUUGAAGGGAGUUCUUACUUAAAUUUGAUCUCCUCCAAGUUGAUGUCUUCAACAGGGAUGAAACCCUCUGUGGAAAGCGAGUGGUGCUUUACCUCAGGCAUUGCAGGGAGCUGCAGUAGUCCGAAUCCCAUGCCCAACUUCCCGACUUCAAGUUCUUUCCACCUGCAUUAAUUAAAAGUGUAAAUUAGAGAUUUUUUUUUUCUUGGCCUGAAUUAAUAGGAGGUCCUGUUAGACACCUGAAAAUGUACGAGCAGUGAUGUUCUUUAUAUGCACGCAUGUAAGAAACAAAUGCUCUGAGCCCCUUUUCCAUAACAUCGCGGUCCUUUUUUGCAGCUGAUCGGAUCUGAAACAAGUUUUAAAACAACGUCACUUCAACUACUAAAAGCUCUCAUCAAAACAACUAGAUAGAACACCGUAAAACUAAGCUUGUAUUUACAAGACAGCUGCAUGAUGGAUAAAUUGAUUCAAUCAAUAGCAUUGAAAUAAAUGGGCAAUGAAGUCAAUUUGUUUUACAUAAAGUGCUGGCAUCAUUGGACACAUUGUCAAUCAAUGUCUGCUCAGUAAAAAGAAGCCUGAAUUACAACAGGUACAACGAGGAAUAAAUUAAGAAGAUUACUUUUCCACAAUAAGAUUUGAUAGAGUGCACCAUAAAAUGACGCCUACCUGAGGAACAACAUCAGCAACAUCAUUAGAGCAUUUCCUUUCCUGUAGAGGAACUCUUCUUAUCCGUAGGAAUUCUACAUAAGCUUCCUCCUGCAACAGUGUGACCAAAAUAAGCACCUUCAACACCAUAAAUGAAAGCAACACAGAAAAUAAGAAAAGAAAAACGAGUCAAACAGAUUCUAUAACUAAACCUUUGGCAAUAGAAAAACAAUCGCACUUCCUUGUCUACCCAUACGAGCUGUUCGGCCAACUCUAUGCACGAACACAUUUGGAUCUUGAGGGGUAUCAUACUGAAAUAUCAACAAACAAAUGGAUUAUACUAUUUAGCUUUCAAAACUGGUGAUGACCAUCUACAUGCUAUUGUAAGCUACCUGCACUAUACAGUCAACGCCUGGAAUGUCGAGCCCUCGCGCAGCAACAUCAGUACACAGAAGGACGCCACUUGAGAGAGAUGUAAAUGAGGCCAAAGCUUUGUCCCUUGCGGCCUAGAAAGCAGAAAAUGUUGAAAAAGCAGAGAACAGUGAGUUCAUGAAAUACUAACUCAAAGAUCGACCGAGUAUACUGAAUCACUGAUCUAUUAUGUUUUACCUGCUUCAUCUUCCCAUGUAGAGCAAUCAAAGGGAAACCCUUCAAAGGACCAAGCAAUGGAAGAACAAGUCCCCAGUAGUCAACACAAGCACAAGUCAUGAAGUAUCUACAGAAGAAAACACAGAAAAAUAUGAAAAUCACUUUACAAUGCAAAACAACCUUCAACUCGAAGCUAAUUCGACCACAUUCACUAAAACAUACUAAUCUCGUAUUACUUACACUAUGGUCUUGUUAGACUUAUUCUUAACAAGAAGAUCCACAAGCUGUGACGGUUUUUUGUCUCCCUCACACUCCAGAUACUGUAUGAGAGUGCACGGUCAAAGGCGAAAACAAUUCAAUAACAAAGAAGCUAGACAUUAUUGACAAAUUAGUAAUCGUUGAUGUUAUGUUAUAGAGCAUACCUCAAGGGCAAGGCCAGAAGGUGUUUUAGAAGAGGCUAAUUUUUUCCUUAACGCCGAAUCACUCGAUUUUGUUUCAGCUCGUACUUCAACCCUCACAGGAUUCCUCAGUCCUGCUCUGGCCAGUUCUUCAACUGCCUCAGUUUGGGUAGCUGAAAACAGACCAGUUCUACGAAGCUUCGGUAAUCGAGACAUAAUAUCAUUUAACUGCUUCUGGAACCCCAUAUCCAAUAGCCUAUCGGCCUCAUCUAAGAUCAAAAUCUGCAACAAUUAUUGACAAAUGAGCCUCUAUCAGCCUCAUAAACAAUCGAAUUCCACGAAACAAAUUUCAAUCAAAUCCCAAAACAUAAAAUUUCAAUUAAAUCUUAUCAAAUGCAACUCCAUUUACAAAUGCAUUACCUCAAGGUUCCGCAAAUCCAAGCCAUCAAUGCGUUCCAUAAUGUCGAAUAGUCUUCCCGGCGUGCCGAUCAACAAGUUGGCUCCUUCCUCCUCGAUUUGUUUCACGUCGGAUUUCACUUGGCCUCCACCAACCAAAAGGACGCACUUGAAAUUCGGCAGCGUCGAAAUGAAGGGUUUCGCCACAUUGUAUAUCUGCGAAGACAGCUCCCUAGUCGGAGAUAUAAUCAUUCCCAUCACCUGCACAAACACAAAAUUUUCUUUUUCUCUCCGUUUCUCUUCCAUUUUCUCGGCAACCAAACAGUGUCUUGCAAGUAAAAAAGAAAGAAAAAUAAUUAGUGGUGUGUAGCAGACCUCUUGAGGUUUUGGAGUGGUUGAAACUCGCCGGAGUAUCUCCACCAUCGGGACCACAAAGGCUAGGGUUUUGCCUGAGCCAGUGGCGGCGUCCACCGCCACGUCCUUGAAGCUGCAUAGUAAGGGGAUUGUGGCGGCUUGAACGGGAGUGCAGAACUCGAACCCGCCUUGGGAUAGGGCUUCGAGAACCGGUUCGGAGAGCGGCGGCUUGAGGUCGGAGAAGCGGGUGUCACUCAAGGCGCUGUUGGGGUUGAAAGAGUCGGCGUCCAUGGCUUUCUGUUUUUCUUCGCGGUUCGCACAGUUAGGCUUUCCAGCUUCCGCAGCGGCAGUAUAAAGUUGGUCCUGUUUUCUGUUAACGACCUGUCGUUUGGGGUUUGUCACGCGCGGUUUAGUUGGUUCGGCCCAGGCUUUGGUUCAAACUAAAUUGUCUAUUUCUUAUUUUAUUUCAAUACUAACUACAUUUUGCACCUUUCAGAUUUAAAGUAAUUUUAAGAUUGGGUCAUGAUGUUUUAAUUUUUUCACAUUGUCCCUUAUAGUUGGUAUAUUUACAUGUCUAAUUAUCUAUUAAAUUGAUGAGUUUUCUAGGAUAUGUGAUCCAAAUGUGGCUUACAUGUCAAUUAGUUACGGUUUUCGUGCUCGCCAUAUCAUCAAUUUAAUGAAGACCUAGAUAAUUCAUUAAACCAAUGGUGUAAAUUGAUACAAUUUCAAAUCUUGGAGAGUAAGGUGAGAAAAUUAAACUUCAUGACCCAUUUUGAACAUCACUCAAGUACAUAGGGUGUUACCAUUUCCGCCACCACCUUUGUCACACCAUCACCAUCAUCACAAGUCCACAACCACCACCACCAUCGUCGCUGCCAUUGGGACCACAACCACAACUGUCAUUACCACAACCAUUGUUGACACCACACCAUACCUUUAUAAUUGUUGAUGUCAUCUCCAUCACCAUUGAUGGCCUCACCGCCAUUACUAUUACCACUGCCUCUCUAUUAUUGUCAUCGCCACCACCUAUGACUACAACCCCGAUCCUUAUACCAUUGCCACUAUCACCACCAUCAUCAUUGCCAACACCGCUGCAAUCUCCAUCGCUAAUGCUACCAUCAUUGCUACCUUUAAACCCCAACCAUUAUACCGUUGUUGUUGCCAUCAUCGCUACCAGUCCUCCCACUGUUGUUGUUGCCACCACCCUUACUAUGUUCAUUUGGUCAAUAUAUACAAUUAUAUCAUAUUUAUAAACACUUUCACACUACAUUUUAUACCAUAAUGUUUUAAAAAAUACAAUUUAUCAAAUGUUCAACUACUUUAUUUUACUUAUAAUUAUUUUUAAAGACAGAAAAAAUAGUUUUUUAUUAUUUUUAUUUUUUUAAAGGACAAUUCCAAACUAUCUAUAAGAGCAAGUCCACCCCAAAGGGGUAGGUCGGCUCACAUCCCCCAAUAUGGGCCGACACUUACAAAAAGUGCUACAGCCCAGCCCAAGCCGUCCCAUAAUGUGUUGAGCCAAGGCCCUAUGUGACGUCAUGCUGACGCUAGCGUGAUGUCACUGGCCAUUUUAUUUUUUUUUGCUCCAGGCACGCACGAGUGGCCUCGUGUUCCAAAAGAAAAAACGGACGAGGCCCGCAUGUUUAGGCGCGAUAGGGGUGAGGGUCCGGAUUCCACAUGGCUCAUUAUGGACCGUUGGAUUUCCAACGAUAAAAAAAAUUUGAAAUUCAAAUCCAACGCUUAGCCACGUGGUACGAUAUGGGCUGUUGGAUUUGAAUUCUUUUUCAAAUCCAACGGUCUAGAUUAAUUAUGUCACAGCCCGUUCCAAAAUAUUACAUUCGUGGCUGUGAAUGGACGAAAUUGCCCUUAUGAAAUACUAAGUAUGUGAAGCUCAAGUUGAUAAUUAUCUAGGUUCCUAAGUUUUGAAAAUAAAAUGGAAUUAUAAGGAUGAAACUUAGAUUUUUAGGUUAAAAUUGUGGUUUGGAGUUGGAUUGGAAAAGGACCACAUGGGAUCCCCACACCCUCAAUCCUCUCCCUAUUUUCUGCAUACUGUCUCUCUCGUCUCCUACCCUCACGAAUCUCCUCUCUCUCUCUGUCACUCUUCUUCUCCGUUCGACAAACCAACCACAAAACAACCUUAAACUUCCACCAACGACGGAGUUAAGACCACCAUCAAACUCUUGGAACCUCCACGAUCACGAUGGUUAUCCAUUUCAGGUAAGUUUGCUUCGGAAAACCCUAGUUUUCAAAUUACCCGUGAAAUGGCACUGUUCAUAAACUCUUAAAUGGUGGUGUUUAGCUUAAAAACAAGAUCACAGUGAGCUUUAGGAUGUCCCAAGGAAGCUCGGAGUGCUUCGUUGGAAAGUUUUCGGACGUAAGAACACGGAGAUCGACAAGUUUCAAAGUUUGGCCGGAGCUUUCGAGGCGUUUUCCGGCGAAUCCCCGGCGAUUUAGGAGCGAGGUAGGUAUUAAUCUCUUCGUCUCAUCAAGUAACUACAACUUUCCUUUUUUGUUUCACUCAAUUUCGUUGAGUAUUGAAGAAGUUAUACUCAUUUGAAAAAUACCCAGUUUCCGGCGACCUCCGAGGCUUUCGAGGCAGUUUCCGGCCAAACCACGGCGAACUAGGUAUUGUGCAAGGUACCAUUCCUUUGUCUCUUCAAGGGCUACAACUGUUCGUUUUUGAAUCACUUGAUUCGUUGAGAAAUGACAAAGUUAUGGCAAUUUUGAAAAACUGCCCAGAAAACGGCCGCCGGAAAAACCAGUCCGGCGACCCAAGGAAGAAGAAGGUGCUACAGUAAAAAAAAAAUAAAAAUAAAAUUAUUUUAAAAAUAUGUCGACGUCCGUGACGUCGAGUAGAUCACUGUGGUAUAUUCAUAUACCUAAAUUGAAACACCGUAUGAGAAAGUUAUUGAAGAUUGUUGGUUAGGUGUUCAAAUAACGUUUUAUAGUUUUCACAUUUAGGUGAAAAUGUGAAUUGAUGAUCCGACCGUUGGAUCAUCACCAAAAUUUGAUACGUUAUAGUACGUAAUAUUUGAGGAUUAUUGGAACUUACGGAUUGGUAAUCCGAGUUACGGAUCUUCCGGAAUUGGAAUUGUAAGUCCAUAAUAUAAAAAUGUUAAACCGUCACUUAGUUUUGGAAAUUGACGGAGAUCCGACCGUUGGAUGGUAAUGAAAUUUUAGGAUGUUAUCCUAGAGAUAUAUUGUGGACCUCUGGAAGUUAUGGAUUUAAAAUCUGAGUGGCAGAUCUUCCGGAUCGAUCAACAUAGUGACGUAUUUAUAUAAGUUAUAUUCUAUCGAUAUGAAUUCUGAGGUUGGAAUUAAUUAUUGUUUUAGGCGCCGAUCGUCAUGACGCCUUGAUGUGUGGUGCUAGGGAGUUGUAGGGCGAACUCCAGGUGAGUGGGCAGUUUUGUUUUCCGUAUAUAUAUAUACUUGACGUUUCCCAGAAAUUGAAUUGAAAUGAAAAUAUGUUUUAAAAUGAAAUGCAUAUAUGAGUUAUGUGGAAAAACGGGAAGUGAAAUACCAUGCAUAGAAUUGAUAUGAAAAGUAUAUAGAAAUGUGAGUUGAAAUGCCAUGCAUGAAUUAAUAUAUGAUGCAUAUGUAUGAAUUGGUGCGGUGGACGCACAAGUAAGAAUUGAUUUAUGAUGCAUAUGUAUGAAUUGGUGCGGUGGACGCACAUGUAAGAAUUGAUUUAUGAUGCAUAUGUAUGAAAUGGUGCGGUGGACGCACAGAUGAGUAUUUAAUUACUGUUAUGAUGAUGAUGAUAUAUAUUGAGCUCAAAUCCUGCACCAUGGUUUAGUGCUUAUAGUAUUCACCGCAUCGCACGCUCGCCUUGGAUCCAAGUAGAUGCUAGUCGUACAGUCCACGCGGAGUGGGUACGACAGACCAGUCGCGAGAGUGUUAGUGAGAUUCCGACUGGUGGGUGACCUUAGAUUAUGUGCACAGAUGAUUUAUGAGAAGCACUAGAGCGUAACUUGUGUGCAGAAGGCCGGACGGGUCACAGAGGUGACUCCGGUAGAGUGAUAAUGAUAGAUUUUGAGCUCUAGGUUCAACCGUAUAGGGCUAUUAGAGGGCCUACGGUUGAUUACUUUCUUGCACCUGAUAUGAUUAUGUUGAUGCAUUCAUACCUUAUUACUGUUGAGAUGAUGUGGCAUGGCAAUAAUUAAUAUGAGAAAUGUUGAGAUGACAUGGCAUGGCAUGAUUGAUAAAGAGAUAAUGUUGAGAUAGUAAAAAUGAAGUUUUUGAGAAUAUAUAUGUAUAUUUAUAUUUUACAUUUCUGGGAAAGUAUAUACAGGUUUUACGGAGAGGGGUUACAACGUUUUGAGAAAUGUUUGGAUUUGGAAAAGAAUUGUUUUACUGACCCACUCAAUUUUGGUUUUGCGCCCCUCCAGGUUCAGGAAUCACAAAGGUGUGGUGACUACGAGGAAUUCGACGGUGUUCUGACAGAUUGGACAAAAUUAGGACUCACCUUCGGGUGUAUCAACUUAUAAAUUGUAUAAUUAAAGCUUCCGUACUGUGCAAAUGGUUACGUCACUCUCACGUGACGGCCAGCAUGCCCUCCUUCGGGACCGGGUGUGUCAGUUGGUAUCAGAGCAUGGUUGCAAUCUUGGACAUCUUGAGAAGUUUCUAGUGAAUUCUGUCAGAACUACACCGCCUCGUAGCAAACCACGUAGUUAGAGGAACUUAGUCUCCUUGAUUUAGCGGGUUAGGGGAAACUAUUCUUAUGGUGAUUCAGUAUAUUAGAAAAAUGGACAUUUUAAGACGGGUUAUGAGUUGAAUUUGAAUCACUUAAGAGAAAUGAUGAACCUGAGGGAACAAAGUGACGGAUUAACCAAUUGGAAAAGAUGUUUCGGAAUAUGCAAGUCAAAGGAAUCUUCCUUCUGACAAGGGGUCGAGACGACUACCUGGUUUUGGUUAUGAAUUUGUAUCCUGGUGGAAACAGGAGUAUGAAUUGUUGUCACCAGAGGAAUCAGUCGAUUGAGAAUUGUUUAAGGACUUGUUUAAAGGAAAAGUUUAUCCCUCCGGCAUUUAUCGAUGGUAGUAAACAAGAGUUUACAAAUAUGAGACAAGGAAGGUGAUGAUCGAGGGAUAUUAUAGAAAGUUUUCAGACUAGCCUCGUUCCAUCCAGAUAUUGUUGUUAAUUUGGUGGAGGUGUUAUGUUGUUUUAAGCUGGGUGACAAAAGGGAAGUGGUAUUUUGGGUGACCACUAUCCAUUGUAGUUCUUAUCAGGAGUAUGCUAGAUGUUGUUGAAUCUUGAGGACUCUGAGAACAUGAGCAACGAGAAUAAAGAAGAAUAAGAAAUGAAUGGGAAUUAAAAGAAGACGAUAAAGUUAAUGAUUCGUCAUAUCAAGGAUAUAGAAAGAUUCAGAGCUUCGAAAGAAGUGAAGCUAGAGUUAAUUCUUCCAGCUGAGGUUUAAUGUCGCUGGUCAGAAUAAAAGUGAUGGAUAUACUGGUAAUCCCAGAUAUUUGAGACAAGGUGUCUCGAGUAAAGGAAAUGUACCUUGUGCAGCAGGUACAAAAUUAACACUUUGGGAAAUGUGAAAUUAAUGAAUGUGUUUAUGUGAACAGAAGGGACACAGAGUUGUGAAUCGUCCCUAGAAUCAGUUGUACUCAACAAUUUUCCAUGAAAUCAUAGUGUCGAUUCAGCAGAGUUAUGGAUUUAGUAGUUUGGUCGGAUUGACCGUGAGUACAGAGAUAUUUGAUGAGUUAUAUGUUCAGCCGUACGGACCAUGAGAAAUGGAUUUGACUGACACAUGAGAAAUUGGUGAGUUAUAGGCUCGGCCGUGCCGACCACGCGGAGUGGAUCUGGCCGACGUAUUAUUGAGAUAAGAGUUGAAUCAACCGUAUUGGUUAUUCUAGUUGACUUCGGCUGAUAUAUUUCUUAUUAUGUAUGUUAUUACCUAGAGAGUAGUAAAUAAAUGUAGUUGAGACGAGUGUAUGUAUUUUGCAUUGAGUGACAAAAUAGUAAUGUUAUAUCUUUGUGAGUGGUUGCCUACUUAUCGAGACAACGAUGAUUUAUCAGUAUUGCGGGCUGCAGACCGUAAUAUUAAUAACUCAUUCGUGGAUUCGUUAAGCAAGCAAACCGGUAGAUUAUUUUAUGUUAGUAUUGUACUUAUUUGGAAUGCUUAAUAAUAAUAGAAUAUAUAUUGUAUCAGUUAAUUCUGUUCCAUUAGAUUGGUUGGUUAUAAUUGUGACAAGACGAAAUGUUAUGGGAAACCAGUACUUUCCAUCGAUCUGGAUGAACAGAGAUUACUUUUGUAAGUAUGCAAAAUGGAUUGAGUCAGGCUGUUAUUUAUGCUGUGAGAGCAAAGAGAUUGUUUUCGAAAGGCUGUCAAAAAUACUUAGCUCAUGUGGUGCUAAAUGAUGUUGUUUGGAGUAGUGUGAAUAAUGUCAAAAGAGUUCUUGCGGGCCCUGAGACUAUGGAUGAGUCUCCUCAAAGUAUUCAGGUGAUUAAGUUAACCUGAAGUAACCAGGAAUGGCAAAAGAGAUAAUGGCAAAAGAGAUAAUGGCAAAAGAGACUAACAGAUGGAUAUGCCACUAAUCGAGUGUGUAAGGGAAAUGGUUUGAUAUUUUUGGAAAUUUCACCACGAACAGAAAUGGCGAGAAUUGGAAAGGAGACAAGAUAAGAUUUAGACACAUCAGACCAUUUUUUAUCACUAAAGGAAUCAAUAAAGUUGCAUACAAGUGGUGAUGUCUUCAGAGUUGGCUAAGGUACUUAAUGUAUUUUGGGUUCGAUGCGUUGUCACUAGGUGGCAGAGUCGUUACAUGGGACCUUGGUGCAACUAUUGAGAAUUAAGCCGGAUCUGAUUGGUGAGGAACUAAUGUCGACUUUGGAUUGGAAAAAGAAGGUCCUAAGAAUUAAGACAGAGUAAGUAGUAAAAGCUUUGUGAAGGAAAUCAUUCAGUAGAAAAUUGUGUGGGAGAAAGAGAAUCGGAUGAGAGAGAUUUAUCCGAGGCUAUUGUAUGAGUAUAGAUGAUUUAGUUGGUUGCUGGAAUUUCGGGGACGAAAUUCUAUAAGGAGGGAAGAUUGUCACAGCCCGUUCCAAAAUAUUACAUUCGUGGCUGUGAAUGGACGAAAUUGCCCUUAUGAAAUACUAAGUAUGUGAAGCUCAAGUUGAUAAUUAUCUAGGUUCCUAAGUUUUGAAAAUAAAAUGGAAUUUAAUAAGGAUGAAACUUAGAUUUUUUAGGUUAAAAUUGUGUGGUUUGGAGUUGGGGAUUGGAAAAGGACCACAUGGGAUCCCCACACCCCUCAAUCCUCUCCCUAUUUUCUGCAUACUGUCUCUCUCUCUCCUCCCUCACGAAUCUCUCUCUCUCUCUGUCACUCUUCUUCUCCGUUCGAACAAACCAACCACAAAACAACCUUAAACUUCCACCAACGACGGAGUUAAGACCACCAUCAAACUCUUGGAACCUCCACGAUCACGAUGGUAUCCAUUUCAGGUAAGUUUUGCUUCGGAAAACCCUAGUUUUCAAAGUACCCGUGAAAUGGCACUGUUCAUAAACUCUUAAAUGGUGGUGUUUUAGCUUAAAACAAGAUCACAGUGAGCUUUAGGAUGUCCCAAGGAAGCUCGGAGUGCUUCGUUGGAAGUUUUCGGACGUAAGAACACGGAGAUCGACAAGUUCAAAGUUUGGCCGGAGCUUUCGAGGCGUUUUCCGGCGAAUCCCCGGCGAUUUAGGAGUCGAGGUAGGUAUUAAUCUCUUCGUCUCAUCAAGUACUACAACUUUCCUUUUUGUUUCACUCAAUUUCGUUGAGUAUUGAAGAAGUUAUACUCAUUUGAAAAAUACCCAGUUUCCGGCGACCUCCGAGGCUUUCGAGGCAGUUUCCGGCCAAACCACGGCGAACUAGGUAUUGUGCAAGGUACCAUUCUCUUUGUCUCUUCAAGGGCUACAACUUUCGUUUUUGAAUCACUUGAUUUCGUUGAGAAAUGACAAAGUUAUGGCAAUUUGAAAAACUGCCCAGAAAACGGCCGCCGGAAAAACCAGUCCGGCGACCCAAGGAAGAAGAAGGUGCUACAGUAAAAAAAAAUAAAAAUAAAAUUAUUUUAAAAAUAUGUCGACGUCCGUGACGUCGAGUAGAUCACUGUGGUAUAUUCAUAUACCUAAAUUGAACACCGUAUGAGAAAGUUAUUGAAGAUUGUUGGUUAGGUGUUCAAAUAACGUUUUAUAGUUUUCACAUUUAGGUGAAAAUGUGAAUUGAUGAUCCGACCGUUGGAUCAUCACCAAAAUUUGAUACGUUAUAGUACGUAAUAUUUGAGGAUUAUUGGAACUUACGGAUUGGGAAUCCGAGUUACGGAUCUUCCGGAAUUGGAAUUGUAAGUCCAUAAUAUAAAAUGUUAACCGUCACUUAGUUUUGGAAAUUGACGGAGAUCCGACCGUUGGAUGGUAAUGAAAUUUUAGGAUGUUAUCCUAGAGAUAUAUUGUGGACCUCUGGAAGUUAUGGAUUUAAAAUCUGAGUGGCAGAUCUUCCGGAUCGAUCAACAUAGUGACGUAUUUUAUAUAAGUUAUAUUCUAUCGAUAUGAAUUCUGAGGUUGGAAUUAAUUAUUGUUUUAGGCGCCGAUCGUCAUGACGCCUUGAUGUGUGGUGCUAGGGAGUUGUAGGGCGAACUCCAGGUGAGUGGGCAGUUUUGUUUUCCGUAUAUAUAUAUACUUGACGUUUCCCAGAAAUUGAAUUGAAAUGAAAAUAUGUUUAAAAUGAAAUGCAUAUGAGUUAUGUGGAAAAACGGGAAGUGAAAUACCAUGCAUAGAAUUGAUAUGAAAAGUAUAUAGAAAUGUGAGUUGAAAUGCCAUGCAUGAAUUAAUAUAUGAUGCAUAUGUAUGAAUUGGUGCGGUGGACGCACAAGUAAGAAUUGAUUUAUGAUGCAUAUGUAUGAAUUGGUGCGGUGGACGCACAUGUAAGAAUUGAUUUAUGAUGCAUAUGUAUGAAAUGGUGCGGUGGACGCACAGAUGAGUAUUUAAUUACUGUUAUGAUGAUGAUGAUAUAUAUUGAGCUCAAAUCCUGCACCAUGGUUUAGUGCUUAUAGUAUUUCACCGCAUCGCACGCUCGCCUUGGAUCCAAGUAGAUGCUAGUCGUACAGUCCACGCGGAGUGGGUACGACAGACCAGUCGCGAGAGUGUUAGUGAGAUUCCGACUGGUGGGUGACCUUAGAUUAUGUGCACAGAUGAUUUAUGAGAAGCACUAGAGCGUAACUUGUGUGCAGAAGGCCGGACGGGUCACAGAGGUGACUCCGGUAGAGUGAUAAUGAUAGAUUUUGAGCUCUAGGUUCAACCGUAUAGGGCUAUUAGAGGGCCUACGGUUGAUUACUUUCUUGCACCUGAUAUGAUUAUGUUGAUGCAUUCAUACCUUAUUACUGUUGAGAUGAUGUGGCAUGGCAUAAUUAAUAUGAGAAAUGUUGAGAUGACAUGGCAUGGCAUGAUUGAUAAAGAGAUAAUGUUGAGAUAGUAAAAAUGAAGUUUUGAGAAUAUAUAUGUAUAUUUAUAUUUUACAUUUCUGGGAAAGUAUACAGGUUUUACGGAGAGGGGUUACAACGUUUUGAGAAAUGUUUGGAUUUGGAAAAGAAUUGUUUUACUGACCCACUCAAUUUUGGUUUUGCGCCCCUCCAGGUUCAGGAAUCACAAAGGUGUGGUGACUACGAGGAAUUCGACGGUGUUCUGACAGAUUGGACAAAAUUAGGACUCACCUUCGGGUGUAUCAACUUAUAAAUUGUAUAAUUAAAGCUUCCGUACUGUGCAAAUGGUUACGUCACUCUCACGUGACGGCCAGCAUGCCCUCCUUCGGGACCGGGUGUGUCAAAUUAUCUUAAUAAAAAUUUGUUUAAAAAUUUAGAAUUUUUUUAAAUAUUAUUUUUUCUAUAAAUACCUAACCAUCAUCUUCCACCUUACAUCACAUUUCAAUAUUUUUGACACUUUCAACCAAAAUAGUACUUUCGGAAAAUGACACGUGGCAUAAUAAGAUUGGUUAAAAAUCCUACCCAAAAUUAAAAUUAUUUUAUUUUAUUUUAUAAAAAAUAAAUAAUAUUUUAAAUGAGCUGGAUGCCAGCGCAUUUUAUAAGUGUGGAGAUUAUUUGUGCCAACGUAUUUUUUAAGGAUGGAGAAGCAUUUGACUAAUUUACUGUUCAUGAGAUAUAUAAUUGUUCACUGAGUAGAUUAAGGGGUGGUUUGGGAGUGAGGUGCUUAAAAAAAAAGCACCCAUGAAAAAAGCUGUGAAGGUUUUAGGUGUUUGGUAAACUGAAAAAAAUGGCUUAUUUUGGAAGCUGCUGUGAGAAUAAGCUAAAAUCAAAGGAAAAAGCUGAAGCUGCUAUUUGUAGCUUUGGAAAACUGGCUUUUUUUCAAAGCACACGGAGCUACAGUACUCUUUUAAUGAAAAGAUCCACUAUCAGACUGCUUUUUUUUUUCCAAAAGCACUUUUACAAAAAAGUUUACCAAACACUCUGCUGAUUUAUUUCACAGCCGCUUAUUCUCACAGCACAGCCGCUUAUUCUCACAACAACUUUAUUUCAAAGCACAGCAAUACCAAACCAGCCAUAAAUAGGUUGAGUGCAACGCAUUUUUUAGGGAUAGACUAGCUAUGCAUAUUCCAAACCGGACCGUGCGACCCGUGCGUAUCGUGUCGUUUGGUUAAACGCAAUGCCGUGUGUUUUCAGAACGAGAUGAUGAGAUUUUAAGCGAAUUGUUGUGAACUCCGUCGCCGACAAUGGAAGUCCGACUCGGUUUUCUGAAAUGGGUUGCAGUCAUCUUAACGAUUCUGGACCGAGUUAACUCGGUCUCCGGUAGCUGCCAUUUCAGUUUCGUCGACGAUAACAAGCUCUACAACUACACUCUGGACUCUCCCAUCCCUUUCUUCCCUCAUGGCGUCCAAAGCGAAGAUGGGUACUCUCUCUGUCCUCUACUUGAUAUGGGGUUUUCUUAUUUUCACGAAUCGUUAAUGGUAACUUGUAAUUUCUAGUUAUUCUCACUGUCAAUGAUUUUCUUUUCAUGAUAUUAAUCUCCAAUUUGCUGCAAUGGUGGAAUAUUUACCUCAUCUGCAUGUAUUUUUCUGUGCAUGUCUUGCAACUGUUUGAUUGCUGUGGAUGUUGUUAUGAAAUUUGUGAUUUUUAUGUUAGAUGCACGAGGUUCUUGGAAUUGUGCAAAAUAAUGUGCUUCUCUCCUGCCGAAACUGGUUUUCAUUAAGGCGGCUUAAUGCGCUUUUGUUCGAAAGAAAUUUGGUUGAGCCAUUCUGAUUUUGCCUAGUUUGAUAUUUGGAAGCAUCUUAAACUGCAAUAGUUAUACGGUACAUUAUGGUUUAAGGGGUUGCAGAGAUUUUUCGCACUCUUGAGCUUUGGACAGAGGUUGUAUUCUGGCCGAUACUCUUAUGUAUGGCGGCAUUCGUGAUGUUAUUAGUUAAUCAUCAAUUUGGUCAAGCAAAAUUCAUUUUUCCUUGCUGCUAAACUUCGUUACUACAGGUUCUACAAGGUGGCAGCAAAUGAGACUGUGCUCUGGUUUCAGGUUCGCUCCAUCAGGUCACACCUUUGUUUUUUAACUGAUAUUUUGUGUGACGAUGAUCAUGAUAAUAUCACAAUGCAGUGGUUUGUUAUUUUCUUUAACCGAUAUCAUGUUAACUUUUACAAGCCUAAGCCUUAUUAAUGUCGCUAGGUUCAUUAUUGAGUUUAUUUUCUUUGACUGUCUGGAGCAGCUUUGCGAUGGAAUGAUUUUCAAUCACGACCCACCUAGAUGUGUUGAUUGCCGGGUAAAUUUGUCAGCUCUAUUGCUAUUAUUUUCUUUAUGUUGAUGAUAUAGAAGGCACUGAGACUGUUGCAAUUUUGAAAUGAUUCGCACUUAUUUACUUGGUACUUAGUUCCUCCCUAUAUUUUGAUCCGUAAGGGAGCUGCUCCGGGGUUUGCUCUCAUUUUCUCUAUCUCUGCCUUUGAAGAAAAGAGAGGGUUAGAGAAAGAUGGCAAUUUGGAAAUUGACAGCUAAAGCUGGCACUUACACUGCUAGCUAAACAACUUGAGAGUUAUUUCUAAAUUUAGAAUCUAAAACUAGCAAAAUGCUGCGGAAGUUAAUAGAAUAUUGCAACAGCUUUCAAAGGUCCUAAUUGUCAUUUGCUUCCUUUUACUUUUAACCUUUAUUUUGGAUUCAAUUACUGAUAAAUCUUUUUAACAAUUGACUCGAGUAUUACUGUUCACAUAUAAUUCCAGGCUCUUGAUCCAGGGUGUAAUGGGCAGAGUAGCCUUUUGUUCAAAAUUGGAUAAGAAAGAUAAAGAUAGUAAUAUGUACUUCCUACCCAAAUUUCUGUAGAAUACCUUAUUUAUUUGACUAUCAUAUUGAACAUUGCAGGAUUGUGGGGGUGCAUCACGCUGUGGCAUGGGUUGUAGUGCGCUUGUGGCAAACAACAUAGAAGGUACAUAUGCUUUGCUUUUUCAGAUGAUUAAUGACGUAGCCCUCCAUGUACUUUACUGUAUCUAUUGCUUGUUGGUAAAGUCGAGAAAAGGAAUUCACAUUCAAUUGCUUAGGUAUGAGAGCGGUAGUCGGUGACUCAAUCAUGUUUGGGAAUAAACAAAUUAAUUUCUUUCAGAAAUAAGUUCCUUCUGUUGACUAGCUCUGCAGAAGUAGAUCUUUAAUUUGGACAUGUUCUGGAGCAAAUAAUGCUUUAAGGAUCAUGAUCUGAUGAAUGCUCUUGCAAGUUGUAUUGUGAUACACAGUAGCUAUUCAUAAAUAGUGUAAAAAAAUUGUGACAGCUAAACUUUUUCAUGACAUCGUAUGCUCUGUGGCUUCAAACAAAAUUCUCUUGAUUUCUUGUAUAAUGUGCUUUGAUACAUUAGAAAUUGGGAGCCUGUGAUGCCCUCAUUUUAAUUUCAAACAAAGCAGGAGACUGUGAGGGCUUUCUCAUCUAAUUUGGAUUGAAAAUUGUUCUAUUUUGGAAGACUCUGUUUAAUCUUCUAAAAUGAACCAAGUGGUAACUGCAGGUUACGAUGUGUGCACUACCAUUGGGCGUGCCUCAAGCAUUGACAUGAACAUAAUUGGUGAGAUUUCUUUUCCAUUUUUUUUCGAAUCUCCCCCAGAUAUAAAAUUGUAUGAUACCUUCAGGUUUUCAUUACUAUAGCUCGAAUAUGGCAUUGCGCAAAUAUGUAUGGACAUGCAUGCUUUCUGACCAAAUUGAUUUGGUUUGUGCAUAAAAUUUUGGAAAUUUAUGACUUGUUAUGGCAGACAGGAAGAAUCCUAACACUGGUGUCAUUGUUAAGAUGUCUAGUAGUGGCCUAAAGUUCAACUGUUCGCUGUCUGUGUCUGUGAUUUGUGAUCCCAAUAGAGUUCAGGCAAGACCUUAUACGAAAUUAUUUGCAUAAUUUGAAAUGAUCUAGAAUUCUGCAUGCUUGGUUAAUGAUCCAGUUUCUUAUCUUUCUAUUUUACAGGGGCCACAUUCACUUGAGAAAACUGGGAAAUGCGACUAUGUGAGUUCUUUCAGUUUCAGAAUAUCUUUCAUUCCUCCUUGCUUAGUGCUUAAUCUUAUAUACUAUAUGAUUAUACUUUGAUAAAGCUGUCCAUGGGAGUAGCGAUAUUUUGUCCAUAUUCUGUGAACUGUGCAGUGUACACUAUGGAGUAUAGACCUUUGGCCCUCUGUCUUCAGCUUUUGUAUUGCUAAGCUUCUUGCCUGAUUUAAUAAGUUCCUUUAGCUUGAAUCUUCCCUCGGUAGAUCUCCAGCCAUAUUUAUUAAUUAAACUAAUCUGAUUUGAAUGGUAGACUUGUGUGGAACUGAAGAUGUGCUCAACCUGUUUCAUUUUCCUGCUUAUCAUUAGUGUGCUUUGGUGUUGCCUGAAGAUGUGUCCUAUUUUUUUUUUCUUUCUCAGCUGGUGGCGCUUUAUCUUUUAGGCUUUCUUUUUGUGUAUAUGGUUCAGGUGAAGGAAAGGGUGGUGGUAUUGACUAUUGAGAAAUACAGAUAAACUAGCUAUGUUUGUCGUUGCUAAUGAAUGAAAUCAUAGAUUUCAAAAUAGGGAUGCAUGAAGCUUUGAAAUGCAUGGCACUGGCUCUCUGUUGACAGUUCAUUUUGUGACAUUGAAAUGGAUUUUCAGCGAGUGUAUGAACAAUGUACAAAAUAUGAGGUUCAUAAUCUUCUCAUCCUUAUGACAGGCUACAGUAUUGACACAUCCUUCUGGCUGUGCCAAGAUUGAACACGUGCAUGGGAGAGGGUGGGGCUGGCUUGGUACCUUAGGAAUCAUGUAAGAGUAAAAUUUUUUCCUGAACGUUAAUACCAAUGGGAUUUUCUAUGUCUACUGUUGAAGUUUUUCUGAGUCAUCUUAAUUGAUUGAUAAGUUGAUAACUUAUCUGGAUUUCAGAAUCUUAUGCCUUUUUGGAGCUUAUCUGCUGGUUGGGGCAGGUUAUCGAUAUAUCAAACUUGGAGUUCGUGGAAUACACGUAUGUUCCUCAAUUAGAUCAGCUUCUUUUUGUUCAAAAAAAAAAAAAAGAUCAGCUUCUUGCAUACAAACCAUUUAGUUAUGCUUGAGUUUGUCCAUUCAUGUGUCUUGAAUUUUUUUUAUGCAUAGCUCCAUCUAUUUGCUGUGUAUCAAUUUGAAAUGGAAUUCAAGUUUUCUUAAAUUUAUAGAGGAAAAACUAAUAUAUGUCAAGAGUCAGGUAAAAUGGUGGUCAUGAAUUAGGCAUAGGAAACUUGGUGAUAGAUAUCAAACAGUGGUUGGUCCAUUGAAGGAAAUGUUGAAGGGGAGAGAGAACCAAAUUGCAUGAUCAUUACGGCAAAAGGGAAUUCAAAUUUGUAAGAGUCAUGAAAUAGGGAAUCCGCACGUUCCUUUUACCAUUAUUACUAUAAAUCCAUAUGCCAUGUUGGGGACAAAACUAUUCUUUAUUUUUUUUAUUUUUUAUUUUGGCAGCAUACCAUUUCGAAAUGUGACAUGUUAGAUCUCAUUGCAAUGGCGGAAAAUAUCUUAAUUGUUACUAGUAUUCUGGAAUCUGGGCAAGGUUCCAAAGUGUUCCUUCAGUGUUUACGUGAUGGGAAUUUAACUAUGAUUUGGUGCUUCUCCUCUUUACAGAUUAUACCAAACUUGGACUUUUGGACCGGCUUACCUCAAACUACACAGGUAUUCUGCUUAGGUUUACUGAUCUGUCUCUUUCCACCGUACUUCUAGUGACUGGGCACAGAUAUAAACAAUUUUCAAUUAGAAUGCUUUUUUUUCUUCUUCUUAAGGUGUCAAGAUAUUGUUAAUAAUACCACCCUUUGUCUUUCCAGAGUUUGUUUGCAUUCUUAAUGCACAAAUUUAGGGGCUCUUCUCAUGGUCUUCGAAGCACCUAUUCUCCUGUCGACUUUUGAGCAUAGAGAUAUUUGUUUUAGUUCAAGCUGGUGAAUUGAUUUUGUAUCAUCUGUGCUCUGCCAUCAACAUUCAGCAAAAACAGAAUGGAUCAGUAUGCGGCAACAGCCUAGUCAAAACUAGCACUUAAGCUUGGCAUGCACCAUCAUAUAAAGGGUGCCUUCUCCGUCUCACGUAUGCUUUUCAUUUUAUUUUCCGUCACGAGUCAUAUAUUUAGUUGCAACGUAAAGGAACCCUCCUUACCAAGUACUAGUUUACUUGUUAUUUUCCUUCUACAUUGUGUCAGCUGCUGUUCAGGCAAUUUUGAAUGUAUUGGUUUCCACACGAAUUUUAAUAUUUCUCCACAUAAAUUAAAAAUAUGAAUACGUUAGAUGUUUAGUGUCAUGCAUUAUCUUGCAUGUUGGAAUGUAUGGUAGUGUGCUACUAUAUCUUUGAUAUGAUUUAUUGAAGGUUAAUAUCUUGCAUAUUUACAGAGGCUGAAUUGACGGAUUGAUUUAGAUGUUUGAUGAGAUGCAGUUACUGAACAGAUAUAUUUUUAUGGUAGAACUAUGUUAUGCAUUGAUGCUUACUCAACAAAAAGCUAUUGGAUUUUGGAUUAGUAGUAUGGUGAUAUGAUGGGAGAAAGGCUGUUUGGAGCGUUUCUCACCACAGAAACCCUCAUGAAUUGAAAAUAUCAAAGGCUUUACCUGAUGUGCCAUUAUUUUCUUACUGAUUCUGAUGUGGCUGGCUAACAACAUUGUCGAGGUUCUUUGAAAAGCACCAGAAAAUGCAACAAGGGUGAAGGUUCUUAACCACAACUCUUUCAUACAUGAAGUCUGCCUCAUUUUGAUUUGGCCAUUUGCAAUGUGCUCUGUGUCUCUUCAGUCUCAGGUAUGAAUUUAUUUGUCAACUUUUGUAAUGAAAUUUUAUGUGUUUGGAAAUUUUUUUGUACUUAGGAGGGAUGAAUCGUAUUUUCUUGGUGAAGAUUAUCGAAAUUUAUGUACUGUGAACUCUUCCUUUGGUAUCUUUCUUCAUAUUUUGGUGAGGAAGUGAAGGGGGUUCUGGGGUUCAACAGCGAGAAAAUUAAUUUUUAAAAGCAUUUACCGUGUGAGCUUUACAGACAUAGAGAAAAUCAAACUUUCUGUUUUGCGUCGAUGCAUGCAUUUCUCACAUUGUAUUUUCUGAACUUUAUUUAUAGAACUUACACUAAAGUUGGAUCUAAAACGUCCUUGCGUUGUCCCAAUGUCAUUAGAGGUCGUGGAACAAUAGGAAUACAUUGACUUACCUGGGUCAUAACCGGUGUCUGUGGGUUCUAUUCCUUUCUUUGGCAUCGGUUAAACCUCUUCUUCCUACGCCUAUGGCUUCGGUUCCCCCUUGAGAGAGUCGACAAGGUUACAAGUUAUUAGUUAGUCAAUAAUUGUAAUUAAUUAAUUUUGGCCAAACUAUGAUUAUUUGUUGUGAUUAAAUGUGAGGUGAUCAGCUGAGCUGCUACUUCUUUGUUGUAUUAUUGAGUACAGAAUUAAGAAAGCCAAAGCAGGUGAAUGCCAACCACUUUGAGCCUGAAAUAUUACCCACUUUCCAAUCACCCUCCACCUAAAACUAAUAUUUCAUCUCUCUCUCUCUCUCUCUCUCUCUCUCUCUCUCUCUCAAAGUAGAGAAUUUGAUAGACACUAUUACUUAUAAUCAUGCACCUGUAGUAGUCUCACCCACUCCGCUCCACUUGUAUUCUUGGAAUUCAGUUUUUCUUUUGGGACCAGAAAUGGUAUUUGGUUUAAUGAUUUCCCAUACACAGAAAUGCCUGAGAUGCAAUUUACUAUUCAUUGGCCUACCUUUGGAUAUCAUAUCGGCUUCAAUAGUAAGGGAAUCAAACCACCACGGCGUUGCUAAGUGACUGGGGAUGAAUUUUAAACUCUAUUUCACUUGGCACGUCUUGGGUUCAAUUCCUAGCGCUGGUGAAUCAUCCAAUGGUGAUUAGGAGUAGGUUGAAAUGCAUCUGUGAGUCUUUCCAGCCUCUACAAGAGUGGAUUGUCAUAGCAAAACCAAUAGUUGCUCUCCCUUUUAAAAAUUUCUUCAAUUUUAGAUUUAUUCCUCCUUUGCUACUUAGCACUAUGGUCUAGUAGUAUUUCUCUUUAAGUGAGAUGUCUUAUGUUUAAUUAUUAGCAAAGACGAAUUUGAAUCACAUUAUUACUAGCUAAUUAUAAGGCUAAGCCCACCCCUCCUAUGUAGAGAAUAUAAUUUGUUCAAGAAAAAAAAAAUUACUCCUCCUUUUAAAUCACUUAAUUCAUUUUUCUUUUUCUGUAACAACAGGAUUAAAAUUAGUGCAUUUUUGCUCAUCACCGUAACCAUCUCGUUAUUUACUAGGUGUCAUUUCAUUUUCACCUAAUUAUAGUUAAUUUUUUUUUCAAAAUUAAAAGGGAGCAUUUAUUGUGAAAUAUAACUAUGAUUAAGUGGAAAAGAAAAACUAUGAUUAAGUGGAAUGACGCAUGGUAGGUAAUAAGGUGUACGGAGUCGACGUUGGUGCUGAGACUGCCGAUUUUUAAUAUAAUAUUCCCGACCCAAAUGAUUCUUAUAUAUUUGUUCUUCUCACGGACGAUGAAUCUGUAUGGAGACCUCCAUCUCAUAAUUUCCAAUCCAAACUAAAUCACACAUCCAAACACAAUUAUACGAUUUCACGAGACUAAUGAAGCCACCGCCGUACUCCUCCUCCGCCGCCGUCUUCCGCAAGGCUAGACUCUCUCCCUACCUCUUCACCCUCCUCUCCUUCGUCCUCUUCGUCUCCGUCCUCUACGGCGCGGACCUCACCUGCAUUUUCGGCCACCGUCAACUCACCACCAGCUCCGACCCACUCGUUAUCAAAACCGUUGAGUCAACCUACCUCAUUCCACCGAGUCAAUCAAUUUCCUAUUGCAAAAAUUUGAAUAUUUUUCAAUUUACUAAAUUGGGUUUUGCGUUUUGGGGCUAGGGAAGAAGAGGGAGAAGCUGCCGUUCGCCGUCGGCAAGACCGACGAAGGGUGCGACGUGUUCAGCGGGAGGUGGGUUUUUGACGAGUCGACUCGGCCGCUUUACGAGGAAUCGGAGUGCCCGUACAUUCAGCCGCAGCUGACCUGCCAAGAACACGGGCGGCCCGACAAGGACUACCAGAAAUGGCGGUGGCAGCCCCACGGCUGCGAUCUUCCCAGGUCAGUUGCUCAGUCGCUAUAAAAAAAAAAAAGGCGUCAAUUCCUCGUUUUAAUCGGCGUUGUUUGGGGAAGUUGAGCCGAUUUUUUGCUUUCCCUUUUGAGCUUUUACAAAAAGCAUCGUACGACCGGAACUCUCCUCGUUCUGUAUCCCUACGUACGUAUCUCGUCACCGACAAACGAAACGGUUUUGUCCCUUUGUCCUUGUUUGACGAACCGGUUUUCCCAAUCGAACCGGCUGGGUUGCUUCCAGCCGGCCGGGUCGACAGUUGUUUAUACGCUGCCGUUCUGUUCCUGGGGAAAUCGAGAUCGCGUACAUUCCUUCCAUCUGUCGCCCGUUCGAGACAACUAAGGGACGGGGCCCACUGUUCCAUAGAACAGCGGGGAAGAGGUGGGGCCCAAAUUGUGUACGGGCUUACCGAGUGCCAUAGUAUGGGCUAUUUAGAACGGCCCGGAGAUAAUCUAAAAGUGCUUUUAGGUAUUAGAAGCAUUUUCAAGAGAAGCACGUGACCAUACUUUGAUUUUUACUAAACAUUUCAACGUGUUUAUCAUAAAAUUACUUUUAACAUAAGCGUUUAUGAACAUAUGUACUUUUUAGAGAUACAAUCUCAAACAGGGAUUAAGAUCCUCUUUUGAUCUCAGCCCACGGACCGAGCAAUUAGAGCGUUCAAGAGAGAGAGAUAUGGACGUUGGACAGAGAGAGAGAUGUGUUGUGUGAGGUAGGCCAAUGGGAUGGGCCAAUGAAGACCAAUAAAAUUUAAGGUCUGGAUUGCUCGGUUCGCAGGCUUUAGAGUUUGAGAUCCGGAGAGGAUCUAAAUCCCUCAAACAGCCCCUAGUUGUACCACAAUUGUCCUAACAAAUUAUAGUAUGUUUAAUUUAUUCAUAAACAGCCAUGUUAAAAUACAUAAUUUUACCUUCUAAUAAUUCUGCAUAUUUGUCACUGGUAGUUUUUAUUUGGUGUUACAAUGUCAUUGGUAUUAACAUUAAUUUGAUAAUCUUAUAAAAAUCAUAUAUCCUUCGAUGAUGGAUUUUUUCUAAUUUACCAAUAGAGUAACAUGUAUAACGUUCUUCUCACAAAUUAUGCAGCUUCAAUGCCACAUUGAUGCUCGAGACGAUACGAGGGAAGCGGAUGAUGUUCGUUGGAGAUUCUCUGAACCGGGGUCAGUAUGUUUCCAUGAUUUGUCUUCUCCACAAGCUCAUCCCGGAUGAUGCCAAAUCCAUGGAGACCUUCGACUCAGACUCGCGAACUGUUUUCACAGCCAAGGUGACAUUUCAUUGACGUUUUCACUUUUUCUCAUACUUCUCAAAUGUACAUUGACGUUUUACUGACUCAUUUACUAUUCUGUGUUCCAUAAUGUGCAGACAUACAAUGCCACAAUCGAGUUCUAUUGGGCGCCGUUUCUGCUUGAAUCAAACUCGGAUAAUGCUAUCGUCCAUAGGAUAUCUGACAGGAUUGUAAGGAAAGGGUCCAUCAAUAAGCACGGCAAACAUUGGAAGGGCGUUGAUUUAUUGGUGUUCAAUACUUAUCUGUGGUGGAUGACCGGCGUGGAAUUUAAAAUAAUGUACUUUCUUGCCCCUAUCAAAUUAUAAAUUACUUAACUCUCUCUUCCUAUAUUGCUUAAAAAAAUGUCUAAUUGCUGAAAUUUUAAUUUUCAGACUAGGUUCCUUCAAUGAUGAGGUGAAAGAUAUUGUGAAGCUGCCAACGACAGAGGCUUAUCGUAUGGCGAUGAAAACUAUGUUAAGAUGGGUGCGGAAGAACAUGGACCCCAAGAAGACAAGGGUCUUUUUCACUAGCAUGUCACCUUCUCAUGGAAAGUGAGCACAAUUCUCUCAACACUAUUUAUUCAAAUCAUAAAUAUAGCAUUCAAAAUUGUGAUGACCCCGAUGCGUAACUUGUGCUUGAAGUUUUCACAAGAUUAAGGUGGACUGACAUUUGAUAUUUGGCAGUGGUAUAGAAUGGGGAGGUGAACCAGGAGGUAACUGUUACAACCAGACUACUUUGAUUGAGGAUCCAAACUACUGGGGUUCAGAUUCCCGGAAAAACAUAAUGGAGGUAAUUGGAGAUGUAUUUAGUAAAUCGAAGGUGCCCAUUUCUUUUCUCAACAUCACGCAACUCUCAAACUAUCGCAAGGACGCCCACACAUCAAUCUACAAGAAGCAGUGGUCCCCUCUGACUCCCGAGCAAAUAGCCAACCCUGUUAGCUAUGCCGAUUGCGUGCAUUGGUGUUUGCCUGGCCUUCAAGAUACUUGGAACGAGCUUCUGUUCGCCAAACUUUUCUAUCCUUGAUCAUGGUCCAAAGUGGUGAGUUCUCAUCCUCUGCCCUUUCAAGAUGGUCAUUGCAUGGUGAGAUCUAGCUGGUGGCAAGGAAUAAGUGUAAAUUAGUUAUCCAUGAAAAAUUUGGCAUGGAAGAUAGAUAGAUUGAAUCCUGCUUUGAAGUUGAAAUGUGAAAAAUGAAAAUUUUGUUAUGAAAUUUGAGGUUUGUGAAGGAGAAUACUUGAGUAUAGUAAUUAAUUAAAAGUGUUGAUGCACAAAACCGGAGGGUCUUGGAACAACGUAAAUCCAACCGUGAAUCUGCAAGAGAGUAAAGAACACAAGAUGUAUCGUGGUUCACCUCAAUGUUUGGGCUACGUCCACACUGAUAUUGAUUGUAUUUCUCUCUAACUGUAUGUAUGGAUUACAAGGGUGAGGGGGAGUUCCCCAGAGAAAGAGAGAGUUUGAGAGUAGGGAUUGUGGUGAGGAUGAGACCUCUGUUUAGAGGAUGUGAGGCUUGAGGAUUGUGAGGGUGAGGAGUCUCUUUUAUAGAGUAAUGACUCCUCACUUAUUACAUAUUUGCCCUCUUCAUUUAUUACAUAAUUAUAUUUGAGUCUCUUAAGUAUUUAUACGAGGUCUAAAUACGAAGGCCCAAAGUAUAGUAUAAACAAAAAGAAAGUAGAGAAUUAUCACAUUGUUUUCAAGGGCACUCUGUUCGAGUCAUGUUUCGUAGACGGCUUUGAAGCCAAAUGACAUUGUAUUUUUUGCAAACCAUCAGGUAUCACUCACUGAUCAACUUCUAAAAACAUGUUGGUACUGUUGGCCACAUAUGCCUCGUACGUUGUCGUUUUUGAUAGUCAAACUUGAGACCUUUCUCUAAUAUAUAAUCAUAGCUUCUAAUUUUACAAAGGAAAAUAAGGGGAUGAUUGAGAUUUAAUUUUUCAAAAGCCACUAAGGGAAAAAGAAGUUAUAUCACACAGAGGGGACGUUGAGGGGGAGUGAAAGGUGCAGUCGCAUAUAACCUCAAAUUUGAAGGGGCCUCCAAAAUUUUGCCAUCUAAUAUUAUGUAAGGGAGACUUUGGAUGCGGUCCCUAGUUAUGAAUAGUCUUUGACUGAAACCUUGUUGGUUUUCAAUUUUUGAUCCAAGUCCCUGAAAUUAAUUGAUAAUUUAUUUCUAUGUACGUUACUAUAUUUUUUAAAUUAAAAAUUAAAAUUUAUAGUUGUUUAUAGUAAUGAGAUUUUAAAUAAAAAACCAUAAUUUGUGGGAUUAAAAAUAUUAAAAUAUAAAUAUACUAUUGUGUGUGUGUGUGUGUAAACAUGGGUACAUUCAUAAAAAAUAACCAAAAAAUUAUUGUAUCAAAACAUGGGUACAUUCUUCAAAAUGGGUACAUUUAGCAAAAAUAAAAAUGGGUACAAAUAAAUAAAAAAAUAUGGGUACAAUACAAAUAAAACUUUAAAAAAUAUGGGCACAAAAAGAAAUUAAUAUAUGGGUACAAAUUAAAACUGAAAGGAAAAUUGGUACAAAUUAAAAAAGGGUUGCAAAUUAAAAAUGGGUACAAACUAAAAAUAAAAAUAUAUGAUAAAAAAUUUAGCCAUAAAUAUAAAUAUACUAAUUGUAAUAUUUUUAAUAUUAAAUGAAUAUAUUUAGAAAUAAAAAAUAUUUUAUUAUUGAAAUAAUUAAUGAUAUUAUUAAUACAAAGACCUUGAUCAAAAAUUAAAAAGUAAUAAGGUUUUAAUCAAUAGAGUAGUAAAAAUAAGGAUGAAAACCUAAUUACUCCAUUAUGUAAUAAUGUUUUAUAUUUAGAAAAUGAAUCUUUUUAGCAUUUUAAAAUCUCAUUGCAUUCCUUAUAAGAAUAAUUUUUUUUCCUUUUUAAAUAUAAAAAGGUAAUGCUAGGAAGAUUAAACUAAAUGAUGUAUCACUAAUAGGAAAUGAACACAUAUAUCAACGCUUAAAUAAUAAUCCAAUCAUCAAUUCAUGUCUAAUUUACAAAAUUUUGUCUACAAAUUUAGUCACUCUAGCAUUACUCAAUAUAAAAAUUUGGAGUACAAUGAGAUAUUCUAAUUGUCAAUAAUAACACCCAAAAAAACGAUGGUUUUUUAAUUUUAUUAUAGAACAAUAUCACGUAUUCAAGUGAAAUUAUAAAGUUUAGAGUUUUGAAGUUUUUAUCCAUGUUUGGUUGUUUAAGAUUGAACUGCUUUUGAUUGUUUAAUGAAGGUUAUGUUUGCAGUUUUUUUAUUUAUGAUUAAUGAUAUUUGUAAACUUGCAAUCAGUGAGUGCUUAAGUUUGUUUUAAUUUAAGUGAUUGUUUUCAAACAUCAAUACAUUGUUCUAGUUUUUUUUAAACUAUCUUAAGGAGGGGUCAUUUUAUAAAUUUCGUAAAAUGUCCCCGAAAUCUCAGAGACGGCCCUGAUAGCACAAAGCAACCAAUUGGUCUCUGGCCGGCAACAAUCUUCUCAAGGGACGGCCAAAACAUAGAAGAGAAGGUGUACAUUCUGGCUUUGCACCCGCAGCACCUUCAGCCAGUGUUGGUGCCUGCGGCAGCGCCUUGUGAGUUUCAGUUGGAGCUAAGAGUCAAGAUGCGGGCGGGUUCAUCUGACGAGCCGAGUUGCUAGGGUUGAGACAAUGAAGUCGAUAACCAGCAAGUGCACAAUUUUGUUAAGAGCUCAUGAGUAGAACUUAAACCAGCUUGUAAGUGAAGCGUUGCCCAAGAACUCUUAUAACACUUUCAGAUUCUCCAUCUUUCUGAUGUUAGACAAUUUAGUCCUAACAAAUUUGAGGACACCGCAACCCAUUAUCAUUGGAAUAUGACCACCAUCUUCCUUGUCGUACAAGGCAUCCACUUUAAAUAAUUGAUUGCUACUGUACUUAUCAACUUCCAUUCUCUUCACUCACUUAUGUACUUCUCGUGUUUUGUUAACUAAGUAAUCAAAAUUAGAGAACCAUUCCAAAGCAUUAAAGUGAGGGAGAAGGAACUCGAAGGAUAAGGCUGCGAAAAUUCCAACUAGUCUCCUAUGGGACCAAAAUGAGUGGAUAACCGUAAUUCACUACCAGUUGUCCUCUUUUUUAUUAAAAAAAAAAAAAGAGAAGGAACUCAAACAGACAAAGUGCGAGUGUACAAAAUCAAUGCUUUAGAAUAUGAGUUUUGGUUAUACUUUUGGGUGUGGGAUUCUCAAUCUAGGUUUUUUAGAACAAAAAUCUACUGCUUGGAUCUUGUUCAAAAAUCAAAAGGCAAGGAAAUUAAGGAGUACAUAAGGAAAUUUUACCACACAUCAAAUACUGUAAUAUAAUGUAGAUUGCGUAUCAUCAAAAGUGGAAACUUAUUAGGAAACAUCCAAUAUUAUUUCUAUAUAAUCAUUAUCUUCUUUCUUCAUCGACAACCUUAAACCCUUGACAUGAAAAAUCUUAAUAUAUACAGAUUCAAAAAAAGAAAGAAAGAAAAAAAGGUACAGCACCAGAAGCCCAUGCAUGCAAAUAACGAAGCCACCAACUACUGUUGUGCGGAAGUGUCGCCUCUCUCACCACCUCUUCACAGUGUUCGCCUUGCUUCUCUUUUUGCCGUCUUUUUUUUCGGCGAGGAUUUGACGUACAUUUUUUACGUAGAGCUUCAACUCGGCCCCACUGCUGUCCGAAUUAUGGGGUUAGAGACGAAGAGGGAGGAGCUGCCACCGUUCGCCAUAGGUAAGAACGAGGAAGGGUGUGGCGUGUUCAGCGGGAGGUGGAAUUUUGACGAGUCGACUCGGCCGCUUUACGAGGAAUCGGAGUGCCCUUACAUUCAGCCGCAGCUGACCUUCCAAGAACACGGGCGGCCCGACAAAGUACCAGAAAUGGCGUUGGCAGACCCACGGCUGCGAUCUUCCCAGGUCAGUGGCUCAGUCUCUAAAAAAAGUCGUUUUAAUCGGCGUUAUUUGGGAAAGUUGAGCCGAUUUUUCGCUUUCCGUUUUGAGCUUUACAAAAGCAUCGUACGACGGGAACUCUCCCAGUUCUCUCGAUCCCUACUUACAAUCUCGUCACCGAGAAACAAAACGGUUUGAAAGGCCGAUUGCAAUCUUAUACAACAUGUUUUUUUUUUAUCCUUCUUUACGAUACAAGUACACAGUUCCUGUGUUCUCGAUAUAUUUGCGUCCUAAAUUGGGAGAAACAAGGACCUCGAACACUUAAUUUUCGUCUCCUAGAACUGAAACAAUGACGCAUUUUCUUCAUCCUUGAUGAGCUUUUGUGGUGUAGUGUGGGGAUAUUAAUGAAGGAGCAAGUAAUUUGAGCCAAGCUGCACGACCAACAUUACAAUUUUGUAUCGAAAGCUUGUAUAUACAUCUGAGUUGAAUGCGAGACAUGCUAUACUAGUCAUUAACCCAAUUUUACAAUCGAUUAAAAUCCCAACAUUCGAAAAGAACAUUGCAUUGGAUGUAAAACGCGCUAAUUCCUCGUUUUCUCCAUUUUUUACUAGGAACUUAAGCGAAAUCAUUCCCACAUUUUUUUUCUUCUGUUUAUUCAAUUAAAAAAAAAAAUAAAUAAAAGUUAUAAAAUUAAAAAUAAGUGUGUAGAAAUCAAAUCUUAUUAGUAGUUACAGAGUCUUAUUUUCUUUGUAAUAUGUAGGCCAACUGCCCAAUCCGUUGUGAGCCUAUAGAGUUGUAGACCUUACAAAAUUCCUCAAGGUGCCCACAAAUAUUUGGACCCUAAUCAUAUACUUUUGUCACUUAAGAGCUAAACAACCAUAAUUUAUGUUUCUUGAUGUUGGAUUAUUAUUAUUUUGUUAACUUGAUGUUGGAUUAUUGAUUGUAAAAUGUACAAUAUCCUUGUGGCAACAAAUUCCUGCAGCUUCAACGCCACUUUGAUGCUCGAGACACUACGAGGGAAGAGGAUGAUGUUCGUCGGAGAUUCUCUAAACCGGGGUCAAUUUGCUUCCAUGAUUUGCCUUCUCCACUCAUUUAUCCCCAGUUAUGCUAAAUCUAUGGAAUCCUUCGAUUCAGACUCAUGAACUGUUUUCACAGCCAAGCUGAUCAAGUGUUUCAUUAUUUUGUUUCAUACCAAAUGAACAAAGUUGUUCCUGUUUUACUGAAUUAUUUGUUGAAUAAUGUAAAAUAUAACUUAUGUUCGAGUGGUUUCACUUUUAAUUGCAUGUGUUAAAACCGCACACCAACUAGCUAACAUGUAGCGAAAUUGAGUGAUAUUAGCUCAGAGUGCCGGAGCCGCAAAACAAGCGCUUUCCACCCACGCAAGGACGUUGUUGGCAGGAACAAUAUCUGUGCUUGACUCAUUAAUAGUGGACCGUUGAGCAUCUUCUGUGAAAUCUUUGACAUUAUUAUUUUCCAAGUUUUGUCAGGAAUACAAUGCCACAAUUGAGUUCCAUUGGGCACCAUUUCUUCUUGAAUCAAACUCAGAUGAUGCCGUGGUGCAUAAGGUAUCUGAAAAGAUUGUUAGGAAAGGAUGCAUCAAUAAGCAUGGAAAACAUUGGGAGGGUGUUGACAUAUUGGUGUUUAACACCUACCUCUGGUGGAUGACUGCACUCUUCAAGUUUAAAAUCUUGUACACACAUCAAUAUCUCUCCUUAAUUUUCACAAAUUAUGCAUAUUAAUUAUUGUUUAAGUAGUUUACUUUUUCUUCCUUCAUUGCUUAAUUAUAUGUCUAAUUGCUUAAGCUUUUAAUUUGCAGAUUAUGGUCCAUUGAUGAUGAGGUGAAAAAUGUCGUGGAGAUGCCAACCAUGGAAGCAUAUCGUAUGGCGAUGAAAAGUUUGGAAAGAUGGGUGCAGAAGAACAUGGAUCCCGAGAAGACGAGGGUCUUUUUCACUAGUAUGUCACCUGUUCAUGGAAAGUGAGUUCAUUUCUAUCACCAUCAAUUUACUAAUGCAUGCGGAAUUCUUUUGCCUACAAAUAGAAUAGGAAAUGAUUCUGCAUUUUUUUCUUUCUGCACUCUUGUUAAAGUGACAUUUGCAUAAAUUUUUUAUACGACUACUAGCAAGGGCGAAGUUAGAAAGCUCAGCGGGAACACUACUAAGUAAUGGGGAAUGCAACACUAUUCUCAUUGCAUCCAAACAAUAGCUUGUACAAUGCCAAAUUAUUUUUUCCAAUGUUUUUUAUGAGGCAUUUCGUGCCGUACUUCGCCGACCCAUACCAUUAUAUGCUUAGUGUACAUCACCGCUCUUUAGUGCUCUUUUAAUUGUGUCUUUAGGUUAAUAUUAUUGGAACUGGAUCCUCUCCGGAUCCCAAUAAUCUGAGCCCAAGGAUCAUUAGAUCCGAGUUGUUGAAAUUUGAUCUAACGGCUACAGUUAUUAUAACUUUUAGAGGGCUCUUGUUUGUAGUCGUUGGAUCAAAUUUCAACGACCCGAAUCAUUUGAUCCUUAUGCUCAGAUUAUUGGGAUCCGGUUCCAAUCUUAUUAUAGGUCAAACAAAGUGUAAAGCCAUUAUAUGUAAAAGCCGGGAGCUCAAAUUGAUGAGAUGAUUAGAAGCAAGGAGGGUUUAUGGACCUUUUACUAUUUAAAAAAAAGUGACAAACUUUAAACUUUAUUGAAAAGGUGUUGUUUCACUAAAAACAUAUAUGUUUUUUCCUUGAUGGUCUUGGAUGAGAAUUGUGAUAGAGUUGCGCUGGAGAGAUGUCGAUGUUGUUUAGCUUUUGUUGAACUCACUUGUUUCCAAAAAAUAAUUGAAAAGAGAUAUUUUGAAGGUAGUUUUGACAAAUUACUUAGACCAACUCCAAUGAUGGGCUAAAAGCCAAAUUACCCCCCAAAAUUUCCCCCCAAACCCAAUCCAACCCAAGGGGAAAUUUUGGGCUAAGUGCUAAAUGCUAAAUGCUAAACUAAGACCAGAUUCCUCCCAAAAUUUAGCCCAGAAAUCAGAAUUUAAAAUUUUUAAUAUUUUUCGGAAUUUAAUUUUUUUUAGAUUAAAAUGUUCAUAAAAUUUUUAUUUUUUAAUUUAAUUUAACAAAAAAAAAAACCUAAGUUUAUUCUUUAAUAAUUCCGGCUAAAAUUUUAGGCAAAAACGGUUAGAGCAGAAAAACUAUUUAUGGACUAAAAGCUAAAUUUUCCAUGCUAAAAAAUUUGACUUUUAACACAACCAUUAGAGAUGGUCUUAAUGUAAGUGUAUUUUUUAACUGAAAAACGAAGAGGUGGGCCUUCAUCAAAUUUGGCCCUAACUAGUAGCCCUGACCUUCAUGGAACAACCCACUUUCUAUCAAUAAAUAACUUGACACAACGAUAUCGCUUGUAUAAAAAAAAAUGUGAAGUGAUGAUUUAGUUUAUGAAUUAUCACCUCAGUGAAAAUUAGGUCAAUGAAUUAUUUUUUUGGGUAAAAUAAGUCCCUAAAUUCAUUAAAAAUUUCUAAUUUCAUCCCUACUAUUAUAUUCAAAGUUAUUUUAUCCAAUUUUUCAUCACUUAAGUCACUUGACACACUUUAGAGUGUAAUAUUAUCAUUUUCUCGUCUAUAAGCCUUUAACAUUUCAUAUAGGUUGAGAAUUAACGUGUAAUUUACCCUCAAAAGUAAACUUACACUUUUUUUUAUAUGAAAAACUACCAAUUUAUCCUCCAAAGUUAACUCCAUAUACUAUUUCUUUAUGAAAAACUACCAAUCUACCCUCCAAUAUGUAUCACAUAUAAGUAAUGUGACUUAAAUUGACAGAAAAUUGAAUAUAGUAUCUUCCAAUAUAAUAUAGGGAUAUAAUUGACAUAUUUUUAUAAUUCAAGGAUAGAUUUUUCUGAAAAAAAAUAGUUUAAGGACCUAAUUUUCAAUUAUGCAAUAAUUCAGGAACAAAAUUAGCAGUUCACUUUAAAAAGAUAAUUUAGACACAACAAUAAUUAAAUGCAAAAUUUUCAGUUUUUCCUAUAAAACAUGUGCAGUACUGUAUUUGAUUUUAGAUACGAAUUAAAAAGGGAAGAGUGGUUGUCAAGUUAAGUUGCUAAGAUAUAUAAAUUAUCAGGCAUGAUGUUUCCUGUCACUUAAUUCCUAUCAAGAUACCUGAGAAUUUAAAUAAGGGCCUGUUGGGAUGUUGGGAUUCCAAGGGCUGGUUUGGUAUUACUGUGCUUUGAAAAAAAGCUGUUGUGAGAAUAAGCGGUUGUGCUGUGAGAAUAAGCGGCUGUGAAAUAAAUCAGCAGAGUGUUUGGUAAACUUUUUUGUAAAAGUGCUUUUGGAAAAAAAAGCAGUCUGAUAGUGGGUCUUUUCAUUAAAGGAGCACUGUAGUUCUGUGUGCUUUGAAAAAAAGCCAGUUUUCCAAAGCUACAAAUUGCAGCUUCAGCUUUUUCCUUUGAUUUCAGCUUAUUCUCACAGCAGCUUCCAAAAUAAGCCAUUUUUUUUAAGUUUACCAAACACCAAAAACACUCCCAACUUUUUUUCAUAGGAGCUUUUUUUUAAAAUCACCUCAACCCCAAACUGGGGCCAAAUCUAGGGAUCUAGAUAACAUUGUAAAGAUAUAAUAUACAUGCCAAGACUAACAAUAGAGAAAGAAAACAACUGAACUUCAAAUGUUUCUUUGCAUAUAGUUGUCUCAAAUGCAUUCAAUCCGAUGCUUUCUAACUUCUGAAGCAAAUUUAGUCUCGUUGUUAAAACCAUAUCAUUUUUUUUUUCAAAUUCUCCCGUUCGAAUGAAGUCUUAACAGUUUGCAAGAAACUUAACAUAAAUUAAAUGACAGAAACAUAUUUGCGAGGAGCACAGACUGGGGAGGAGACCGAGGAGGCAGCUGCUACAAUCAAACUACUUUGAGUGAAGAUCCUAACUACAAGGGUUCAGAUUCUACGGAUGAUAUAAUGCAGAUCAUAGGAGAGGUGUUCAAUAAAUCAAAGGUGCCCAUUACCUUUCUCAACAUCACCCAACUCUCAAGCUAUCGGAAAGAUGCACACACAUCAAUCUACAAGAAGCAGCGGAGCCGGCUGUCCCCAGAACAAUUAGCAAACCCUAUUAGAUAUGACUGUGUGCAUUGGUGCUUGCCUGGCCUUCAAGAUACUUGGAAUGAGCUUCUAUUUGCCAAACUUUUCUAUCCUUUGACUUUGUGAAAAAUGCUCAUGCGGGUGAUAUUAGAUUAUACUUCCGAAAAAUAAAGUAAACAAUUAAAUUGAUCAGUUUAACAUUUGAGAUUAUCUUUGACAUUCUUUAAUUUAACCAAUUUCCCAUAAAAAUAUAUUUGUGAAGCAUUACAUAUACAUAAAGCUGAUGACAUAAUACAAAUCGUGCACUCUAAUCACCAAAAGUAGUACUCAUCAAAAUAAAAGAUUACAGAGUACUUUGGGACCCGAAAUCUUUGCUUAGUGGAAAACACCACAUAAUUUAAGGGACAGUUUAAACAUCACUUGCUUUGAUAAUGUUCUUGCAUAAUUAGUGGAAAAGUCUCCAAAAAUUGAGGAAGGACAAGCAGAAAGCCAUUCAUUUAUAUAUGCACAUAAAAAUUCGAUCUUGUAAUUCAGAUCAUCACUAGCUAUGUUAUAUGCUACUCGGAUAAAUUUUCUAAACCCUAAGACAAAUUUCAGCAUAGAUAUACAAACACACUUUCUUCUGUACCUUUAAUAGUGUAUAUAUGUGUAUGCUCAAUAUAUAGCUGUUGACUAAAAUGGAAAUUGAAGACCACCUACAAGCUAGAAAAUUAUAAAGUUUGUGGUCCGUCGUAAGCUGUUUUUAUAUUUAUCGAAAAGGAACAUUUGGAUACGAGAUCUCUAAACUUCUGAGUUGAUAUUGUUUACAAUUUUUGGAGUGGUCUUACAUUGAUCAUGGAAAUUAAACUUGCUAUAUAUAUAUAUAGCGGUCUUUUGGACCUUUAGACAAUGGUUGGUUGAAGGAAAUUUCAACCAAAAUAUUAGAGUUUUGGUUGACCGAGUCAAAUUAGUCAUGGGACACGCACGUACAUACGUGAUGAGAAUUUUUUUAAUGUGAUUGGAAUACAAGUGGUAUCUCACGUGUUUUUAUAUAAGUGGGAAAAAUUUUAAUAUUUAAGUUAUUAACUUUUUAACAUACAUAUCACACAAUUUAUAUAAUGACACGUAGUAUAUAUUAUUCUGUAUUCUGAUUACCCUGAAAAAUCUCUCGUAAGUGAUGAGGUAAUGGGUGGCUUUGAUUUUGUAAACAAGAUGGAACAUUAAAUUGCCUCCUUGCCAACUUGCUAAUCAACUUGCAGCCAGCUAAUGGAGAUUAUAUAUCUCUUCCAACACACAACGUAUGUAGGGUAGAAUUUAUAUAAUAAAAGUGAGGCAAAACUUGCAACUUGCUUUUGUUUCCCAAACCAACUUGAUCGUUGUUUAAGUCAAGUUGCAAUCCAAAUGCACCCAAUAUUGAUUCCUCAACAUCGCCAAUUACCACUUUAGCACAACAUGAUACGAUAUUCAAAAGUCCAUGCCUGUGCUUCUAUGUAAAAAUACAGAUUGAAGACUUUAAAACAUAACACGUCAGAUUUGAAAUGAAUUAGUAGUACGUUUUACUUAAAAAUAAAUAAUGCCAACUAGAUCCUCAAUCUAUAGUAAGACAUGUAAAGCAAGUAUAUUUUUUAUUAAAAAAAUGACAUACAUAAUGAAAUCAUAUUCGUUCAAAAAAAAAAAAAUGAAAUCAAAUAUUUUUUUAAUAAUCAGUUCAUAUGUACCUUGAGUAAUGUUAGGGUGAUCAAAUUUGUAGACUACAUUUGAAAACUAAAUGAUGUGUUACCAAUAAGAAAUAAGUAUGUUAAUUAACACUUAAGUAAAAUUCAAUUAUCAAAUUCUAUGUUAUUUAGUUUACAAAUUUAAUUUUUCUAGUAUUAUCCGUGCACACCUUUAGGGAUGUCAGGAGCAUAGGAUCAGAGGGCACAUGCUUCCUCACCUUUUUUUGUCUUUUAAAAAAUCUCAUAUUGAUUUUCUUAAAUAGUUGCAAAAUCAACUUUAGUUCUUGAGUGCCCCUCCCCAUUUUUUUUCCCUUCUCACUCAAUCAUGUCUAAAAACCCUAUUGCAUUUAAUAUGAAUGAGUAUUAACUUAUAAAUACAACAAGUAAAGAAAGAAGGUUUUUUUUUAUUUUUUUUAUCAAGUUUAGGAAGUUAGCUUGAUUUAUUUUUUAUUUUAUUUUAAAAUACUGUUUUUUUAAGGUGCUAUCUUCUUAGUCCAAUUUCUAAAUUUUCCAUUUCCUUUAUAUAUAUAUAACUUUUCCAUUGUUUUUUUUUUUUAUCAAUUUAAUAAGUAAUUGAUGCAUGUAAAUUUUUUUUGGUAGGUAAUGCAUGUACAUAUGCACACCAUAUCUAUUUAUGGGGUCUGGAGUAUGGCAUACUUGGGUACUUAAAGUCGUUAGAUCCAUUACUUUGUCGAGGGAUCUAAGUGACGAAGUAUGUGUAUGGUAGAACAAUUACUAUUUAAGUAUUUUGAUAAGAGAAAUAACUAUAAUAAACAUAUUUUGAUAUUUCAUAGUAGGAAAUGAUUCAUGUUUAUUAUUUCGUCAUUAUAUUAUCAUUGUGUUGUCGUUAUGUUAUUGUUGUGUCAUCGAUAUAUGAUUAGUAUAUCGUUGUUAUUGAAAAAUAAUCAUGUAGGCAAACCAAAAUGUUGAAAUAUGUGUAUUAAAGUUAUUUUGAUUUUUUGUAUGACCACUGGAAAUUUUACUAUAUUACUAUUUUUUGAAGUAUUGCUUUCUCACAUGUAUAAUAUUGUUUGUUAAAAGAAUUUCAGGAUUGAUUUCGUACUAUGUACCAUAUAUAUAACAUGCUAGUAUCAAUACAAUAAAGAGUAGUGUUAUACUUACUAUUUAGUUGUACUAUCACUUGUAUCAUUUUUCUAAUAGAAGUGAAUCCCGUCAACUUAUAUAGGUUCCAUCUCUAUUUGAGAAAUAGCACAAAUAGUGGUACAACUAGAUGGUAAAAAUAACAUUUUUGAUAAAAUAAUUGAUCCUUCGAUUCUCCUCUUGCAAGGUCCUACGUACUCACUUUCUGGAUUGCACUGUUUCUGCUUAUCUAUUAUGUUCAGUAAGUAAAACUGUAACAAAAAUCGUGUUCUUUAUAACAAUUGGCCAUGGCCACCCCCAUGCAUCAAUAUUCUUAUAGAAGCUACAUUGUAAUUCAUUAACUUAACCUUGUUCUGCUUGUACUCACUGUACUAUCUGUCUCUGCACAUCGGUGCCAGUGCAAUAUUGUUGCGAAUCUUCACACUUUACAGCAGUUAUCUCAUCGGCAUUGCGGAUAUAUAUGAGAAGAAGGAUUAGUCAAUUUCUUAGCCAACUUUUAAUUUUUUUAUAAUAGUGUACAGUAUACUAGCGUACGGAAAGAAACGCAGCUGAAUCUCAUUAGCUGUAUAUAGAGAGAGAGAGAGAGAGAGAGAGAGAGUUCAUACACUCUUUCUUUUACCAAAAAAUCCAAAAAUAAAUAAAUAAAUAAAUAAUCCUUCGGCUGUUUGAAGAGAUUUUAUUGAAUAAACCUGUUUGAUGUUUCAAGUGGAUUCGAAAUAGAGAGAUCAUAUAUUAGUUAUACAUAUAAUUCAGAAAUAUGCAUACUAUAUUAUUAUUAUCUGGGAUCAAUCUGCUAUAGUUGUUUCCAUUUUAUCGGAAUUAGCUGAAGAGAGAACAUCAUUGGAACUAGGGUUAGGUUAGUCCUCAAGUUCCACAUUUACCCUAUAACAUACAUUUAUAAGACUUCAUAUAUAAUACAAAACAUACAUUUUAAAGACUUCAUAUAUAAUACAAUAUAGAGAAACAGUAGGAGUAAACAUUGAAGAAACAAACAAUGGACAAAGUCGUAGAAAAGUUCUAAUUAAUUUUGUUAAUAUAGUCUUUUAAUAUAAAUAAUAUUGAGAGAUAAGUGAAUCUAAAAAUUUAAAAUCGAUAAAAGCUUUUAAAUACUUGAGUUACAAACACACUCUUCAAGGAUAUAUAUAUGAAGCAUUUAAGGGAAGAGAUCUUCAUUUUUUUUUAUAAAAAUGGGGAUUAGUUGUGGGGUCCACACCUCAUCGAACUUUAACAAUCAGAACCGUUUAUUUUUCAAGUUGUACCUCAUAGAUCAUCCUUGCAAAAUAUUAGCCAAAUCGGAAAUUUUUAAGACGUCUAAUUGGGUUCAAAGAAAUGAAUGAAUACUUUAUUAUAUAAGAAACAAUGAAAUUUGAUCUUGAUAAUUAAAUAGGCAAAUGGUUUCGGAUUGAAUUGAAUUUUUGCAAGGAUGAUCUAUGAAUCGAGACUUACGAAAUAAAUAGUUCGGAUAGUUAAAAUUCGAUGUGGAGUGGGCCCCACACUUAAUUCUCAUUUUUUUUCUUCAAAAAAAAUAGGGAUCCCUUUGCAUAAAGGGUAUAUAUAUAUAACUUAUAUUUUUUUUAGUACAUUGAUAUUUUUACACUAAUGGGAGGGGGAGUUCGGCUAAGUCACACAAUGGGCAGCCUAAUUUGGUAUCGAAUUCGUCAUCCACAAGAUUCGAACCUAAGACUUCUUACAUCCAAGUGAAGAGGAAUACCACCAAACUGUAGUACUGAGUGACAUAUAUAUAACUUACAUAAGCAAACUAUUUCUCAUUUAAAGAAAUGAAAAAACAAAACACAAAGGAAACAAGAGAAAUUAGAAGGAUGAAUGCACCGUGAAAUUGGACAUAGUUUAUGAAAUUAUAAGAUGGUAUUUCAAACAUAGCAAGCGUUUAAGGGAAGAGAUUUCUAUUUUAUUUUUUUUUAUAAAAAUGGGGAUUAGUUAUGGGGUCCAAACCACAUCAAACUUUAACAAUCCGAACAUUCUAUUUUUUAAGUUGCACCACAUAGAUCAUUCUUGCAAAAUAUUAGCCAAAUCAGAAAUAUUUAAGACAACUAAUUGGGUUAAAAAAAAUUAACGAAUACUUUGUUAUAUAAGAAACAAUGAAAUUUUAUCUUGAUAAUUAAAUAGGCAAAUGAUUUCAGAUUGAAUUGAAUUUUUGCAAGGAUGAUCUAUGAAUCGAAACUUACAAAAUAGAUGGUUCAAAUUGUUAAAGUUUAAUAUGGAGUGAGUCCCACACUUAUAUAUCCUUAUUUUUUGAAGAAAAAAAAAUAAGAAUCCCUUUGCAUAAAGGGCCUAUUCAAACAUAAUAAUGUUAUGUAGAUCGAUUGAACAAUCUGAGGUCACAUGGUAAAGGAAAUUAAAGAGGUAAUUUAUAAAAUGCAUUAAUAUACACAAUAUCAUACAACAACCCUUGACCAUUUUUCAACCAGCUGCAGAGAUCGAGCCUCAAAGAAAGGCAAAAAAAAGGAAUCAUGAAACGUGAAAAAUUUCAUGAGGGUUUCUUGGUGGUGGGCUUAUUGGCCAUACUCUCCGCGAUCUGAGCCAACGACUGCAAGUUGCAACGCACAAUUGUGUCCACAAACACGCACGUCUCCUCUUUCGUGUUCCCCGGCGGUACGUCCACCACGUACGACUCGACAACGAUGGUCCCCACUCCGUUGGGUGAGUCAUGCAGUGUGGUAACGGACCGGUAGUUCGUCAGCCGAUGGUCCCCGCCCACCACGCUGAAGCUGAUCACGUGCCGCUCGUCGUCCAGAAUCUCAAGGCGCUCCGUGCUGGACCCCGCUGGUAGUCCCGACACCACGUGGACCUCCCGGAGAGUGCCCACGUCGCCGUUUCCGUCGAUGACGUGGCAGCUCUUGAGGAAGUGCUUGUAUGCUUGGGGGUUGUCGAAGCGCCGCACGACGGACCAGACAGUCGGGACGGGUGCCUCGAUGGAUUGCACGACGGAAGAGCAGCACUGGUUGGGAGCCAUCACGAGGGAGUGGUGGCGUGUGAGGUCGAGUGCGGCGACGACUGCCUGGGAUUGGAAUUGUUUGUGGUGGAUUGUGUUUGCGGGGUGGUGAUAAUUAGGAGGGUUGAUUGGUCUUUGAAAUUGGAUUGGUGAAGGCAUUUGCUUUUGGUGUUGUUUUUCUCUCUAUGUAUUUGUUGACAAGGGCUGGGUUCAAAGUUUAGAAAUGAUCAUUAUAUAUUAUGGGCAGAGAGAGAGAGGUGGGGAGGGGGGGGGGGGGGGGGGAGGGGGCACAGAGAGAGAGAGAGAGAGGGGGUUUUAGUUGUUUAAGCUGGCGAUGAGUUCCACUUGGAUUAUUUUUUGCUGUUUCCUCGGACAAAGAGAGAGAUGAGUGAUAUAAAUUUUUAUGAAUGCUGCAAACAAGUUACAUUUUGUAUUAUUUUACAUGUUAUAAUUGUUAUGUCUUACUACUUUGAUUGAUAACAUAAUUUGUAUGUUUUAUUACUUCAAUCGAAGAUAUAAUUGAUAUGUUCUACUAUUUUUACAGUGGACUAAAAAAUAACAUAUUAACACGGUAAUUUGGUUGAAAUAAUAUUAACAUGAGUUACACGACACGGUGAUGUUAUAAAUGUAUCGAAGAGAGAGAAAUAUGGAUUGGGGUUGGAGGGAGUGAUGAUGUUGAUCACAAACAUUACGCCGGCCUCGCAAGUGGAUACUCAACUUGCAACUAUUUUCUUUGGACUUGGUUUAUUUAUUUAUCCAUUUUCUUUAUUUCCAACUACAACUUUUGCCACUUGUUUUUAUUUUUAUGUAACUAAUUUCUUGUUCUUUUUCUUUAUUCUAAACAUUUUUUUAAUUGCUUGUUGAUUCUGUUAAACUUUAUUAGGUGAUCCAAUUACCCCACCCCCACACAAUGGUCUCUUUAAUUUAAUUUUUAUAUAUGUAUACAUACACAGGCUCUUUUAGGGAAGAAAUCCUUAUUUUUCAAAAAAAAUAGGGAAACCCUCUUAACCAUUAGAUUUGGUUUUAAUGAAAUUGUGUGAUUGAGAUUAAAUCAUAGGCUACAGAAUCUUUUCAUACAAAAAAAUAGAAACACCCUCUUAACCAUUACAUAUAUAUAACUUUUCUAUGUAAAGAAGGGUUUAUUAACUCUUCUGAAACGAGUCCCUAUCAUCCAUUAGAAAAGAUGAUUCAAGCGUAUUGUAUCGUGCAUGCCAAAUUUUAUAUGCUUCCAUUUUUUUUUAUCUUAGCUAUUUCUUCAUCCAAUGCAAUUUAGUCUUUUCAAACAAUAUUAUUAGGAGUCAAACUUAGAAACUUAAUUUCUUAAACAAGAAAUAGGCCGGACGGUUUUACUAAUACUACUAGUCUAUAAGUUAAAGUCAAGCAUUGUGCAAACUUACAAUACCAUAAUGCUAAUUUUUUUAUAUUAAAAAGAACAAGAAAGUUCGACAGUAAUUUGCUAAGAGAAGUUCUUUCAUUUACAAGUACCAAAAAGGAGGAGAAAUGGAGAAAUAACUGGGUUUAAUGAUUUGAUUUUACCUCUUCAACAUCUUGUAAGUUUGAAGUCCCCACUCUCUCUUAGAGUACCUCGUUGCACCUUAAUUCGGUUACAAAAGCGAAUAAAAUUUAACAAAAUUGCAAAUGUAGCUUGAAGAUGGAACGCAACCUCUAUGUUUUAGGAUUUUUUUGUUAUUUAAUUCAAGAUUUCUUUUUAUUGUACAUUUUUCCUUCUUAAUUAUUUUGUCAACCUUAAUUUAUGUCUCUUUUUAUAGAUACUACGCUGAACUCAUACUUUCGAGUUAUAUUGUUAAGUGACACAUCUACUUUGGUUUAGCAAACAAUUUUUGGUUAUGUUAUAACUUGUAACUCAUAUGUCAAUUAAUCGGAGGAAGAAAAUAUGAUUUCGAUUAUAUUAAUCAAAACCAUUUUUUUUCUUUCUAAAGUUGGGGAUCAGCAAAACAAUUAGGUGGAUGAAUAGAAUUAGCAAAGGAAUUGAAUUCUAAAACGGUUUUCACCAUUUUUUUAAGAAAAAUGAGAAGCAUUUUCCAACAUAAUUUUACUUGCAAGUAUAUAAUCCUUAUGUAACAUUUCUUGUAUUAUCAUAAUCGUACUUGUGUGAAGAUACUUUUCGAAUUAUCAUCGCCAUUAUAUUGGGUAUAUGACAUGGUUCACCACCUUCACCGUACUUAUCUAUCAGAACCUCCACCAAUGAAGGUCCAUUUUACUGAAUUCAACUAUCCACUACUACUCGACAUCCGUAUUGACCGGCAGCAAAUUCAUCAUCUAAAUCCACACAACAUUAUCCACCAAGAACUUUUAAUUUGGUAUCAGUACGUAGCAUCUGCUGCUUCAUCUAGCUACGUAUGGAAAUGUCCGGUUUACAACUGAUAAUAUAAACUACUAUUUUUUUUAGUUUAGUACUAGAUUUAUCCAUGUUUGUAGCUAGAUUCAUCGUAUUUCCUAUCAAAAAGUCAUAACCUAACUUGGAUUGACAUGAGAAGUUUUUUGUUAGAAGCUUUUUUAUGAAAUCACGACCUACUACCUUUUUUAUUAAAAUUCAAGUGCUCCAUUGAGUAGUACUCGUAUGUAUUUUAUGAAUAAUAAUGAAGUGCAUUUGUUAGAGAGUAUAUAUCUUACAUUAGGGAAAGGAGGGAUCAAGUAUUUGCUUAUAAGUAAUUGGGCUAGUACUCCCCAUAUUGCAACCAUAUUGUAACCACCACGGGGUGGCUCAAUGGUUGGAGAUGAAUCUCAGGCCGGUAUUUCACAUGGUACGUCCUGGGUUUGAUUCCUGGCUGGUACUGGUGAAUCGCAUGAUGGUGGUCAGAAGGUGGCUGAAAUGUUUCUGUGAGUCUUUCCUGUCCCCCGAAUGGUGGAUAGCCGUGUCGAAACCACAAGCUGGUCCAUUUUUUAAGAAAAAAAAAAAAAAAACUCCCCAUAUUGCCAAAUUAGUUUUACGAUAGACCUCAAUUUCUCAACCCUCUGCAAAAGAACACAAAAAAUAUAUUCUUAGCAUUCAAAAUCGCAUUUCGUUGUCUGUAAAAAGAGUUUCUUUUUGUUAGUUCUAGACAUUCCAAAACUAUUUAUUUUCAAACAUGUUCCUAAUCUCUUUCUAUAAUUAUUUGAGGUCUCACCAAACUAUAAAUUGCCUUUUUUUUUAGUAAAUUACGUAAUAUUAUUUUCUUAUAAACUAGCAACCAAGAUAAAUUUAUCUCAAAUGGUUUAAAAUCUGAAACUGCUGCACGCCCACAGAGAGGAACUAUUUGGCCUAUUAUUUUGGUGGCUAGUUGAGUAAAUAAUCCAGUCCCAAAUGCACCAUCAACUCAACUAGGUUAUAUUUUAUCACCUGCAGGCUGCUCAAACUUUAAUUUCUGCCAUCUUCUUCUCACCAUCCGAGUAGUUGAGGCUUCUCCGUUUUAAUUUACUUUACUACUUUUAGCGUGAUUCCAUGCUUCUGAACUUUCAUUUUUGUCCGUUUUUUUUUUCUUCCUAAUUUUCCACCCACUUCCAGCAACUUGAUUGUAUUCAAAUUUUCAAACCCAUUCCCCUUCGCAUGGCAGAUGGUACUAUUCUUACAACUUGAUUGUUUUUAGUUGUCUUUGAAGAAUUCAAUAAAUAGGACGGGGCUUCAAUUGGGGGAAAAAUAAUUGGCUCUACGUAAGGGCUCAUUUCUCUUUACAAAAUAAUCACAGUUUGAGGUGUCUGCAAAAACGUUUUCUUUGGUUGAUAAGUUGAUGUAUGAUAUUGCAAUUUUUAAAAAUAAGGUAUGAGAUUUUAGUUCAACUCAUAGUUGAAAUAGUUUUAUGUAAUUUACCUAUUUUUAAUGCGUCCAUCUUUUCCUCGAUAGGAUUUGUUGCUCUUAUUUUUGGUUAUUUUGAUUAUUCGGGCGUACCCUCCUAUUGUUUGUUUUGGGUGUUAUGUUCAAUUAGUAUUUCGUAAAACUUGUAAAUAACUUAAUGAAUGAUGUUAUACUUAUCAUCUAUUUGUAUUAUCAUUUGCAUCAUCUCUUUACACAUCAACAUAUGUGGCUGGUACAUGAAGGUGUGGGCCCUAUUACAAAUAACGUUUUGUAUGUGCUCGAAUUAAAGAUCUCUCAAACAAUUCCAAAGGAUUUUAACCAAAAACAGAAGUCAAAGCAUCGUGUUUGUCUUUCUCCUGUUAGUUUCAAAUAAUAUCUGUGUUGAACACAAAUCAAACUCAACUUCACACUUGUGUCGAUCGAUAUUCCACAAUGAAAAACUUCAGAACGGAAGCAAAAACAAGCGGUUUUCGCAAAAGCACUCUUGUUAGACCAACUGGAGUCAGUCCUAAAUUUUCCCUUCUAUUCCUCAUGCCCCCCACCCAAAAAAAAAAAUAAAUAAAUAAAUUUCUCUCCAACCGUUGUUCUAAAAUUGAGUUAAGUGUUAAAACAUAAACAAAACUCAAAUUCCUCCCAAGAUUAUCAUGAGCCUAAUGACUAUUUUUUUUUCUAUUGUGCGGCCACGUUUAAAUGGGUCGUUGGUUCAUCCAACGGUCCACAUUCAUUUUUUUUUGUUUUAUAUUUAUAUAUUUAUUAAAUCCAACGACUGACAUCUAAUAUGAUCAAAUCCAACGGUAUAAAAAAAGAUAUAACGACCCAAAUUUAAAUUCCGAGGGUAAAAUAAUUAAAAAAAAUAUUUAACUCAAAAAUCACCAAAAUUUAAUGAUUUUUAAUAUUUAUCGAAAUCUAAAUAUUUUUAGGUUAAAAUGUUCAUAAAUUUUUUUUAUUUUUUAUUUUUUGAAAAAAAAUGUUCAUAAAAUUAAAUAAAGAUAGUGUACAUAAUUAAAAAAAAAAUUACUUAAAAGAAAAAAUUAGCCUAAAUUCUUUAAUAAUAUCGUGCUAAAAAAUUUAGGCUAGAAUUGUUGAAGUAGAAAAGCUGUUUUUGGAUUAAAACCUAAAUUUUAUGGGCUACAAAUUUUAGGUUUUACUCUUAAGGGUUGGAGAUGAUCUUAGAAGUACCAAGAUCAUUAUCAAUUCUAUCAAAAAAAUAAAAAUGUAUCAAUUCGAAUGCUCUGAAAAGCUAUGUUAAGCAGUUUAGCCUGAAAGCACUAUUGUUACAGGCACAGCAUCAUUGAAAACUCAAUCGUAUAGCAGAAAGGGGAACUGACACAAUCGAUUCACAAGCUCAAAUCCGUAGUGUAUAUAAACAGAAAACUGGACAAGAAGAAGAACAAACAGCCACAGAAGAGUCAAAAAGCACACAAAAUCUGUAUUUCCCAUGACUGAUGUUUCAACUAUUUCAAGUUCCUUUUUCUUCCUCCUAUCUACAUACUACAAUGAAAGAAUUUUUAGUUAAUAUGUAUAUAUAUGUAUAGCAUUGCCAAGUUGUCCAUCAACCCUUCAACAUAGAAUGGCACGGCAGGGCAGAAGGGGAAAUCAUGGCUUAAUUCUCCAAUCUAAAACCUGUACCAUAGCUCAAAAUCUCCAAAACAAAAUCGAAAUCAAGCACAAGGGCUGUUCAUCAACACACCAAAAUCUGUUUCUUUGCUUUCGGAAUCCGGGAGCCGUUUACAGCGAAGUCAUGGGAAAGACUAAUAGACCCCACCCAACUUGGCCUUCACAUUUCCAUCGAAUAGUUGUAACCUCCAUCUCCGGAUUGUGUUAUUCCUCCUGUGAAUCCUUCCAAAUCUAAGUCAGACAAUCCCAGAUUGAAGUACCCUUGAUCAUCUUGGCCGGUAUGAUUACUCCCCUCCUUUUCUUGCUUCUUGAAAUCAAAACCGUAUUCGAAGUUCAAUGGGGCAUGCUCCAUGUGCUGCAGACUCCCGAGCAGCUUGGCGUCUGGAAACUGCAGCUGGUACGACAAAUUUGAUGGCCUCUCACUGCUGAGAGUCUCCAUGCCCGACUGACCAACGUCAGCUCUCCAUACUUGCUCCGAUCCUGAAUUGCAAAGGGAAAUAUCAUCUGAAGGCAUCAACAGUUCAUUUACAUCAAACAUCUCAUCCAUAUCAAACAACUCGUCGGUUGUGAAGUUCUCUGAAUAAUCCCCAAUAAAACCUUCUCCGCCAUUCCAAUUAUGAUCCUCAACUCCUGCUUCCGGUUUGACGACAGGUUGUUGUUGACUAUUACGAAGAUAAUCCAUAGUGAAAUCCUCAAUGAUUUCUGGCUUAACCAUACCACUGGCUUGAGGGACCGCAGUAGACCACGGAUACAUCCUUGAUUCGCCCUCACCAUCCUCCUUUUUCACAUUAAGAAAAAGCUUGGAAUCCUCGUCUCCACAAAUCUCAGAGCGACUUGAGGUUGAAGUGGAAGUAGAGCAUCCUGGAGUUGCCACUGCAGAAGACCCUGAUGGUGUGCAACUGAAGAAGUCUCCAGUGAAGACGAUGGAUGAUAAUUGGCCGCAUGCGGGAGGUUGAGGCGAGCACCAGUACCAUACAUGGCCUUCGCAGCCUCAUCAUACGCAAGGGCAGCAUCAAGGGCAGUGGGAAAAGUACCCAACCAAAGCCUGCUUCCCCUGUCUGGCUCCCGAAUCUCGGCGACCCACUUGCCCCAUGUCCUUUGCCUCACACCUCUGUAAUUGCAACGUGCAUUCUCAGGCCCUCCCUUGCCUUUCAUACAGCCUUUCUUCGACCCCUUGGCGGGCACUUUACGCGUUUUCCCCUCGUUAUUAACCGAUUCCAGUUUCUUAUUAUACUCUUUCCACUUUUCUAGUGUCUCAGCAACAGAGUUCCCAUCUCGCCUGCUCCGCGUCUUCCUCUUCCUUGAAGAAUCCAAGGGCAGAGAUGACAUGUUAGCGCCUUGAUCAUAAGCUCCCAUUGCUCCUCUAUUAUGCACAAUCUGCAGUAAACACGAACCAAAUUCCAUUAAGAACUGGGUACAGAAAUUCUCGAAAGAAAAUUGCGGUUCCAAUCACACAAGCACCUUUGGGUUUUAUACACAGACAAGACCCAAAUACACCAAAUCAAAAUUGAACCAGGACUCUCAGCUUUCUUGGGUCCCAAGUCCGCCGAUAAUACAUCAAUUUACAAAACAGAUACGCAAUCGUGGUAGCCCGGGAAAAAGGAAAAUCCCAAAUCCAAAAACCCUAGUUUCAUAAAACCCAAUUACUCAAAACCCCAAAUUUCAACCCAAAAAAAAAAAAAAAAAUGGAAACAAAAUCCUCCUUCCCCAACAAGUUUAAGCUUAGAAACCCUAAUCGAGAAACGAAACAGACAAUUUCAUCAAGCAAAAAGGAAACGAAAUCAAAACUGCUCAAACUCAACCAACCUCAGAAUCUCCCGAAUCGACGAGUCCCACUCACAAACUUCCCGAUCGGCACCGCAGUCUUCGACUUUCUCGAAUCAAUACGACAAUUUCAGACGCGUUUUAGCGUUUUCACCUUCCGGUCGACUGUAAUUUCAGCCUUUUUCUGCUGGUUUGGUUUUUUGCGCUUUGCUGCUCUUUAAGCUUCCAAGUUGAUCGAAUGCAGAAAUCUUCGGAACUUGCUCGCUGUGACAGAUAUUUAUAACCUUCCUCUAGAUAUUUCCGAUAUUUACUUUAUGUGAUGACGUGGCGAUUUUCUAGUAGCGUCGUGGCGCUUCGGGCUGGAUUCGGAAAUUUGCGAUUGUGCCACAGAACAGCUAAUGCGUGCUUGCUGUGGGCUUUUUCAGUUCUUAUCUUAUCGGAUUAUUUUUUUUAAUUAUUAUUAUUAUUAAUACGAGAUAAGUUUGAAACUAUUACAAUAUUUAGAAGAUGAUGACACUUUCGAACCCAAAUGAAUUGGUAGAAAGUCAAUACUUUAUAUGAGACUCUCCUCUAUUCUACAAAGCUGUGCUGCUUUACCAAGGGAUAAAAACAUAUGAAUCACGAUCAAUUUAUUUUUUGAAAUUCUACGAAGGGUAAGUUCUUCAUCUUUUGCUCUCUCUUUAUAUCGCAUUUUUAUAUGAAUGUCUAUCUAGGAUACUCAAUUUACCAUCUUGAAAUUUUUUUAUUUUCGACAUUUCACACGUUAAAUUGUUUUUGCAUGAUUAACGUCGAACACGGGGCAUUGAGGUGCUAAUUGCAUCGUAAUUCUUCUCAACCCCAUGGGCUCAACCACGAACCAUUUUUCACUACCAAGGGAAAACAGCAUGUCUCCCUCGUUCGGACAGUAUUAUGUUAUCCUGUCUUCCUCGUCGACUUCUUGCAUGCGCACCACGUGUCGCACAAUGUGUAGGGCAACGUGGCAAUUUUAGUUCACUUGGACGCCUAACUUAAUCAUGUCAUGAGUGACAUGUUCAAUUCCGUGUGGUGGAGAAUUGAACACUGAAGGCGAUUGGGUCGUGGUGUGCGGAAAGAGGAUAUUCUCCAGAUUUACUUUGUGACGAUCUUAGAGAUCUUUAUACUUUAACUUUUCAUUUGUGGUUAAUUUUCGUCAGGUAUUAUUUAUGUUUAAUUUUAAAUAAAAAAAUCAAAUGAUUUCUGACCACACGAUGCACGAUGAAUGACUAAGCUGUGAAGAUCCCUAGAACCCCACAAUUUGAAUCCGAAUGGGAACCAAAAGACAAGGAUCCUGUCUGGUCCUCUUUAUGGGGAUCUGAAGAUCAAUCAAUCAUGUCCAUUCAUCGUACAUCAUGCGGUCAAUUUUCGCUAGGUACUAUUUAUAUUCAAUUUUAAAUUAAAAAUUAAAAAUAAUUUCUAACCGCACGGUGAAUGAAUACAAUUGAUUAAUCAUCUGGAUUCUUACAAAAAGUAUUCUAUUCCGGAUCCAAAUCCAUGGUGUGCGCUGGAGUUUAACAAAGUGAUGAGGUGGCAGCUUGCGUGUUUGCUGACGCAGCGGCUAGACAAAGUUUGAAGGAGGGGAAGCAAAAGAAAAAUAUUGCUACAACUUUCAUGUUGAUAUGGUCAUCGCACAUGGUCAGUGGAUUUCUGAAAUUGUUUGGGUUGUACUAAAAUUGUUUUAUAAUUAAUUGCUAGCCGUGGUAGUAAAAGUUUAAAUAUUAUAUAAAUAACGUAACGAAACUAAAAUUUUAAAUUAAAUUGAUAAAUAUGUUCAUAUUAUGCAGGUAAACAUGCUCCGUCCCUGGCCAGAGAAAAGAUGUGGUGCUUGAGCUACCAAUAAAUAUAUUUUUCCCUUGUUCAAAUUAAAAGAUAAAAUAAAGGUUGCCUAAAAUAAAAUGUAUUAGUAUGUGUUUGAUUUGAUUUUGGCUUUGGGCAUCUAUGUGUUUGGGCUUUUCAAUGAACUGAGCCUAUUAGGGCUUUCUAUUUUGUUUUGAUAAUCCAUUUUGGACUUUUCUAUUGGAAUAAUUCAAAAUUCUAAAAAUAAAAGAAUAAAUAAAAGAAAAUUACUAUUUGCACUUCAAAAUCUCAUUUUACAUUCUAAACUUUUGUAAUUAGAAAGAAAAAUUACACAAGAUAAGAUUUUGAAGUGCUAAUACCAGUUCCUAAAUAAAAACACUUCAAAACGAGGAAUUAGGCCAAUUAGGGGAUUAGUCGAUUCAAAUGUUAUUUCUUAUUAUUUGCUCUAAGUAUUGUUAUUCUUUUUUGUAUACAAGCGAUAGGUGGCGGUGGGGAACCAAACUUAGAAACCUUGAGUGCAUAUGUAAAUAAUGUUGGUAACUAGCUGAGCUACAAUCACCUUACAAGUCGUUAUUUACUUCUCUCCAUUCCUUUGAUCAUUAAUUUAGUUUGUUUCCUUCCUGUUAUCUAUAAAUGUGUGUUUUUUUUCAAUUGUUGAGAGUGAAUCUCAUAUCGGAGAAAGGAGAGACUUUGCAUGUGCUUAUAAGUAAUUGGGCUAUACCCCACAUUGCCAAUUAGUUUUAUGGUGAAACCUCAACUGUCUUCAUGAAAUCAGAGCUACUUGUCUACAUGUGAAGCACAACGGCCACACGCGAUUUACGUCAUCCGAUUUGUGUUGUCCACGUGUUAGGCUUAAAAAUUCGCCACACAUGAGGGGCAUGUUGAGAGGAAAUUCCAUAUCAGAAAAAUGAUGGACCUUGCAUGUAAUAAGUACGUAGUUUUUAUUUAUUUUAUUUAGGCCAAAUUUUUUGUGUGGUCCCUAUGGUGACACGGCAUUUUCAAUGUGAGCCUUGUGGUGAAAAAACUUUUAAUUAAACUCUUGUGGUGAGCCUUGUUAGCAAUUGAGGUCCAAAUCCUAACUUCCGUUAGUAUUCCGUUAAAUAAACUCACGUGACUAUCACAUGGAGGAUCAAAUUCAUCAUUUUAAUUCAAAUUACAUCCUAUUCCAUGGACAUGUAGUAUGAGUUAGUGUUUAACGGAAAUAAGAUUUCACAUAAAAUAAGCUUGAAUGCAAAAAGUGAAACAAAACCUGUAAAACCACGUCAAUGGCUAGGAGAAGAGGUGAAAGUGAAGUCGCGUCUAAUUUCUCAAGUAUGAUUUAAUUUCGUUUGGAAAUCAUAAUACUUCUAAUAAACCAUUGUUUUUUUCAAUGCCAAUGCGUCUUUGAUCAUGAGUUAGAGUCUUAGUCUGUCUUAAAUUUUCAUUCUUGUAUCAAUUUGUACCAGUCCGAAUGCAUAUAUGCCUUUCAAUUUUGUCUUUAAUUGGUAGUGUGGUUUGAUGCAUGCCGUAGUCAGCCAGUACACAAUCUUUCAAAUUUUUUUCUUAAUCUUCUUUGAAUGUUAGUUAUUUAAGUUUCUUACGCUCUUGAAGUUCAUAAGCGGAGGGCAGACGUGAAAAUUAAAUUUUCUGCAAUACCUUUCACCCAUUGUCUUUAAUUCUUUAAUUAUGCAAUGCCUUUCCCCCGUUCUCUUUAUUCUUUAAGUUAUUCUUGUACAUUAUCUCUCUUUUUCACUUGUUUCAAUUGGCUUUGUGCACUAGAAUUAGAUGCCAACUUUUUAACUCAAAAAAAACAAAACAAGUGUAUGUCAUAACCCACCCAAAAAGAACAAGUGUAGACCUAAGUCAUAUUAGAUGUCCAUGGAAUAGGAUGUAAUUUGGAUUGAAAUGGCAUAUUUGACCGAUCCACGUGAUAGUCACAUGAGUUUAUUUAAUGAAAGACAAACGGAAGUUUGGAUUUGGACCUCAAUUGCUAACAAGGCUCACUACAAGGGUUUAAUUAACAAUUUUUUUUUACCACAAGGGUCACAUUGAAAGUGGCGUGUCACCACAUGGACCACAAAAAAAAAAAAGGCUUUUUAUUUAUAAAACAAUCUUUUUUUUGCUGAAAAAAGCUCAUAAAUAUUUUGAAAAAGUAAUCGGUUAAUGCAGAUAAAAUAGUUCACCGAAUAACUUGCGGAUGAAAUUGACCAAACCUUUCUCAUAAAAUGAUAACCGCACCUUCUGCAACGACUUUUACCGCGCGACUGACCCAAAGGCCAAAAAUCAACACAUUCCAAUUCCGAUCAGCCCUAGAUACUAAACGCCUACGGCGGUUGUGGUGGUGGUGGGCAGGCGUGGUUGUCACCUUGCUAGUGAAUUUCACUUCCUACUCGUUCUCGGACGAUUCAUAGAGUUGUCGGCCGGGAUCACGAUCAACCCUAUGAAUCAAUUAGUACGGUCGUUCGGCGCUUCGACUUGGCAACGUGAUUGACUGAAGAUUAUAACACUAUUUGCGAUCAAGUUUUGGGAGGUUAAUAUUUACAAAUUAACAAGAAUGGCGACGAAUGGAGUUGAAACCCCCCCACCGGGGAAGCCGGAAGCUCCAAUCUUUUGCAUGCAACAACAAGCCGUCACCUCCAAAGGUUUUUGGAGGAAAGACAAUCCUUUAGACUAUCCACUUCCUCUAACAAUGGCUCAAAUCGUCCUCGUCGUUGUCAUCUCUCGAGCGCUUUAUUAUCUUCUGAGGCCUUUGGGACAAACCAAAUUUGUCUGCAAUCUCCUGGUAUUUAUAUAAAAAAAUACAUCACAUGCAUGCUUAUAUUUUUCUGGGUUUUCGGUUUGUCUGCAAUUCCAUGUCAAGUAUUCAUAAUAUUUGUCACUAUGAAAUAAAGGUUUGUUUAUGUUAUGCCUGCAAAUAAUCUUGUUGUUUAUAUAUUUUUUAUUGUUCUAAUAAUUUUAUGGACAUGCGUUGUCAAAAAUCAAUCAGGGUUGAAUCAACUUUGCAAAUUAAGUUGGGUACGUUGUUAAUUAGGGUUUUUUUCUUUUUUUUUUCUUUCCUUCUUUCCAUUUCCCCGUAAUUUCUAGAGGUUGUUACUGCUUUUUCAUAAUUUAGAGCGGGUCGUAUAGCUCAAUUCAACCAUAUUUCUGUCCUGAAAUUAAUUGUCUGAUAAUAUAACAUUGGUAUAUCAUAGUUUAAUCAAGUUUGUUAGAUUGAAGUCUCCAUAUAUAAUUUAACUUCAAGUUUUCGUUUUUGCAGGGUGGCAUUAUAUUGGGGCCCUCAGCGCUAGGGAAAACAAAGGUAGUAAGGGAGAAGCUAUUCAGAAGAAAAGAUGCUCCUGUGUUUGAGGUAAUAGCUCUAAUGGGCGUAGUCUACUCCAUGUUUAUAAUCGCGGUGAAAUUUGACAAAAACAUGGUGAGAAGGACUGCAAGGAAUGCUUGGAAAAUUGGUCUGCCUGGUUUUAUUAUUCCCUUAGUAAUAACCCUAUCUCUAGUUCACCCAAUAGGCACCACCCUUCCCGGAUUCAAAGGAGGAACAUUCUUCCUCUAUUUUAGUUUCUCUACUUUCUCCUUCACUUUCUUCCCGGUCAUAGCUCAGGCCCUGAGUGAACUCAACCUCAUGACUUCCGAGCUAGGUCAACUCGCCAUGUCGUCUUCUUUGGUCACUGAAGCCAUCCAGUGGUUGUCCACGGUUGCACAUAUUGUGUUCUCAAAAAGAAAUCCGAGCCACGGAGUCAUGGCUUUGGUUUCGCUGUUGGCCUUGACGAUUUUCAAUUUCUCAUUUUUAAGACCGCUUGUACUACUAGUGGUUAAAAAAACGCCCGAAGGAAAAGACGUGAAGGAGGGUUAUGUGGUUGCUAUACUGGUUGGGGUUUUGGCCAUGGCAUUGGUCUCCGAUGCCAUAGGUGCAACUCCAAUUACCGGCCCUAUACUUUUUGGGCUAGUCAUACCAGACGGACCACCUCUUGGUGCGACAUUAAUACAGAAGAUGGAGUUUGUGGUCUCCGAAUUUCUUCUUCCAGUGCUCUUUUUCCGUGUUGGAUUCAUGGUUGAUGUGUUUUCGUUUAGCGAUUGGGAAAGCUUUGGCAAACUUCAGCUUGUUAUUUGUUUGACGUAUGGAGCAAAGAUUGUUACAGUUACAGUUGCUGCAUUGUUCUGCAAAGUUAGGUUUAAAAAUAGCCUUUUGCUAGGAUUGAUAUUGACCAUCAAGGGUGUCGUAGAUAUUGUCCUUCUUACUCGAUGGAGGUCUAGUAUGGUAAGUAACAAUAUCACAAUGAAUUCUUUUUCUUUUCAAUAAUUCUAUUUAGACGCACAAAACUGACAUAUUUAGUGACACACUCUUUAGAGGUGUCAACUAUUGUAUAUAAGACCAAUAUGUUCAGACAGUGUGCUAGUAAAUUUAUGCAUCUCUAACUUGUAAAAUCAAAAUUCAGUCUAACACUCGAAUUUAAUGAAAGAAUAAUAGAUUUUGAGGAUGACAAUCUAACUUUUUUCUAAAUAUUACGUGCAGCUGCUAGAUGAACAAUCUUAUACUCAAAUCGCGCUCUCUAUGCUCACGGUGACCUUGAUCGCAACACCGGUGGUUCGAUUCUUAUACCAGCCACAAACACGACUUGGACCAUCAACCAAAAACUUACGCAUCAGAAAUAUCCAGUCAGCUCGAAACUACCAGGAGUUCAGUAUUCUUUGUUGUGUCCACAAUGAGGAAAGUGUCUGUAGCAUCACCACCCUCCUAGAAUCGUCUAAUCCAACAGAUGUGAGCCCCCUAAUCACCUACGUUGUCCGUGCAGUCGAGCUCAUUGGCCGAGCGGCACCCCUACUAGUCCCUUACAAGAAGAAGUAUCAGGAGGAAGCAAAUAAGAAAUUAAAGCACUCAAAUUCACCCACACAUCAAAUGAUGCGAGCCUUUUGGAAUUACUCGAUGAACUCGAAAGGACCGGUUUCAAUCCAAGCCUUCACUAUGAUCGCCCCUUACAAAUCAAUGCAUGAGACCGUUUGCCGUCUAGCGGAGGACAAUAACAUACCUCUGAUUCUCUUACCAUUCCAUGAAAACCACCAGUAUAUUGUUGGCGCCACUGUCACGACAGCGAUACGCCAAUUCAACAUCCAUGUACAAAAUUAUUCCCCCUCUACAGUUGGAUUACUAGUCGAAAGAGGCUUGUCAACUCGGUUAAGCGUGUCCCACUUUUCCUACAAUGUGGCAGUGUUUUUUAUUGGCGGGCCAGAUGAUCGUGAAGUGUUGGCCUACGCUUGGCGCAUGUCUGGCAACCCGGACGUGGGCAUCACGGUGUUCAGGUUUGUACUGCAGAAUAAAGUAAUUGUAGCCAACAAGGAUGAGGAGACAGAAGAGAUACUCGACCAGGCAUUGGUGGACGAGUUUAAGAUAAGGAACAUUGGGAAUGAUUGCGUGAUCUGGCGAGAUUUCGAGGUGGAUGAUAGUGUGCAGCUCAUGGACGCCAUUAGGAACUCGCAAGGGGAUUAUGAUCUUGUGUUGGUUGGGAGGCGGCACACGGAUAUGUUAUUGAGGGAUGAAGAAAUGACAGAAUUUGUGCAGAAUCCGGAACUGGGAGUGAUAGGUGACAUGCUUGCUUCCCCGGAUUUUUGCGGGGGAAUGGUCAAUGUGUUAGUUUUGCAAGAAAGCAAGGAAUUGAGCAACGGAGCUUUUCGUAGUGGCUCCAUGAGAGGGUCGGAAAGUAAAUUUAAGUUUCCUGGGUAACAAUUUAUUCCUCAUGUCACAAAAUUUGUGUUAUACAGUUUUUAGAAUAUCGACAAAAUUGUCGAAAUAUUAAAAAAAUUAGAAUCCAUAUGGAAACCAGAGAUAAUACUAAAAUGCAGACUUCACCUUUUGUCAGCGAGAUACCAGAAAAUUAGUGAAUAUUGACGAUAUUUACCUAUUCAUUGUGAAAAUUUUGAUGAAACAAACUGAAGAUUCCAAAAUUUUAAAAUUUCUUUAAGAGAUUUCUCCAAAAUUUCAACUAGAUUUAAACUGAAUAAGAUGAAUGAGUGAUACCCACCCAAAAUUAGAGCUUUACGUCUUCAGAUUAACACCUAAUCUCUCCCCCUUUAAGUCUGCGGCAUUUCUUUGUUGCUGGCCUCCAUCUUCAAGUCGUGUAUCUGUAUUGCCGACUUGGAGUUUCAAAUCCUUUAAUAUCUUUAUUAUUUAUGUUAAUAUCAUUUUAUAUUAAUGGAGAAUCAACUAAUUACAUUAGUUGGAGUGAAUUUCUGUUGAGAUUGUUCUCGUUUGAAUUAAUUUUGAUAAAUAUAUUCUUUGUGGUAUAAUGUUCUCAUUCCUGCAUAUCACAGACAAAAAUAUCUUUUACAUAGUUUUAACCACUAAUGUUUGUUCAAUACAUGUAUUAUGGCUUGAUUAAGAUUUGCUAAAGUUUUAUCUUUGAUUUCACGUUUUUUAGCAAAUUUUCAUCAUUUCCACUGAAACCAAUUGAUGUUAGUAUAUUCCUUGAUAUAAAUUUGAAUAUCGACUCAUCGAUACCAAUAUUUUAUACACACGUUAUAUAUACCAAAAUUUUGGCAAUGCAUUGCAGGAGGUAGGCAGAGGAGGAACGGCUCGCGGCUAGUUAAGUUUCUCCUUUCCCCUAGCUAGUUUACUUAAUUCAUUUUGCAAAAAUUAUUUCUAGGUUAAUGUUGUAAACUAUGUAAGGUAUGUUGUGCUAGGAUAGCACCAAACCAAAUGGAACCAACUCAAGCUAACCCACAGGAAAUUUAUCAAAUGAAAUGCAAUAACAAAAAUAUAAAAGACACCAAGAUUUUAACGAGGUUCCUCAACAGUCAGUGUAACUGAAGUACGUCCUCGAAGCAUAGGAGCUCACCCAAUAAUCCACUAUCAACUAAUUGGGAGUUUACAAAGUGUUGGCAAUCUCACAACCCAAAUAACCCAAUACACCCAAUAGCUCUCACACACCACAAAAACAAAUAGAGAAAGAAAUAUAAUGAAUAAUUUCUUCUCUAUACAUGUAGCUCAAAGCUAUUACAACAACAACUACUUUGGUGGAUGAUUACUAACCAAAUGAAGCAGCAGCUUCUUCUUCCUUUUGGGCUCUCUGCAAGUCUCCCUACUCUCUGCAGAAAAAUGAGCUCUCACUUCUCUCUUAUUUUCCAUCCGAAGAAAACCAAUAAUUAUGGCUUUGAAAAAGCCACAAAACAAGGAAACAUAAUCAUGAUGCCUCAUCAUCAUGAUGUUCCCUCAUCAUUUUGUCUUUCAUUCUUUUGUUUUGUUUAAUAGUCGAAAGUGGAUGCCAAGUUGGUCACUAAUUUGGCCACUAUCCAACAAUCUCCACCUUGGCCAAAUUCCAAAAUCACCAUGAUAAGCCAACCAACACAAAAACACUCCCAAACACUAGCAAGAGAACAACUCAUGCCAAGCCAAAUGCUCCAAAACUCAUACUGCUCAUCACCUUCUUUAUAUAGGCAAAAUGUGAGCCAAGUUCAAGCAAUGAACAAACUUGGCUACACCAACAACCUUAGUCAACAUAUCAGCGGGGUUGUCUUUAGUUGGAAUCUUCUGGAGAAUGAUUUCUCCUUCACCAGCAACUUCACGAACAAAGUGAUAACGCAUAUCUAUGUGCUUGGUCCUCGCAUGGUGAACCUGAUACUUAGCCAAAUAAAUGGCACUCGUCACUAUCACAAUGCACCUCCACCUGCUUCUGAUCAACCCCUAAAUCUCUAAUCAGCCCAUGUAUCCAAAUGGCCUCCUUUAUAGCUUCAGCAACUGCCAUAUAUUCAGCCUCUGUAGUAGACAAGGCAACAGACGACUGCAAAAUGGACCUCCAACAAACUGGCCCUUUAGCCAUAGUAAACACAUAGCCUGUAGUAGACUUCCUUCCAUCCAGAUCACCUGCAUAAUCUGAAUCAACAUAACCAACUGCAAAAUGACCAAUACCAGAGUCACCUCUCUCAAAGCAUAAACCAACAUCUCGAGUACCAUGGAGAUACCUCAAUAUCCACUUAGCUGCUUGCCAAUGCUCUUUACCUGAAUUAUGCAUAUAUCGACUCACCAUGCCAACUGCAUGAUGAGCAAUAUUCGGUCUAGAGCAUACCAUUGCAUACAUCAAACUACCAACCAAAUUUGCAUAUGGCAUAUUUUUCAUUUGCAGCUUCUCUUUAUCAGUUUUAAGACAUUGUAGAGAACUCAAUUUAAAAUGAGGAGCCAAUGGGGUAUUAACCGGUUUGGUUGAAUCAUGAACUCCAAACUUCCGAAUCAACUUCUCAAGGUAUUGUCUUUGAUUCAAACUGACCAAACCCUUCGCUCUAUCUCUAGUGAUCUCCAUACCAAAGAUCUUCUUCGCUUCAUCAAGAUCCUUCAUCUCAAACUCAUUCUUCAUUUGCUUCUUCAAAUUUUCAAUAUCUUCAACAUUCUUUAAGGCAAUCAACAUAUCAUCAACAUAUAUCAACAAAUAAAUGAAAGACCCAUCUUGCAACUUCUUGAAGUACAUAUAAUCAUAUUGACUUCUAGAAUAAUUUUGGCCUCUCAUAAAUUUAUCAAACCUCAAAUACCAUUGCCUUGGAGAUUGCUUCAAGCCAUAAAGUGAUUUCUUCAAUUUGCAAAACAAAUUCUCAUUCCCUUUCACUAUAUACCCAUCCGGUUAACACAUAUAAAUCUCUUCAUUCAAAUCACCAUGUAGGAAAGCUGUCUUCACAUCAAGUUGCACAAGCUCAAGAUCAUACUGUGCAAUAAGAGCUAACAUAAUGCGAAUUGAGAAGUGCUUCACAACUGGAGAAAAGAUUUCAUUGUAGUCAAUGCCCUUCUUUUGUGCAUGCCCUUUAGAAACUAAUCUUGCUUUAAAUCUCACAUUGCUUUUCUCAUCAGCAUAUUCCUUCUUGGCAUAGACCCAUUUGCAACCGAUAGCUUUCUUGCCCUUAGGCAAUUUAGCUAACUCCCAAGUCUUGUUCUUCAAGAGAGAAUUCAUCUCAUCACCCAUGGCAUUGCACCACCUCUCAUUUUCUUCACUCUCAAUAGCUUCCUCAAAAUUGGAUGGAAUCUCAUCAGUGAUAAUAGGAAGAGCAAAAGAAACAUAGUCACUAUACCAAGCUGGCUUGGUAAUUUGUCUAUUUCCUCUGUUCUUGGCAAUAGACUCUUGAGGUGAAACUUCCUCUUCAACUUGAAUAGAAUAUUCAAGUUCAACUUCUUCAACAUCCUCAUGGUCUCCAACUUCUUUACUUGUAAUGGCUUCGACAUCAGCGGAAAUAGGAUUUGAAGUACCAGAGGCAACUUUCUCAAGCUCUACCUGUUGGACAUCUUUCACAUUCUUCUCAGAGUCUUUGAAUAUACUUUCUUCAUCAAAUGUCACAUCUUUACUGAUUACAAGUUUCUUCGUCUCUGGGCACCACAACCUGUAACCUUUGACACCACUACUAAAACCAAGAAAGAUAGCAUUUUUUGGCUCUAGGAUCAAGUUUAUUUUCAGUUACAUGAAAAUAAGCAGGUGAACCAAAAAUACGAAUAUGAUCAUAAUCAAAAGAAGGUUUUCCAGUCCAUACCUCAAUUGGUGUCUUACCCUGAAUAGCAGCUGAGGGUAACCGGUUGAUGAUGUGACAUGCAUAAGUAACUGCCUCUACCCAAAACGACUUGCUCAAACCCGACUGAGACAACAUGCAUCUAACCUUUUCAAGCAAGGUUCGAUUCAAUCUUUCUGCAACUCCAUUUUGUUGUGGAGUUCCCUUGACACUGAAAUGUCUUACAAUCCCUUUUUCUUUGUAAACUUUCAAGAAGGGGUCAGAUGUGUAUUCACCACCAUUAUCCAAUCUCAAAAUCUUAAUCUUUCUCCUAGUCUAGUUCUCAACCAUUUUCUUCCAACCCAAGAAAAUGUUUAAUACCUCACUCUUGUGCUUCAUAGUGUAGACCCAAGACCUUCUUGAAUAAUCAUCAACAAAGGUCACGAACCAAUGUCUACCACUAAAAGAGGAAGUCUUUGUAGGACCCCAAACAUCCGAAUGCACAUAAUCAAGAAUGCCCUUCGUCUGAUGUACAGCAGUACCAAACUUCACUCUAGUUUGCUUCCCCAAGACACAAUGCUCGCAAAAAUCAAGCUUACAAGUCAUGGCACCUUUUAGAAGACCUUGUUUCACAAGCCCUUGUAGAGCUUUCUCACCGGCAUGGCCUAAUCUCAUAUGCCACAGUCUAGUAGUAUCAGAAUCGGAUGUGCCCAUAUUUUCUGAGACUACAGAUGCUUCACUUGUCACAGUGCUUCCUUGCAAUAAAUACAAAUUGCCACAUCGAGGAGCUUUCAUCACAACAAGUGCACCAUAAGUAACUUUCAAUGUCUGUCCAUCUGAAUGAAACCUGAAGCCCUUGGAUUCCAAAGUACCCAAAGAAAUAAGAUUUUUCUUCAAAUUCGGUACAUACCGAACACCUGUCAACUUUUUAACCAUGCCAUCAUGCAACUUCAAACAAACUGUACCAAUCCCUUUUGUUGUGCAAGGAUUGUCAUCUCCCAUGAACACAACGCCACCAUCAAACUCUUUCAAGCUUGAAAACCAAUCCUUGUGAGGAGUCAUAUGAUGAGUACAACCCGUAUCUAACACCCACUUAGUAGCACAAUCAAAUGAUGAAGAAGUGGUUAAAGCAAAAUCAGAAACAUCUGUUUCAACCUCAGCAACAUUAGCUUCAGAACUUUCUUUGCCUUUGGUCUUCAAUCUGGGACAAUCUUUCUUCCAAUGACCCUUAUUACGACAAAAGGCACAUUCAUCCAUUUCCAAAGGUUUUCUACCUUUAGAGUUUCCUCUAGGUCGAGACUGUGAUUUUUUCCUACUAGAAGAUGAUCUUCUCUCCGAUGAUCUACCUCUAACAAAUAAAGCUUCAGAGGUACUAUCAUGAUUUUUAUCUCUAUGCCUCAUUUCAUAAUUCAUUAAGGCAUUUGACACAUCUUCAAAUUUUACAGUUUAUUUACCAUGCAUAAUAGUGGGCUUUUUUUUUUUUUUUUUUUUCAACUGUAACAACUACCAACUCUUUCUGUUCCCAUAUUUGACUGAUUAUGUCAAUGUCCGUCGGUUUUCGGAGAUGGCCUUAUUAAUACCGAGUUUCAUUUUCAAUUUUUUUUGGAUGAUUCACAGGGUCGAGAUCACGAUCAAACGUACAAACCUCAAAUCAAUAUUUGAGGUGAUCGUGUAAAGGUGGGGAUUGAGGAUUUUCUGUAUCAGGUCGGAUCGAGGUACAAAAAAUGGAUGCCUUAAGCAGUUACCUUCACUCCCACCAUGUGAAACAUGGUGAUGAAAGAGUUUGCAUAUCUCAGCAGGCAACUGCUUCUAGCGGCGCCAUUUGUGGGGAAGAUAAUCCUCUAGAUAUAUUAUCCAUAUUCUCUGAUGAUGGCUCAAAUCAUCCUCAUCGUCAUCACCUCUCGGGUGCUUUAUUAUUUUCUUAGGCCGUCUGGACAAACCAAAUUUGUCUGCAAUCUACUGGUAUGGCCAUCAAGCUCCCAUGCCACUAAUAAACUAUCAUGUCUCAAUUAGCGUAAUCUAAUUUGAAGUUUUUUUCCGGGGUGUAAUUUUUCAAUUUUUUAUCCUUGUUACAAAUUUAAUUUGAUCCACCAUUUUUUCCCUCAUUUUUUCGGGGUGGUAUUAUAUGGGGUCCCUCUCUUUUGGGGCACCAUAAGGCAUUUAAGGACAAACUAGUAUUCAAAGGAAGAGAGUUUCCAUUGGUUGACACAGUAGCUGCGCGGGGCGCAAUAAAUUCCACCUUCCUAAUUACAUUGAAAAUUGACCUAGCCAUGGUUAGGACACAAGAGAAUGCCUGGAAGAUUGGUCUAGCAGGCUUCCUUUUUCCAAGCGCUGUUACCUCAAGCCUCGUCUACCCGCUAGCCCGAUCCAUUCCAGGACUCACAGGAGGGAUACUCUUUCUUUUCUUUACUACAUUUUCUUUAUCCUUCACUUAUUUUCCUACCGUGGCUGAGGCCUUGGAUGAACUCAACCUCAUGACUUCCGAGUUAGGGCAACUCGCCUUGUCUUCUGCCAUGCUCAACGAUGUGAUGCAAUGGUUCUUCAUGGCAAUACGUUACAUAUACAGCCACGGAAUCGAGGCCUUGGUUUCCUUUGUUGGCAUUGCUGUCCUUCACUAUCUAUGUCAUACGGCCGACUAUACUUUCAAUUAUCAAGAAAAUACCCAAAGGAAAAGAAGUGAGUGAAAGUUAUGUGGUUGCAAUACAACUUGGAGUUCUAGUCAUGGCAUUUAUCACCGACGCCUUAGGCACAAAGCCUACUACGGGUGCUAUAAUUCUAGGGUUAGUCAUACCAAAUCGACCACCUCUUGGUACAGCAUUGAUAAAAAAGACAGAAUUCAUGGUCUCCGAAUUUCUUCUCCCGGUGUUCUUCUUUUGUGCAGGCCUCAGUGUGAAUGUGUAUUCGAUUCACGAUUGGGAAAGUUUCAGCAAACUUCAAGUCUUGAUUGUUGAAUCCUAUGUCACAAAAUUUUUGGGAGUUACAUUGGCUGCAAUGUGCUGCAAAAUUAAGUUCAAACAUAGUCUGUUGCUCAGCAUGAUCAUGAGCAUCAAGGGUUUAAUAGAACCUUCCAUUUACAGUCGCUGGAGGGUCCUUAAGGUAUCCUACUCUUUCUUAUAUCUUUUUCCUCCUUCUCUUUGAUACCCCACCAACUUAAGGAGCGUAAUAAUUUUCUUGUAACGAGUACUAAUUUACAGUAUCUGCUACAUUGCCGGUCAUAUUAUAGACAAUGUAACAAAUACUACAAUUGAUACUCAUGGACAACCUGUCCUUUUUAAGGGACCAGUAGAUGUUGUUGACGAAAAAACUUAGAGUACACAACUCUAACACAAGUGUUGGAGAGACAACAUAAGUAAACAAAUUACUUGUAUUAUACACACAAAAUAUUACAACACUCACAAGGACACAACUUUAGAAGCAAUGACACUCACUCACUUUCUAGAGACACACUCUUGAUUACUCACACUCCUACAAGACUAUUCUUGCUUCUCACUCUCACUUGGUUGCCUUCUUGAUUGGUUGGUUACAUACACACACCUAUUUAUAGGCAUGUUUGCCGACUUCACUAGCACUUUCUAGUGCAUGUUCAUGCACACACUGCACCGACAUAUGGCUUUUCAUAAUAGCCACAUUGUACAAGCUGCUAAAACUUUCUAGCACAUGAUUAUACACACCCACCCACCGACUUUCCCUUUGCCCACCGACAUGGGCAUUACACAAUGGCCACACAAUUGUACAAAUAGCUAGAUCUUUCUAACUAGUGAUCAUGCACUGCCACCGACCUGCUUUCCUAAUUGGCCUUAUGUUUUCCUAGUUUCUAGUACAUUCUAAUUACAAACAAACAUACUUAAUCAUGGCUAGAAACGUCUAGCACAUUUGCAUACACCGACCACCUUUAGAAUUGCUUGCUAGAAUCUUCUAGAAUCCAAACAUCAAUUGGGCUGGUGUUGAUUUUCAACAGAUGUAAACGCCAUAUUUACAAUCCAUUGUUUUGGGUUCCUAAUUGAUAUUAAUUGCAGCAAAUGGAUCAACAAUCUUAUACUCAAAUCAUCUUGUCUUCGCUGGGUCUGACCAUGGCCAUAGCACCAUUUAUACGAUUCUCGUGCAUACUUCAUGUACACCUCAGACAAUCAAGUAGCAUACACGACUGCAUUAGAAAUAUUCAAUCAUUACUGGCAAGCAACUCGGAAACAUUUCAAAUCCUUCGCUGUGUCCACAACGAAGAAAGUGUACGCAACAUGAUCACCCUCCUAGAGGCGUCAAACCCAACAGAAGCAAGCCCGAUUUGUGCCUACAUUUUCCAUGCAGUCGAGCUCACUGUCAGCGCAGCACCACUACUAGUCCGUCACACGAAACAGAAGAAGAAAUUUACAAACACAAGUGUACCCACGAAUGUUCAUAUAAUGCGAGCCUUUGAGAAUUACUCGAAAAAUUCGAAAGGGCCGGUUGUAAUUGAAGCCUUCACUAUGACCGCCCCCUAUAUAAGCAUGCAUGAGACGAUUUGCCAUGAAGCCAAUGACAAGAAAGUUCCUCUAAUUAUCAUACCAUUCCAUGAAAACCACAAGGAUGUGAUUGCUCCCAACUGUCCGACUAAGGCAAUACGCCAGUUCAACAUUAACGUACAAUCAUAUGCUCCAUGUACAGUUGGGAUACUAGUUGAUAGAAGCCUGUCUUGUCGGCUGAGCUUGAAUCACUUCUCUUACAAUGUUGCGGUGUUUUUCAUUGGCGGGCCUGAUGAUCGCGAGGCAUUAGCUUACUCAGCACGCAUGCCGGGUAAUACCAAAGUUUCCAUCUCGGUGUUCAGGUUUACUUUGGCGGAGACAGUAAUAGAAGAAGAGCAGCUGAAAGAAACGAAGCUCGACCAGGCUUUGGUUGACGAGUUUAAGCUAAGCAACAUUGGGAAUGAUCACUUGAAUUGGCAUGAAAUGGAGGUGGCUGACGGCGUGCAGCUUAUGGAUGCCAUUAGGCAGUCACAUGGCGAUUACGACCUUGUGAUGGUGGGACGGAGACACUUGGAAAUGUCACCAAGGAAUGAAGAAACGGUAGAUUUUAUGGAGAACGCGGAGCUGGGAGCGAUCGGCGACAUGCUUGCUUCCUCAGAUUUUUGUGGUGGAAUGGUAAAUGUGUUGGUGAUGCAAGAAAGUAGGGAAUUCGUACUUCGAACCGCUUUGAUGAAAAAUUUAACGAGGUAUUAUAAGUUGACAUACAUUGCAAAACCAGCUUGCAGGGGACAAACUAGCUAGUCACUUGAUAGAGUGGGUUUCGCAGGAUCUAUAGGAUGCGAAGACCUCAAGUACUACUUAGACCAUAGGCUAGCUAGCUUAGGAGAAUCAAAUAUCGGCCAGCUAGUAAAUUUUCAAUUUUAGUGUAAUUUUGCAGACUUUGGAUUUUGAUGAUGAAUAUUCCAAGCCAUAAGUUUUGCGCUAUGCCUUCUAAAUUCAGGAAAAGAAAGUGUCAUUAAAUAAAAUACUAAAAACUCCAGUUUCAUUUUUAUUAUUGAAACUUUCAUUUUCCUAAAUUUUUGUACAUACAUACGUGUUUAAUGAUUGAUGUGUACACAAAAAAAAUUUAAAAAUUAAUAAAAAUUAAAAAAAAAUUUACUUUAAAAAAAAAAAAUUUAAUGUCCACAUGACGCCAGAUUGGCACGGGGCACCCAUUCAUUGUCUUUGUCAGCACCACAUCAUCAUUUAACGGCGAUUCUGAAGAAAAAUUUAACAAAUGAAUGAAAGUAUCGCAGAAUUAUGACAUUACUCCAAUUCCAUUUUUAUUAUUGAAACUUUCAUUUUCCUAAAUUUAUGUAUAAAAGGAAAUUACUUAUGUUCGCAUUUAAUGAUUGAUGUAUACACAAAAAUGCAUGCAUAAGAAAAUAUGUAUAAGAAGGUGUUUGAAUUAAUAUUUAACAUUGGGCUUUAUGAAAUAAGGCCCAAGGGUGUCACAGCAAAAUGAGGACUUGCCUUAAGCCCAGCAAAGAGGCUUGAAGCAAAUUGAAGCCUUUUCAGCCAAGGCAUAGGCCAUGUGCCUAAGGAUGAAGUGACAGAUGACAAAGAUCAACUCACCACCAGCCAAAAAACACUUUCUAAUGGCAUUACAAGUAAAUAGAUGAUGACUCACUACCCUCUGAGAGCCCUCGGCCAAGAGUAAAACUAAAGCAGUCGGGCCAAAUUGUCUAUAAAAGGAGAAAGAGACAGAGACAAGGACACUCAAACAACCAAUCAAUCAACAUACAAACACUGCUCUCAAGCCAAUUCCACCUAGAAAGCUUAAACUUGUCCAUAUUCAGUCCUUUUUAGCUAUAUUCCCCUUAGAAAAGCCAUCUUUUGUCUACUAUAAAAGCUCUGCUACAUUCCCUUAGUGUUGUAGUAUCGAUUCCCUCGUGUAAAACCUAUUUAGCAUCCAUCCUUUUUAGCAUAUAACAUCUGUAAACCCAAAGAAAAGUGGCUGCAAGAAGUUCAACUUUGUCCGACAAAGUUAAAUUUUGCCCAAGUCUCUUUAUUUAUACUUUAAUUUAGUAGAUAUUUCGCUUAAUGAACUUUUCAGUAUGUAUUCAAGUUGUUUCCACCUUUUUUCUACCUAAGAGCCCCAUUUGCAUUCGAAUAUGGUUAAGUUAAUGGAUCUACCUUCAUUAAAGUGAACUGUAAUCGAGGAAAUAGUAGUAAAGGGGCCUGAACUCCCUUUGUUUUGGGUGUACAAGAUUAUGAACUAAAAGUCCUUGUUUACGAGGCAAGAAAAAGAACUUAAUGUAGACUUAACACAUCUGUGACAAUCCUUUGAUAACAAGAAGUUUAAGUAACUUGGGGCGCAAAUAAUCAACUUAAAUCACAUUUGUUCAACAUCUGUUAUACUAAGAUAGCAGUGGCACGCCAAGAUCCUUGUUAGUUUUGAUUGUGAACCUCAAGGCCUACACCUAAGGCCCCACAAAGGCACCUGUCAAAACUAACUACUAACGUAUCUUGCAGUACACUAAGUAAGAGCAAGCCGGACAACACACCAAGUGCCAAACCCCUGGGGAGCUGUGCGAGGGGAAAUCCUUUAGGAAUUGGAUCAUCUCCUGAGCAGGAGAUCAGUAUCUUCCUGACCCACUAACACGGGGCAUUGAAUUUUGAUUCAACGGCUACAAACAUUGAACUCCUCUAAAAGUUAUAAUAAUUGUAACCGUUGGAUCAAAAUUCAACGGUCCGUGUUAGUAGGUCAGGAGGAUCCUGAUCUCCUGCUCAUGAGAGGAUCCAAUUCCAACCCUUUAGCCCGAACAGAAGGCUCAUGACUUUGCGUACACGAAAAUUACAUAUAUACGUGUUCAACGAGAAGAGUAUCCUCUUAAUUCCGAGAUUGUUUCUGUGCAUUGGGCAUAAGAAAAAAUCCAGCCCAUAAGUCUUUGGAGAAAAUUUUUGCAAUGGAUCUUUUCUUCCUUUUGUUGUUAAAACUUUUUAGUGUCUACCAUUAUGCCUUUUUUUCGGCCUUUAUCUAGUUUGGCAAGAAUGUUGUGACCGUUAGGAAAUUUAGAAAUUGUUGCCUAAUCAAGGGUUUGGAGUUUCUUGUAAAAAAUGACCUUGUUUUUUACUUGCAGCUAGUAUUUCUUCUUCCCUGUGGUUUUUUAUUUAUAUAGUUGUAACCACAUUUAACUAUUUAUCAAUAAGUUGAUUUAACUAAUUAUCAAUAAGUUGUUUAUUUAUACGUGUGUUUCUUUAAAAACGACGCUUAAUAAAUUAUAUGAACACGUAUUGAAUUUUUUUUAAGUGUGACGGUCAUAUUAUUAUGUAUUGUUACUGAUUCACAUUUUAUAACACACGUUAAUUGGUAACCGUCAUACUGAAAAACUUCUCCACAGACGAUGAAUAGUGGUUGAAAAUUGCCCUUGCUUGCAAUAUUUAGUUUGUUGGGUGUGAUUUUUAAAGCUCUCACUUGAGCGUCCACAUCAGUAAAACAGAGGAAUAACAAGAAAAAGAUGAUUUCAUUAAACCAUAAGAUUUCUUUAACACGUUGCUUAAAAGUACAAAACAAUCUAUGAAUCAAUGAAAGCAUGUCUAUCUAUGACUAAAUCAGAUGGUGAGCUCAGUUUUUGAAAUCCUAGCACCACAUCCUCUACAUCGGCUUUGAUGUAUAAAAAAAGAACAAUAAAACAGAGCAAGAACUAGGCCCCCAAAUGCAGGGGAACUCAAGACAACAAUGUAAAAUCAUACAACUGAAAUAAGGGAAAAAUGAAAACCCGGUAACCGGGUUUUUACAAAAGUUGCUGUGGAUACAAUCUUAAGAUUCUUAACACACAGGCAGAUCCGCCGGUGGUGGCUCGAUCGUUUGCAGUUCCCCAACUCCAUUGUCCACCAAGAACACCAUGGCCAAACCCCAGUUGAUGUGAACAUCCAAGUGACAAUGCAUUAUCCAUGCACCUGCAUAUAUCAAACGUAUUUGACAAAAAAAAAAACAUAUAUUAAACUUAUAAGUAUAAACAAAUCCUAGAAACGUUGCUAUGAGUUUGAAUAGUUUAGAAUAGAAUAUCGUCUUGUGAAAGAAAAAUAAUUUGAAAUUGUUACCUGGAUUGUCAGCGACGAAUCGGAUAACUGCCCAUCCAUUCGCAGGCACUGCCACUGUGUUCCUCAUAGGUGGAUCAACAAGGUUGAACUUUUUGGUAUCGGUCUUGGCAUUGAAAUUUCCAAAACCUUCGGCAAGGAUGUAAAAAUCGUAUCCGUGAAGAUGGAUAGGAUGGUUUUCGGGUGUGACGAUGCUUGUGUCCUGCAGCACAACCUGCACCCUUGAUCCAUACUUCAAGUUGUAUCCUCUAGUGCCCGACAAAGGCUGCCAUAGAGAACUGCUCACAUUGCCCGUGUAGUCGAAUUUCUUCGGAGGGUUUGCUGGAAAAUCAUUGGUGAAAACUCCAGGGAUGUUUUGUUGGUAAGCCUGAAGGAUUGACAUGUUAUUUGGAAGCACGAAGGACACAUUGUUCAUGCUGGCAGUGAAGCGUGUCCCGUUUGGGCCUUGGCACCUUCUGGCUCUGAAAUGUUUAGGGCAAUUGUUGAGUCCAAGACCGAUAGUGAAGAAGAGGUUUUCGUCGAUUUCAGUUGGGACUUCAACUUUUCUUGGACUUCUGAAACUCUUGGUGAAAGCAGAAGCAGUGUUUGUGUCAUUGAAAGCAGGGAGUUGUGGCAUAAUCGGUUUAGCUGUUGGACCGUUUUUGCAACUAGGGCUGCAAGGGGCAGACUUGUAUUCAAGAAUGGCGGUGGUGGUGGUGUUGCCGAAUGCUGCAUUUUGCGCGCUGAAAUAAGCACUUGCCGCCAAGUAGUACCGGGCCGGUGGCUGGUCACCCGUGAUUAAAACAUCGGUGGUCUGCCCAGGGCCUAGCAUGAGUACCGUGGUAGUGAAAGGUUUGGUAUAGGAGGCAUCAGCACUAACAACAGUGAGUUUGUGGUUGGCCACAGAGAAGAAAAGAGGUUGGUUGAGGCCAGCAUUGAUGACUCUAAGAAGGUUGGUCUCGCCGGAGUCUAUAGGAACUAUGACAGUGUCUGCAAAAAUCACAAUAAAAAUUUAUCAAUUCAUAAGUGGUACAUACGACUUACUUAUUACAUCAAUUAUUAGGGUCAGUUUAACUUAGUUGAUUAUUGCACGUAAAACUUUUAUUGUGGAAUUACCUUUGCUUGAGCAAUUGUAAAGAUCACCAGGUUGACCAUUGAUGGUGUAUGCAUCAGAAACAUUUGGAGCUCCUCCUGUCCUAGUAGCCUGCCUUAUAACAUCGAUAGGGUUAGCGUCCCACCAUUCACCGAGAAGAAGGGUUGUUUCGCGUUUCGGUUUAGUGAAGGGGUAGGAGUCUCCUUGUUUAGGAUGAAUGAUGAGUGCGCCGUAAACGGUGGCUCUAAGCCAUGAGCUGUGAGCAUGCCACCAGAGAGUACCUUCUUGCCCUUGAAUUGUAAAUCGGUAGGUAUAGCUUCCUCCUGGCCUAAUCGGGCACUGAGUCACAAAUUCAGGCCCAUCUGCCCAUCCAGUUCUAAUCUGCCUAAUCCCAUGCCUGAAAUGAAGAAGAUAAGGCAUGUUGAUUAAUUUCUUCGGAGAAAUGAAGAAGAUAAAGAUUCUCUUGCGAGCCUUUCUGACAACAUAAGAAGCAUGAGAGUAAAAACUCGUAUUCAUGUGCAUGCACGCAGGCGUGUUAGUUACCAGUGAAUAGUGACAUUGUAUCGAGCUUUGUUUGUAACUUUGAUGAAAAGAGUGUCACCAUUGUUUGCUUCCAAGGUUGGUCCAGGGUACUGUCCAUUUACUGUGAUGGAGUUGUGGGUUUUGCACAGCCUCUUCACUUUAGUUGCUUGAAUCUGUAUUCCAUUUAAAUAUUAAAUAUAGUGAGAAAUGAGUACGUAAGAAGAAGAAACGUACGUGAAAUACAAGAGAUGUAAAAAUUAAACUUACAACAAACUCAUGCUGGUGAGUUUUGGGCUCUGCCGAACACAUUGUCGAUGAAGCCAAUAGAAGGCAAAGGCCGAAAAGGCAUAAGGAGAGUCGGAUUUUGUUGCUGAAAAUGGCGUUGAGUGCCUCCAUCUCGAUGGAUUAGCUAGGCUAUGAGCUCGCUGAUGAACCCUUAACCUUUGAAUGAUCGAGAGAAUGUGGUAGUUUGAGGUGAUAAAGUGGGGGGAUGCUUUUAUAGUAAAACUUUGAGGAGAGAGGCUGGCAGAUUAGGUUUUGAUUCAAAAAAUGGUCAGAGCCUUGAGCAAACUUACUUCAACCCGGUAAGAGUUGUUGCACCCACUGGCCUAUCUCUAAUGCAUUAUGUCUCAAUGCAGCUUGCUUCUCAAGUCUUCUUUCUGGGAUUGAAUAAUUCAAUAAGAGUAAUAUUAGAGAGAUUAAAUUUGUAGAUAAAGUUUUGAAAACUAAAGGAUAUGGAAGUUGAUGAUUGAUUUAUUAUUUACACGUUGAUAAACAUGUUUAUUCUUAUUGGUGACAUGUUAUUUAGUUUACAAAUUUAAUUAGUCUUUCAAAUUUGAUCUCCCUAACAUUACCCAUUAAUAUUGGUUUUUUUUUUCAUAUAUGUUAAUGCAACUAGAAAAAGCGUAAAGUUAAUCCUACUUUUUUCCCCAAACGUAAGGACAAUCGUAAUGAUGAAGAAGACCAAAAUUAAAUUAGAAACAUACUUAUAAGUCAAACCCAUUGUUCUAAUCAACCUUAAACCCUCAAGCAAUCCUUUGAUAAAACGACAUUAGUAUAGUGAUUUUAUGUGGCAUCACGCAAAUGGAGCUAGCACUCAGAUUCAAGCACAUAAUGAAUCAUUAUGCUGAACACAUGAUGAAUCAAGAUAAUUAAAUCGAUAUUUUUGGUCUCUCCUUUGGCUAGCUAAAAUUAUUUUCGUUUCUAAAAAGGUAAGGUUUAUGUUUCCUUUCUAUUUUCAAGCAUUUUUUAAAUUUUUUUUCUUUUAAUAUGAAUGGUUAGGUUUAUUUACUAAAUAACAUCGAGGUUUUCUGAAAAAAAAAACGAUGGAGGUUAGAAGAAUCAAGAGGGAAAGAGUUUACCGACUAAAAAUAUUUGCAUGAAUUCGUCAAACCAGCUUUUUCCUUCCUAAUGUGGUAUGGGAAAUCAAUAAGCAAUCUGCCUAAAGUCCAUGCUUUAGAGAAAAGUGGAAAAGUAAAUUAGCUUGAGAAAACUAAGUCGGAAAUAUGGUUGUUCUUUUCAUUGUUUUCAAAUAUUAAUUUUUCAUAAAAAUUACAGUUUACCCAUGUUUCAUUUGAUGAUGAUGUUGUGAUAUAAUAGGUUUUGUCAUAUUUUAUCAUUUCAUAAAUAUAUGAAUUAUUAUGCUCACGUUUGUUAAAAGGGAGUUUUAACGAACCAUAGAUUCAAUCGAAAUCAAAACCUCAAGUAAGGUUACUUAAUAAACUCAUCAUAAAAUCAACAUUCAGAAGUAAUUAAUUGAAUUAAUUAUAUUUUUCAAUAUCUAUGAUUACACUAACACCACAAAAAAAAAAAUGUUAAAGAAAUUAAAAAGCCCACAAAGCCACAAUGAGGUUGUACUAGGUCACGAUCGAUGAUAAAUUAGUUGGUUAGCUACAACAAGAAGAGAUGAUCGAGUGCAGGGAAUUUGAGCUAGGGUUUAUUAAUUUAUUAUUAGUUAAUUAAUGUUAAAAGUGGACCACACAGGAUCAAAUCUCAAGUUUGCCGUUAAUUUGAUAGGAAAGAUGAGUAGAUUAAGUCAUCUCUCUACAAUUAGGUGGCAUAUGUUGCAUGCGUUACAAUACAUCAAGAUUUGAUUGGGUCUAACAAAAAUUCAGUUAGAGUGAUGGAUACUUAAACAGAAAAUUUAAUAUAUAUUUACAAGAAUUCUGUUUAAAUUAGGUAGCCUAUCACACAGCAGAACGCGCGCAGGGAAGGUAUUAUCCAUGUAAUUAAUGUUUGUAUUAGGUUUUGUAGCUAUAUACGAAGAGAAUGAAAGGUCAAAGACCAGCUAGUGGCUUUGCCAUGGCGUCCACGCUUCCAAUGGCCGGAAAAACUCACAAAGGCAUUUCAGCUACCUCCUGGCCACCAUUGCGUGAUUCACCAACGCUAAAAAUCGAACACAAGACAUGCCAUGUGAAACAAAAUUUAGAGGAAGCUAGGAAGUGGCAUCUUAUAUUAUGUAAUGUUAAUUGAUAAUUAGGGUUUGUCUAUUAGCCAAGAUUGGAACCAUAGCGCAUCUCAAAAUGAGAAGAUAUAGAGCAACGCCUAGUUUAGCUACAAAAUUUUGAUUUGUUUUGUUAACCUUAGUGCUUUUGUAGGCAAAAAUGAAGACGUACGAAGAUUAUUUGUCCUAUCAUUGAUUGUAUCGAGACGUAAGAAUAUCUACCUUAUCAUUGAUUGUAUACAUAUUUGUGACUGUGAGUCCAUCUCUCUUAUUUACCAAUCGAUUGGUUGAUAUAGUAUAUGUAUUAAUACUUGUUAAUAGAAAGAAAAAAAAAACUAUGGUAUAGCUAUUGGUUUGAUCCCAAAUUAGGAAGCCUUAAUGUUGUUUUGUUGUAUUGUAUGGUUGGUUAUGUUACUUUGUAUUAAUGUACAUCAUUUUCUCAAACCAAAUAGAAGCCACAACAUACAUGAUGGAGGCCUUAUCGACCAUAAAACUUACGUACUCUGCAAUGUUAGACAAAUGUUUAUCCUACACUCAUCAUUAUGUGACGUGCAAUUGGUCAACUGAUGAGUUUUACACCAAAUCACAUGAAAUAUAAGUGUUGUAGAAACCCUAAUGAACUAGUCACUCUCUUACAGAUAAGUUGUCCCUUUACCGGCAUAAGUGUUCAAAGAAGUACAACAGUACAUGCAAAGUUUAAGUGAUAAUUAGAUUGACAAAGCCAAACAGACCAGCUGAUUACCUAAUUACAGGCAGACAGAUGGUGACAAUUCUGUUAGUCAUUUUGAAUGGAAGCAUGUCAGUGAUGUGUACACACCAGAAACUAGAUCAGAGAGCGAAAUAAAGAAUGGGGGGAGGUGUUGGAUUGGAUAGGUGAACAAAUAGCAAUUAACAUAUAGUUGGUAGAGUUUGUUAUUGACUUCUAUUUUCAGAAUCUUCAGUUGACAUCGGAAGUGCAAUCGGAAGUCGUUAUGAAGGAUGCAAAUACUUACAAUAAAAAUUGAUUCACAAUUUAAUUAUACUAGCCUCUUGCACGCAAGCUCUUUUACAUCUUUUUUUUUUUUUUUAAAUAUUUAAGAAAUAAAGGAAAUAAAACUGCCUCUCCAUGGAGCUUGUGACAAUUUUUUUUUUUACAUCUUAUUCUCUACCUGCUUGUAAUUUUUAUUCUUUCUAUUUGUUAAAAAUAUUUUUAAAAAGUAAAGAAAUAAAGGAAAAAUAACUACCUACUACGUAAGUAGUUUUGUUUUGUUAGUUUGUAUUUUUUUUAAAUUAAAUUGUUUCAUUUUAAAAUCCUAAUUAGGAGAGAUAAUUUUGGGGAUUGUGAAUAAUUCAUUAUUUUUCCUUUACUUUAUAUAUACUAGCAUAUGUGACACAUCCCCGCCCGGGCAGGACCACUUCCUGAGCCCGACUCCAUCGUAGCACGAUAUUGUCCGAUUUGGGCCCCGACCACGUCCUCAAGGUUUUGUUUUUGGGAACUCACGCAAGAACUUCACAGUGGGUCACCCAUCAUGGGAUUGCUAUCGCGCGAACUCGCUUAACUUCGGAGUUCCGAUGGAACCCAAAGCCAGUGAGCUCCCAAAAGACCUCGUGCUAGGUAGAGAUGAGAAUAUACAUAUAAGGCUUACAAGAUCCACUCUCUUGGGCGAUGUGGGAUGUUACAAUCCACCCCCCUUAGGAGCCCGAUGUCCUCAUUGGCACACUUCCGGCCAGGGAUUGGCUCUGAUACCAAAUUGACACAUCCCGCCCGGGCAGGACCACAUCCCGCCCGGGCAGGACCACUUCCCGGGCUCGACUCCACCGUAGCACGAUAUUGUCCAUUUUGUACCCUGACCACGCCCUCACGGUUUUAUUUCUGGGAACUCACACGAGAACUUCCCAUUAGGUCACCCAUCAUGGGAUUGUUUUCGCGCGAACUCGCUUAACUUCGGAGUUCUGAUGGAACCCGAAGCCAGUGAGCUCCCAAAAAGCCUCGUGCUAGGUAGAGAUGAGAAUAUACAUAUAAGACUUACAUGAUCCAUUCCCUUGGGCGAUGUGAGAUGUUACAAUCUUCAUUUAUCACAAGAGCCUUAAGUAUAUCUUCAAUCAGCCAAACCUCAAUCUCUGGCAGCGGAAGUGGGUAGAGUUAUUCAGUGAUUAUGACUGCACCAUUGAGUAUCACCCAGGUCGUGCCAAUUCGGUGGCUAAUGCUCUUAGUAGGAAGUCUCAUGGCCAACUUAAUGCUGUUUAUGCUAGUCGCAUUCCUCUUUUGACUGACCUAAGAUCCACUGGAGUAGCUUUGAAAGAGGGUCGUCGGGGGGCCCUAAUUGCCAGUUUUCAGGUCAGGCUGGUUCUGUUGGAUCGUGUUCUCGAAGCCCAGAGAAAUGAUACAAAAUCUCAGGAAUUGAUACAAGCAAUGUCAGACGGGAAAAAGAAGGACCUCUGGAUUAGAGAUCCUGACGGCAUGCUUAUGCAAGGUGAACGGAUGUAUGUACCGAAUGUUAAGGAACUGAAGAGAGACAUAUUAGACGAAGCGCAUAUUUCUGCUUAUGCGAUGCAUCCAAUGAGCACCAAGAUGUACCAUACCAUCCGACACUUCUAUUAUUAGCCAGGUAUGAAAAGAGAGAUUGCAAAGUAUGUUAGCCGUUAUGCAAUUUGCCAGCAGGUUAAGGCAGAAAGGAAAAGGCUAUUUGGAUUGCUACAACCACUUCCGAUACCUCAGUGGAAAUGGGAAGAUAUUACAAUGGAUUUUGUGUACAAAUUACCUCGUACGCGAAAUGGUUACGAUGGUAUCUGGGUGGUAGUUGAUCGGCUUACCAAGUCAGUGCACUUCAUACUCGUUCGUGAAAUUUUCUCGUUAAGUCAGUUGGCCGAACGGUUCGUCUCUGACUGGUUAGGUACCACGGAGUUCCAGUUAAUAUCAUUUCUGACGGAGACCCUCGAUUUACUUCGAAGUUCUGGGUAGCUUUUCAGGAAGCUUUGGGAUCGAGACUACUCUACAGCACCGCCUAUCAUCCUCAAACAAAUGGGCAGUCAGAGAGAACUAUCCAGACCUUGGAAGAUAUGUUGAGAUCAUUAGUUCUACAGUUUGGAGACGCUUGGCAUAAACGCUUACCGUUGAUAGAGUUCACAUACAACAACAACUUCCAUUCUAGUAUUAGUAUGGCACCGUUUGAAGCGUUGUAUGGGAAACCGUGUUGUACUCCACUUUGUUGGUCCGAGGUCGGUGAGCGAGUUUUGGUGGGCCCUGAGAUCGUAGAUGAGACGACAAAAAAUAUUCAGGUGAUAAAGGCUAACCUGAAAGUGGCCUAGGAUCUGCAGAAGAGUCUCACGGACAGACAUUCUACCGAUAAAGUUUAUGAGGUUGGUGAUUGGGUAUUCUUGAAAUUAUCGCCGUGGAAAGGUGUUGUGAGAUUUGGAAAGAAAUGGAAGCUCAGCCCUAGGUACAUCGGACUGUACUAGAUCGUUGAACGAGUCGGUGAAGUUGCUUAUCGACUUGCUUUGCCACCAAAGUUGUCAAGAGUGCACAAUGUGCUUUAUGUAUCAAUGUUACGAAGGUACGUUUCUGAUCCGUCACACGUAAUCCCUCCUCAACCACUGGAGAUCAAUCUAGAUUUUACCUAUGAUGAGGUUCCAGUGACUAUCCUUGAUUGGAAAUAUCAGGUUCUUAGGAACAAGACCGUGCGGAUGGUGAAGGUUUUGUGGAGGAACCACUCGGUGAAGGAAGCCACUUGGGAGACAGAAGAGCGUAUGCGAGAUAUGUAUCCACAUCUAUUNNNNNNNNNNNNNNNNNNNNNNNNNNNNNNNNNNNNNNNNNNNNNNNNNNNNNNNNNNNNNNNNNNNNNNNNNNNNNNNNNNNNNNNNNNNNNNNNNNNNNNNNNNNNNNNNNNNNNNNNNNNNNNNNNNNNNNNNNNNNNNNNNNNNNNNNNNNNNNNNNNNNNNNNNNNNNNNNNNNNNNNNNNNNNNNNNNNNNNNNNNNNNNNNNNNNNNNNNNNNNNNNNNNNNNNNNNNNNNNNNNNNNNNNNNNNNNNNNNNNNNNNNNNNNNNNNNNNNNNNNNNNNNNNNNNNNNNNNNNNNNNNNNNNNNNNNNNNNNNNNNNNNNNNNNNNNNNNNNNNNNNNNNNNNNNNNNNNNNNNNNNNNNNNNNNNNNNNNNNNNNNNNNNNNNNNNNNNNNNNNNNNNNNNNNNNNNNNNNNNNNNNNNNNNNNNNNNNNNNNNNNNNNNNNNNNNNNNNNNNNNNNNNNNNNNNNNNNNNNNNNNNNNNNNNNNNNNNNNNNUGGGCCCCGACCACGUCCUCAAGGUUUUGUUUUUGGGAACUCACGCAAGAACUUCACAGUGGGUCACCCAUCAUGGGAUUGCUAUCGCGCGAACUCGCUUAACUUCGGAGUUCCGAUGGAACCCAAAGCCAGUGAGCUCCCAAAAGACCUCGUGCUAGGUAGAGAUGAGAAUAUACAUAUAAGGCUUACAAGAUCCACUCUCUUGGGCGAUGUGGGAUGUUACAAUCCACCCCCCUUAGGAGCCCGAUGUCCUCAUUGGCACACUUCCGGCCAGGGAUUGGCUCUGAUACCAAAUUGACACAUCCCGCCCGGGCAGGACCACAUCCCGCCCGGGCAGGACCACUUCCCGGGCUCGACUCCACCGUAGCACGAUAUUGUCCAUUUUGUACCCUGACCACGCCCUCACGGUUUUAUUUCUGGGAACUCACACACGAGAACUUCCCAUUAGGUCACCCAUCAUGGGAUUGUUUUCGCGCGAACUCGCUUAACUUCGGAGUUCUGAUGGAACCCGAAGCCAGUGAGCUCCCAAAAAGCCUCGUGCUAGGUAGAGAUGAGAAUAUACAUAUAAGACUUACAUGAUCCAUUCCCUUGGGCGAUGUGAGAUGUUACAAUCUUCAUUUAUCACAAGAGCCUUAAGUAUAUCUUCAAUCAGCCAAACCUCAAUCUCUGGCAGCGGAAGUGGGUAGAGUUAUUCAGUGAUUAUGACUGCACCAUUGAGUAUCACCCAGGUCGUGCCAAUUCGGUGGCUAAUGCUCUUAGUAGGAAGUCUCAUGGCCAACUUAAUGCUGUUUAUGCUAGUCGCAUUCCUCUUUUGACUGACCUAAGAUCCACUGGAGUAGCUUUGAAAGAGGGUCGUCGGGGGCCCUAAUUGCCAGUUUUCAGGUCAGGCUGGUUCUGUUGGAUCGUGUUCUCGAAGCCCAGAGAAAUGAUACAAAAUCUCAGGAAUUGAUACAAGCAAUGUCAGACGGGAAAAAGAAGGACCUCUGGAUUAGAGAUCCUGACGGCAUGCUUAUGCAAGGUGAACGGAUGUAUGUACCGAAUGUUAAGGAACUGAAGAGAGACAUAUUAGACGAAGCGCAUAUUUCUGCUUAUGCGAUGCAUCCAAUGAGCACCAAGAUGUACCAUACCAUCCGACACUUCUAUUAUUAGCCAGGUAUGAAAAGAGAGAUUGCAAAGUAUGUUAGCCGUUAUGCAAUUUGCCAGCAGGUUAAGGCAGAAAGGAAAAGGCUAUUUGGAUUGCUACAACCACUUCCGAUACCUCAGUGGAAAUGGGAAGAUAUUACAAUGGAUUUUGUGUACAAAUUACCUCGUACGCGAAAUGGUUACGAUGGUAUCUGGGUGGUAGUUGAUCGGCUUACCAAGUCAGUGCACUUCAUACUCGUUCGUGAAAUUUUCUCGUUAAGUCAGUUGGCCGAACGGUUCGUCUCUGACUGGUUAGGUACCACGGAGUUCCAGUUAAUAUCAUUUCUGACGGAGACCCUCGAUUUACUUCGAAGUUCUGGGUAGCUUUUCAGGAAGCUUUGGGAUCGAGACUACUCUACAGCACCGCCUAUCAUCCUCAAACAAAUGGGCAGUCAGAGAGAACUAUCCAGACCUUGGAAGAUAUGUUGAGAUCAUUAGUUCUACAGUUUGGAGACGCUUGGCAUAAACGCUUACCGUUGAUAGAGUUCACAUACAACAACAACUUCCAUUCUAGUAUUAGUAUGGCACCGUUUGAAGCGUUGUAUGGGAAACCGUGUUGUACUCCACUUUGUUGGUCCGAGGUCGGUGAGCGAGUUUUGGUGGGCCCUGAGAUCGUAGAUGAGACGACAAAAAAUAUUCAGGUGAUAAAGGCUAACCUGAAAGUGGCCUAGGAUCUGCAGAAGAGUCUCACGGACAGACAUUCUACCGAUAAAGUUUAUGAGGUUGGUGAUUGGGUAUUCUUGAAAUUAUCGCCGUGGAAAGGUGUUGUGAGAUUUGGAAAGAAAUGGAAGCUCAGCCCUAGGUACAUCGGACUGUACUAGAUCGUUGAACGAGUCGGUGAAGUUGCUUAUCGACUUGCUUUGCCACCAAAGUUGUCAAGAGUGCACAAUGUGCUUUAUGUAUCAAUGUUACGAAGGUACGUUUCUGAUCCGUCACACGUAAUCCCUCCUCAACCACUGGAGAUCAAUCUAGAUUUUACCUAUGAUGAGGUUCCAGUGACUAUCCUUGAUUGGAAAUAUCAGGUUCUUAGGAACAAGACCGUGCGGAUGGUGAAGGUUUUGUGGAGGAACCACUCGGUGAAGGAAGCCACUUGGGAGACAGAAGAGCGUAUGCGAGAUAUGUAUCCACAUCUAUUUUAUGGCUUUGAUUUGUAGUCCAUGUUGAAAUUUCGGGGACGAAAUUUUUAUAAGGGGGGUAGAUUGUGACGACCCGUCGCUAAUUUUCAUAUGUAAUUUCUCCAUGAAUAUGUAAUUUGACGGUUAUACCCUUAGUGGCAAGUGACGUGGACACGUUUAUUUCCCUUAAAUUAUUUAUUUCCUCAUAUCACAUUUAAAUUGUGCACACUAGUACAAGUCGGCGUAGAUCUUAAAGUGUAAAAAUAUCUACUUUGGAUACAUUUCGAUUUCCUUUUAUUGUAGGAAAUCUGAAAUCUUAUCCUUUGAAUUCUUUUUUUUAUCCUACCCGUGCACCCCCCAUCAUUCACUCACCCAUCACCCUUUCACCAAUCCCAUCUCUCCCUCUCACCAAUCCCAUCUCUCCCUCAUUUCUGUCAUCCAAUCAGAAAAAGGAAAAAAAAAGAACUCUCUUUCUAUUCUCUUUUUCCCUCCCGUAUACUCCCUCUUCUCUGCAACACCAUGAACGAGCUUCAAAGCUCGUAGAUUGAACUCACAAACUACACCAUCAUCCUCAUCUCUACCCCUAAGAACUCAACCAUACCCCUGGUUCACAUGUUGAUUGAGUUUUGGUCAUCCAACUCGAAAGGUUCGACUGGAUGAGUUCGAUAUAUCGAUUUUCAGGCCAUUCACGGCUUAGGUAAGCCUCGAGAAACCCUUAGAACCUUCAUUUCAAUUCUAUGGGUUGAUAUUGAUCCUUGUUUGUGUUUUGAACGUUUGGUUUUACCCAAAAAACUCGAGAAGAAGAAGGUGCACAUUUUUUUUCAAUCAAGAACCAUGACCAUUUGGUCACUUUCAACCCAUUUUUCCAGUUAACCUCGACCACAGCUGGACUCCUAUUAGGUACAAACUUGUUCUCUACAUUCCUAACUUCAAAAUGACUUUUGAAUCACUGAGUUUGAUCAAGUAACGAGUUAGAAAUCAACUCUAGAAGUUAGGAAGAAAAUUCCAGUUUUCUGGAAAUCUGCAACCAUGGUCAUUUGGCCACUUUCAGGCCAAAUUUAUGAAUAACACGACUGUAUUCAAACUUUCUAUGAAUUAGGAUUGAUACAUCACAUUCCUAGCUUUAAUUUGGCUUUUGUAGAAGUGUUUUUUGUUAAGAAUCGAGCUCGUUAUGAGCUCUGAAAGUUGGCUAAAAAAUCUGCAAAACUGCAGAAAAUCACGAGGAAGGCGAGUACGCCUGUACUCGCAGGCGCGCGUGGGGCGCAUGUGGGCAUUUUGUGAAACCCCUUUGGGCGGCGUGUGGUUGACACGUGUGUCUUCGUGUCGUAGAGUAGAUCGAUUUCACAUAUUUAAACCCUAGGUUUGAGCAAAACUAUAGGGGUUUUAUUUAGGUUUCCAUUAUGUGCUUUAAUUAAUGUUAUUUUAGUUAUUUCACAUAUAAGGAAAACUUAUCCCGAGGAUUUACGAGGCCAAGCUAGGCUCGGGGACUACGACCCAGCAGUGUACUUGUGAGUGGGCAUUUUGUUUUUAUACCUAUACAUAUUAUAGUUUCCAUAAAUGCGUAUUUACUUCAUUUCUUACGCUUAUAUUGCCAAGUAUCGUUAUUAUGUUAUUAAUUGUGAUAAAUGCUGCUAUAUGGUUGGGAUAUUACUGUCAUGACAUUCAUAUAUAUAAUUGUACAUGCUCAUCUUGCUGCACUGGUGUUAGUACUCGCCUAGGGCCAGAUCCAUUCCUUCAUGUGUAUGUUCACAUCGCACUGUUCGUUCGCUUUGGAUCCAAGUUAGGUGCCAGUCAUGUCGGGUAGAUUGCAUUAGGCAAUCCGACUUGUAUGUGAUGUGCUUCUACACCAGUCUUCACGUGAUCGUAAUACUAGAGCGUAUUGAUUACAUCCAGUCAUGUUCGUGUCAGAAAUUAUUUGUUCGAACUUGUUAAUGUCAGCUUAGAUGGAUGAGCACUUAGCUAUACUUGAUUAUCACAUGAUUGAUUACAUCAUUAGUUGGCAUAUUCCUGGUUAUUAUACUGCUAUAAUGUUAUCGAAUUAUUGUUUAUAUACCCGAGUAGUAUGUUUUAAGGAAACUAUACUUGUUUUAUGGCAAGGGUUUAGUAUUUUUCAAGGUUAAAGGUUUUUCUUAUAAGCAUUGUUUUGCGGACCCACACAACUUUGUUUUUUGCCCCUUCAGGACCUAGAUAGUUGUACUCUUUGUGGCACUCAAGGAAUCUCGGCAGUUCUGACAUUUCCUUCUAUUUUAGACGUACGAACUUAUCACUGUUAUGUAAUAAGUGUGCUUUAGUUAUUUUGACUACUCUUCUGUAGUCUCACUGUCUAUUACGCUCUGAAUAAUUGUAGUGGGUUCACCCCACGAUUUGCGCACUCUUUCAUUGUUUAGUUCUAAUUAGUUUUAAUUUUAUUCACUUUUUACAUCACUUACCCUUAUGGUUACGUCACCUCACGGUGAUGGCCAGCAUGCUUCAACCUUUCCAGGUCGGGGUGUGUCAAUAUGCCUAGACACUUUGUGUGUAUGAACACUUUUUAUUUUUGUUAAAAAAAAAAAGGAGAGAGAACAUGGGUGGGAGUGGGAGGUUUUUUACUUUUUUAAUAUUAAAUAUAUCUUAACAUCAUCUGUAGAUGAAGCUUUAAUAAAAAAAAGUAAAAUUUGGUGUGUGAAAUUAUAUUAUUACUCAUCAUUUUUUUGGCCUAAUUGGAUAGAUGGUCCUCGUGGUGAUGAGGUUAUCGAAAGAUAGCCCUUGUGGUAAAAAAAUUAGGAUUUAAACCCCCGAGGUGUAGUCCGUUAGCAAAUUUAGUCCACAAGUAACUUUUUCCGUUAGUUGUUCAUUAAAUGUGGGGUAAAAAUGUACUUUUGACGUGUUCUUCUUCCUUGUCUCUCUACGUUUCCUCGUCUAGCUGGGUUGUGAUUUUGUUGGAGGAGUAAGCGAUGGUAAAGGAGGAAGAUCUAGCUGCGCUUUUCUGCAAUGGCUACUUUGCCACUGGAUCAUUGCGAAUUUGGGUUUCUUAGGAUUUUUUUUUUUUUUUGUGAAUAGGAAUUCCAUUAACAAACAGUAGGGAGGCAAUGUGGAAAAUGCAACCUUCGCAAAUGCACUAGAUACAUUGUAUGGUAACAAUAAGUUGGUGUGGAAUAGAAGUCACAAAGCUUAUAAGAAAUGGGGUUGGUCUGAGGACGAUGUUCUCUCUGCUUUUAAGCAGUGCCCAACUUGUAUGAUUAUGUCGGGGCAGAAGCUAAUGUAAACGAUGAAUUUUUUUAAUGAAUAAGAUAGGAUGGUUGUCAGGAAUGAUUGCCAAGUACCCUGUGGUCAUGAACUUGAGUUUGGAGAGGAGACUUAUCCCGAGGUCUUCGGUUGUUAAAGUUUUGUUGUUGAAAGGUUUGAUAAAUGAGAACUUCAAUUUGGGUUCGGUGGUGAUACCUGUGAAGAAGCAGUUCUUGGAGACGUUUGUGAAUAGAUUCGCAAUGAUCCAGAGGCAAAGUAGCCACUGCAGAAAAGUGCAGCUGGAUCUUCCUCCUUUAUCAUCGCUUACUCCCCCAACAAAAUCAAAACCCAGCUAGACGAGGAAACGUAGAGAGACAAGGAAGAAGAACACGUCAAAAGUACAUUUUUACCCUGCAUUUAAUGGACAACUAACGGAAAAAUCACUUGUGGACUAAAUUUGCUAACGGACUAUACCACGAGGGUUUAAAUCCUAAUUUUUUUACCACAAGGGCUAUCUUCCGAUAACCUUAUUACCACGAGGACCAUCUAUCCGAUUAGGCCUUCUUUUUUUUUUUUUUUUUUGAGUGAUUAGAAGACUAAAUAGUCUUUUUACCUUCUUUUGAUUGACAAAGAUGAUUCUAUGAAUAGGUAGUAUAGAUAUAUAUAUAUAUAUAUAUGUUAUUUAUUUCACAAUUGAAUCAAUUUAAGAAAGCGGUAAACCUAAGGACUUAUCAAUAGGUAAUGUUGCUUCAAUACCCAACAACGGCCUAUUACAAAACCAGUAAAUAAAAAUUAAGGUCAUCUCCAAUGAGAGAGUUAAAGGUCUUUAAAGUAAAAAAAUAUGACCUAAUUUGUCAAAAAAUUUAUUUCCAAUCGAUAGAUGGGCUAUAAUUCUAUGGAGCUCAUCAGACCAUUAUUUGGCCAAAGGGGCAUCAGGCUAGCCAAAUAUAGCCCCCCUUUUUAGCCCAUUUACUCUUUAGUUGCAAUAAUUGAUUCAAAUUCCACGGCUAGAUUUGAAAAAAUACAAUGGUGGUUUAACUAAAUUAACCAAUAAUUGUAAAGUAUAAACUCAAAACUAAUAAAUUAUUGAGGGGGUUAUGUUUAGUUCCUUCGGUUGGAGAUGAUAUAUGAGUAUGGUCUGACACGGUUCAUUAAAAAAAAUUAAUUUUUUUUUUUGCAGGGCUAUAUUUAGCCAUUUCAGUUAGAGAUGGUCUAAGGUUGUCGCUAUAAAGGAUUCACUUUAUUGUCAUUUUCAGUUCUAUGCUUCUUCAUGAAGGAAUAAAGUGAUUUUUCAAUAUUAACUUGCAUUUUCACUAAAGAUUUGUUCCAAAAGUAUUUUUACCAAAAACACUUUCAAUCAUUUUAAAAACAGUUCUAAACGAGCCCUAAUUCAUUUUUGUAGAGUUGAAGAGAAACAUCUCAAUACAUGUCUUAUCUUUUUAGAAAUUCAUAUUUGUAGUAAUGAAAUACUACUUUUCCUACCCCAAGUGAUAAAUGAUUGAAUUUUUUUUUUCUUGACAAAUAAUAGUGUUAUUAACUUAGUGGGUUGAAUUGUUAGUUGUUAGUGCAGGGGAGGGGGUGCUAGUGGGGGAGAGGACCGGAAUCGAACUCGCACCAAGAUGUAUAGGCAUCAUUAUUUUCCUCUACUAGGGUAAAAUAUCAUCUACGAUAAAUACUUAAUUACAAGAUGGUAUAUACUCUUUAUAAAUGAACAAAAACUACCUUAUCAUUGGAAAGUACAUUAAUAUAAACACUUUGUAAGAAGAGGUGAUGUAAACAAACGAGUCAAAGUGGAUUGUUCUACACUAGCACAUCCACAUAAUAACUCUACCAGGAUAGAUACAAAAUACGUGCAGAAUCAUCAUAGAUGAACUGAUUGAAAUAACCAACCAAAAUUUGCAGUCAUUAUAUACUGAACAAAAGCAAAGCCCUCGUAUGGGUAGGACAAUAAUAAAAAGCCAUAGAAAACCUUGUAGAUAUUUAAACUAAAAAACAUAUAAUCGUAAUUGUUUGAUUCUCAAGACAUUCUUUGAACCAAUCAUAGUUUUGUUACUUGAGGUACACAUAUCCUAGACAAUAAAAAAGAUCGAGUAAGAAACUAGACCCCCAAAAUGCAGGGGAAACUCAUACAACAAUGAAAUCAUACAACUGACAAAAGGGAAAAAUGAAAACCCGGUAAUCGGGUUUUACGAAAGUUGCUAUCGAGAUGAUCUAUAGAUUCUUAACAAAGAGGCAGAUCCACCGGUGGUUGCUCGACUGACUGCAGUGCCCCAACUCCAUUGUCCACCAAGAACACCAUGGCCAAACCCCAGUUGAUGUGGACAUCCAAGUGACAAUGCAUUAUCCAUGCACCUACAUAUGUCAAAUAUUUAUUUAAAUAUAUAAAAAUCUUAAACACAUUGACACUGAGUCAUAAUUUCAAAAUAGAAUAUUGUCUUGUUUAAAAGUGAAAUUUUUACCUGGAUUGUCAGCGACAAAUCGAAUGACUGCCCAUCCAUUCGCAGGCACUGCCACUGUGUUCCUCAGAGGUGGAUCAAUAAGGUUGAACUUUUUGGUAUCAGUCUGGGCAUUGAAAUUUCCAAAACCCUCAGCAAGGAUGUAAAAAUCGUAUCCGUGAAGAUGGAUAGGAUGGUUUUCUGUGUGACGAUGCUUGUGUCCUGCAGCACAACCUGCACCCUUGAUCCAUACUUCAACUUGUAUCCUCUAGUGCCUGACAUUGGUUGCCAAAGAGAGCGACUCACAUUGCCAGUGUAGUCGAAUUUCGUCGGAGGGUUUGCUGGAAAAUCUGCAGUGAAAACUCCAGGGAUGUUUUGUAGGUAUGCCUGAAGGAUUGAAAUGUUGUUUGGAAGCACGAAGGACACAUUGUUCAUGCUGGCUGUGAAGCGUGUCCCAUUUGGGCCUUGGCACCUUUGGGAUCCAAAAUUUUUCGGGCAGUUGUUGAGUCCAAGACCAAUUGUGAAGAAGAGAUUUUCAUCGAUUUCAGUUGGGACUUCAACUUUUCUUGGACUUCUGAAACUCUUGGUGAAAGCAGAAGCAGUGUUUGUGUCAUUGAAAGCAGGGAGUUGUGCCAUAAUUGGUUUGGCUGCUGAACUGUUUUUGCAAUUGGGGCUGCAAGGGGCAGACUUGUAUUCAAGAAUGGCGGUGGUGGUGGUGUUGUCGAAUGCUGCAUUUUGCGCGCUGAAAUAAGCACUCGCCGCCAAGUAGUACCGGGCUGGUGACUGGUCACCGGUGAUUAAAACAUCAGUGGUCUGCCCAGGCCCUAGCAUGAGAACCGUGGUAGUGAAAGGUUUGGUGUAGGAGGCAUCAGCACUAACAACGGUGAGCUUGUGGUUGGCCACGGAGAAGAAAAGAGGUUGGUUGAGUGCAGCGUUGAUGACUCUAAGAAGGUUGGUCUCGCCGGAGUCUAUAGGAACUAUGACAGUGUCUGCAUACCGAAAUCAUAAUAAAAAUUUACUAGUUUAUACGUGGCACAUAAGAUUUACUUAUUACAUCAAUUACCGGGUAAGUUUAAACACAUAUUAUGUGCGUGGCACGUUAAACUUAGUUGUUACAUCAAUAUCAUAAUGUUUUAUCAAGGAUAGAAUUGCAAUUAUGGUACCUUGGCUUGAGCAGUUGUAAAGAUCGCCAGGUUGACCAUUGAUGGUGUAUGCAUCAGAAACAUUUGGAGCUGCUCCUGUCAUAGUCGCCUGCCUCAAGACAUCGAUAGGGUUAGCGUUCCACCAUUCACCGAGAAGAAGGGUUGUUUCACUUUUCGGUUUAGUGAAGGGGUAGGAGUCUCCUUGUUUAGGAUGAAUGAUGAGUGCUCCGUAAACGGUGGCUCUAAGCCAUGAGCUGUGAGCAUGCCACCACAGAGUACCUUCUUGCCCUUGAAUUGUAAAGCGGUAGGUGUAGCUCCCUCCUGGCCUAAUCGGGCACUGAGUCACAAAUUCUGGCCCAUCUGCCCAUCCAGUUCUCAUUUGCCUAAUCCCAUGCCUGAAAUGUUUAUUUUUUAUGAGAAAGUGAAGAGUAGAUAAUUUUUAAUUUCUUACAUGACUGUUAGACAGCAUAAGAAACAUGUUGUUAGUUACCAGUGGAUGGUGACGUUGUAUUGAGCUCUGUUGGUGACUUUGACGACAAGAGUGUCACCAUUGUUUACUUCCAAGGUUGGUCCAGGGAGCUGUCCAUUCACUGUGAUGGAGUUUUGGGUUUUGCACAGCCUCUUCACUGGUGUUGCUUGAACCUGUAUAAACGUAUAUCCCAUUUAAUAUUAAAUAAAUGGUGAGUAAUUUAUUAAGUAUAUAAGAAGAAGAAACAUGAACCGGUCUAAAACAUAUGCAAGUAUACAAGCAAUACAGAAAUUAAACUUACAACAAACUCAUGCUUGUGAAUUUGGGGUUCUGCCAAGGACAUUGUCGAUGACGCCACGAGAAGGCAAAGACCGAAAAGGCAUAACGUGAAGCGAAUCUUGUUGACGAAAAUGGCGUUGAGUGCCUCCAUUUGUUUGAGUGAUAGAGAGAAUGUGGUAGUUUGAGUGCUGAAGUGAUAGAGUGGGGGAUGCUUUUAUAGUAAAAUUUUGAGGAGAGAGACUGUUGUUUGGGGUCAGCUGAUUAGGUUUUGAUUCGAAAAAUGGUCAGAUUCUUGAGCAAACUUAGUUCAACCCUGUGGGAGUUGUUGCACCCACUGGCCUAUACAUACCAAGCGAAUUAUUUCUUCAAUGCUUGCUUCUCAAGUCUUCCUUCUAGAUGGGAUUGAAUAAUAAUUCAAUAUAGGCAUGAAUAUUGGUAAUAUAUACUAUAUUUUUGCAUGUACUUUAUGUUAAUGCAAAUACAAAAAGAGUGAAACUCCACUUUUUUCCAACGUGAAGACAAUCGUAAUGGUCCACCGACCAAAACUAAAUUAGAUGCACAAUAUACCAAUGGUGCAUUCUUUCUCUAGUGGCAAAAAGCGUUGCAUAUAUACCUGCACGGUUAGCUAUACCACUAGAAAAUAUUUAACAGAUCGAUAUUCGUCACAUUCUGUGUUGACCAUGCAUAUAUAUAGUCUUUUCUAGAAGUUAAUUACAUGAAGAAUCAAGAGGGAAAGAGUAUAAAAACCAUAUAAAUCUUGCAUGAAUUUGUCGCACAAUCUCCUUCCUUCCUACUGUGGUACGCGGAAUCAAAAAGCAAUGCGCGUAAAGUCCAUGCUUUUAGGAAAAAGUAAUGCUAAGUAGACUAAUUUUUUAGAUCACAUUUGUAUAUUAUGUGAUGUACAUGUGUCAUCAAUAAAAAAUAAAUACAGUAAUUAAUACUUAAGUAAUAAUUUAAACAUCAACAACUACAUAUGUAUGAUUUAUAAAAUAUAAUUUAAUUAGAUGGUUUAUCUGGUAUUACCAAAAAAGAAAAGUGGAAAAGCAAGUAGAGAUGGUCGAUGAUUUAGCUAGGUUAUUAUUAAUUAAUGUUGUUAAAAGUAGACCAACCAGGAUCAAAACUCAAGUUUGCUGUUUGAAAGGGAAAACGAGUAAAUUAAGUCAUCUCUCUACAAUAUUAUAGGUGGAGUGUGUUGCAUGCUUAUUACAUUAUGUCAAGAUUUUGUUGGGUCUAAGAACAACUCGGUUACAGACAGAUAGAUCUUUAAACAGAAAACUUAAUAAAUAUUUACCUUAAUUUUCUUUAAAUUAGGUAGCCUGUCACGCAGUAGAUACAAUGGGAAGGUAUCAUCCAUGUAACUAAUGUUCGUAUUUCUUUUUUUUUUUUUUUUUUUUUUUUUUUUUUGGUAAUCAAAAGUUUAGGGGAGGGGAAAAUAUCAUAUUCCAAGGUCAGGGCAUAUCACAAGUUUCUUUGAAGACUUAAGAGGUCUUAGCCCCUUUUUUGGUUUUUUACCGAUCGCCCACUAAGAGAGAUCGCUGGCAGCAGGACUCGAACCUAAAUCUUAGUCUAGCAAAUAGAAUUUACCAGCUCAACCAUAUAUAACUAGGUUUUGUAUAGCUACAUAUAUAUAGGAAACCUUUAUGGGAAGAGAUCCCCAUUUUUUUAUAAAAAUGGGGAUUAGUUGUGGAGUCCACACCACAUCAAACUUUAACGAUCCGAACCAUCUAUUUUUCAAGUUGCACCUCAUAGAUCAUCCUUGCAAAGUAUUAGCCAAAUCGGAAAUGUUUAAGACAUCUAAUUGAGUUCAAAGAAAUUAACGAAUACUUUGUUAUAUAAGAAAUAAUGAAAUUUGAUCUUAAUAAUUAAAUAGGCAAAUGAUUUCGGAUUGAAUUGAAUUUUUGUAAGGAUGAUCUAUAAAACGAGAUUUACAAAAUAUACGAUUCAGAUUGUUAAAGUUAGAUGUGGAGUGGGCCCCACACCUAAUUCCUUUUUUUAAAAAAAAUUAGGGACCCUUUGCAUAAAAGGGCCUGCAUAUACACACACACACACCAAGAGAAUGAAGGAUUGAGACUAUAGCUAUGCCCUAGCGUUUAGAGGAAGCUAGGAAACGACAUCCUAUACAUAUAUAUUGUGUAUGUUUUACUCUAUUGAUUGUAAGAGUUUGUCUCUAAGCCAUUAAUGGAACAAUAGCAUCGCAAGAUUAGAAGAUAUUAGCAAUGCCUAGUUUUUUGGAGGAAAGCAAUGCCUAGUUUAGCUACAACAUUUUGAUUCGUUUUGUCAACUCUAGUGCUUUAACUUGUAGGCAAAAACAUGAAGAUGUAAGGAGAUUAAUUGUCCCGUCAAUGAUUGUAUAGAGACGUAAGAAGAAUUAUGACCUAUAAUGAUUGUGUACAUAUCAAUCGACGAGUCUAUCUCUCAUAUUUAUCAAGUAUGUGAUUGGUUAUUACAUAUAGUACAUUUCGUAAUACUCAUUAAAAUAUAAUUUUACUAUUGUUUUGACCCCAAAUUAGGAAGCCAAAAUUUUUCUCGAUUGUAUGGUUGGGUAUGUCACUUUGUAUUAAUGUACAACAUUUUUCAAACCGAGUCGAAGACAUGCAGUGUGUGUGUAUUGGCCAUAAAACUUACGUACUUCGAUGUGAUGGGAUGAUGAUUUUGGAAGAGGUUCCUCUCCGGAUCUACUUUAUGGGAAUCCCAACAUCCUAGCUGUUCAUUAUAUAUCUUGCGACCAGAUUUCAUCAGAUACUAUUUGUGUUUAGUUUUAAAUAAUAAUAAAAAAGUGAAAUGGUUUCUGACUGCACGACGCACAACGUACGAUAAAUGGCUAAGAUGUGGGGAUUAUACCUAGAAUCCCCACAAUUUGGAUCUGGAUGGGAUCCAAAUCUACGAUACUAUCAUGUCACAUGUACCAAUUCAUGUGACGAAGUUAUACAUUAGAUCAUGUGACGAACGUUGUUAAAACGUUAACAAAUGCCCCCUCCCCUAUAAAUAUAGGUAUAUCUUCCACUUCUUAAAUUAAUGUACAUCUUAGCAUACAUAUUUGUCUCACUUUCUUGUUUUUUUUCCUAACCUUGUGGUGUUAUUCGACUUGUUUUGUAGGUUUAGCCCUUUUAAGUUUGACUUUAGAGAAAUUAGGUUUCAUAUCCUCUUGUUGAAAUGUCUCACAUCAACAGCAUCUAUUAGAAAAUAAGAGUUUACAUACCCUAAUCUCUUCUAACUAAUACCGAGGUCUUUUAUGGUAAAAUUGUACACCUGACGGAUUGUGCAUGUGAUAAUUACAAAGUUGAGGACAAUAUUGAUGUUGUUGAAAGUGGGUCAUUGGCCCAUCUCGCUAAUAAUUCUACACCCCCUCCUUUUUUUUCAUGUAUUUUUUUUUUCUUUGUUUUAUGAGGAGUAAGAUUUAUGUUCCUCCUAACUAAAUGUAACUUCUUUUUUUCAUUAUAAAUAAAAUUUCCCUCGUAUUGUCGAGAUUUUCUAUUAAAAAAAUGAGUACGUGCAAGCCUGCAAGUGAUAACGAUUGACAAAGCCAAAUCGACCAACUAAUUACCUAAUUACCUGCAGACAAGAAUUCAGUUUGUCGUCACUUUGAAUGGAAGCAUGUCAUUGAUGUCGAUCAGAAAGUGAAAGAAAGGAAGAAGAUCGAGAGGGAGGGGAGGUGUUAGAUAAUUGGAUUAGAUAGGUGAACAAGAUAACGUGACAGCAAUUAACUUGUAGUUGGUAUAGUUUGUUAUAUAUUGACUUUCAAAAUCUUGUUUUGACAACACACAACCAUUAAGUACAAUAAUAGAAUUCGUUAUGCUAAGAAACCACAAGUUUCCUUGUCAAACUUGUCAUCUGGUACUUUUGUCUUGCUUUGUUCAAAUAGGUCAAUUUUUUUUUUUAUUUA